RNAcentral lists this long non-coding RNA (90628 nucleotides) under Triticum aestivum (bread wheat). Its description in RNAcentral is "long non-coding RNA (TAES_LNC002650)". The stretch from base 78739 to 79173 matches the Rfam family "Bacterial small subunit ribosomal RNA", at positions 39 to 536 of the family's 1533-position model. Lineage: Eukaryota; Viridiplantae; Streptophyta; Magnoliopsida; Poales; Poaceae. The record is from RNAcentral.
UCGUGUGUUGAUGUCAGUGUGAAGUCUAUAUUCUAGAGUGUCGUGGAUGUGUUGGCCCCCGCCUACAGGCUGUUUAUAAAACAUAUACUUGGUUGGUUGGUCCUCUAGUGACUUUGUUUUGCUGUUUCUUCUGUUUGUUUUUCUCUAUAAGCAAGUCUUGUUGUUGGUUGUUGUACCUAGAGUUUAGCCAAUCACCAUAUUUGGGCAUAUUAAACAUGUCGUUUCGGUCUGAAAUUUCAGCAUGGCCUUCUUAUAAGAGUACGACGGCACUUCCACGAGCAGUAGCCGGAGGAGGGGAAAAACAGAGGGAUGGUCUGUGAGGUCACAUCCAUGAAUCACAAAGUUGUCGGUUCGCGAGACGACGUGAAGAGCAUCUCUAGGCUUGGGUAUGUUUGCAUUGGUAUGAAAAGUCUGGGCUAAUUAAGUCGCCAAUUACAGCUCCAACGAUGAUCGCUGGAACAUCAUACUACUCCUAGUCCACAUAGUUAUUUAGACUACCCUGACUCACCAACUGGGCAAGAGAACAUGUGGCCAUCUUUGUCUUUGUCCUGUAGUGGCUGAUCUCACCUAUUGCAAACCAUGUUCUGAUGUGAAACAUCGGGUCUUUGAUGGUAGUAGAAACUGGUGUUAUUCAUCACCAUGGCUAGCCGAUGCUCGUACGCCUCCCUUCCAUGACUACUAUCGCUUCUCAUGCUGGCUCGCCAACUAGGGUAUGGUUGGUUGAUGAAAGAAAAACUCUACCACACACCAAAUUUAGAUCCCGCUUUCUUAUAUAUGUGCAAAUUUUUUGGUACAACCAUGCUCCACAUCCAACUCUAUCUUAUUUUUCCAGAGUGGAGGAAGGGGACACUUUGCGGGACUUUUAGUAGAAAAUUUUCCAUACAGAUAGAAGCACCUAUUAAAAAGAUACUCCAAAGGCUUCCGGAUCAUAGUCUCAUUAGCUGAAGAACACCCAUGCUAAUCUAUAUUAAGUGCAUUCAAAUCAUGCCUUUAUUAAUUAGUCCAAGGCCUCAUCAGCCACAACAUCAUAAAUACAAAGAGGAAAAACAUGAAACCAAGUUUUACACAAAUCAUUGGGGCAACCUUCCCUUGCCAUGAUGGAAUUAGCCCUAUUAGUUGUUCUUCUACUCCACUUCACCCGAUGCUCUUCUAAAGCAGAUAACAAGUCCAUUAUGUCUUCACAGAGAGGCCCCAUCUUGGGGGAGGGGGGGGGGGUUAGUCUACAGAGUUCAACGUUAUAGCCACACCCUGAUUGUCAUUAAUGAAUACAAUUGUUUGGUCAAAUAUGUUGUUUGAGAGUAGUUCAUGAUGGCCUUUCUAGUUGGAGAGAAUAAUUCUUUCCUUGAUGAUUUCUCUUACAAAGAUCAAGCAUAUAUAUCGAGGGAGAGAGAACCCACUCCCCUGGAACAUAGGCAUGCAGGCCAUGAGAACUAGGAGAUCCUAACAAUGGUGCAUAGACGUCCUGCACAAACGGUUCUCCGUGUUAUGGCAGGUUACAUUCUCAUGUUUUUUUACUUUACAGUGCUUACAAGUUGAGAUUUGAAAAAAUCUAGCCUAGAACAUAAGUCAUCAAAACUCAUGGCAUUUUGAAACUUUAGUCAUAAAAAGAUAUCAAAUAUCAGACACAAAAAGGGAGUGCUAGACAAAAAUGCAAAAAGAAUGAAAAUAAAGAAGGGGCGCAAUAGUUACCGAGCGUUGAUAUGUCUACAACGUAUCUAUAUUUUUUAUUGUUCCAUAAUAUUAUAGCCCGACAGCCCCAUCCUCUACUCCAUUGAUGCGCCCACUGGGCGAGAUCGGUGGUGUGCCAUCUGAGGGAGUCCCGGAUUAGGGGGUGUCCGGAUGACCUGACUAUGACCUUUGGCCGGACUCCUGGGCUAUGAAGAUACAAGAUUGAAGACUUCGUCCCGUGACCGAAUGGGACUUUCCUUGGCGUGGAACGCAAGCUUGGCGCGGAUAUGUAGAUCUCCUCCCAUUGUAACCGACUCUGUGUAACCCUAGCCCUCUCUAGUGUCUAUAUAAACCGGAGGGUUUUAGUCCGUAGGACGAACAACAAUCAUACCAUAGGCUAGCUUCUAGGGUUUAGCCUCUCUGAUCUCGUGGUAGAUCUACUCUUGUACUACCCAUAUCAUCAAUAUUAAUCAAGCAGGAGUAGGGUUUUACCUCCAUCGAGAGGGCCCGAACCUGGGUAAAAACAUCAUGUCCCUUGUCCUCUGUUACCAUCAGCCUAGACGCACAGUUCGGGACCCCCUACCCGAGAUCCGCCGGUUUUGACACCGACAUUGGUGCUUUCAUUGAGAGUUCCUCUGUGUCGUCAUCUUUAGGCCCGAUGGCUCCUCCGAUAAUCAACAACGAAGCGGUCCAGGGUGAGACUUUUCUCCCCGGACAGAUCUUCGUAUUCGGCGGCUUUGCGCUGUGGGUCAAUUCGCUUGGCCAUCUGGAGCAGAUCGAAAGCUACGCCCCUGGCCAUCAGGUCAGAUUUGGAAGUUUGAACUACACGGCCGACAUCCGCGGAGACUUGAUCUUCGACGGAUUCGAGCCACAGCCGGGCGCGCCGCACUGUCACGAUGGGCAUGAUCUAACUCUGCCACCGAACAGUGUCCAGGAGGCCGCCCCAGCGUCCGCUCCAACCCUUAGCUCGAAGCCGACUGCGCCAAUCGAGGACGGGUGGCUGGACACCGCCUCGGGGGCUGCAAUCCCUACGGCGAUCGAGCCGAAUACCAGCCUUGUCCUUUACGAAGCUCGUGACUGGGCGCCGAUCAUGGAGUUCGCUGCCGCAGACAUCUUUCAGCACUCGCCCUUCGGCGACAUUCUGAAUUCACUAAAGUCUCUCUCUUUAUCAGGAGAGCCCUGGCCGGACUAUGGUCAGCGAGGUUGGGAUGCGGACGACAAAGAAAUUCAAAUCCCACCCACCACCCACUUCGUAGCCACUAUCGAUGAUUUAACCGACAUGCUCGACUUCGACUCAGAAGACAUCGACGGUAUGGACGCCGAUGCAGGAGACGACGAAGAACCAGCGCCUAUAGGGCACUGGAAGGCCACCUCGUCAUAUGACAUAUACAUGGUGGACACCCCAAAAGAAGGGAAUGGCGAUGAAACAACGGAGGUUAACCCCUCCAAGAAGCAGCCUAAGCGCCGGCAUCAGCAGCGCCGCUCUAAAUCCUGCCAAAGCAAAAACGAUGAUUCCGGCACGGGAGAUAAUAACACCCCGGAUAGUGCCGAAGACAACCCCCUCCAGCAAGAUUCAGCACAGGAGGAUGGAGAAACCAGCCCUCAUGAGAGAGCGGCAGACAGAGAGGUAGAGGACGAUAAUCACAUGCCUCCCUCCGGAGACGAGGCAAGCCUCGACGACGACGAAUUUAUCGUGCCUGAGGAUCCCGUCGAACAAGAGCGUUUCAAACGCAGGCUUAUGGCCACGGCGAGCAGCCUCAAGAAAAAACAGUAGCAGCUUAGAGCUGACCAAGACUUGCUAGCCGACAGAUGGACUGAAGUCCUUGCAGCCGAAGAGUACGAACUCAAACGCCCCUCCAAGAGCUACCCAAAGCGUAGGCUGCUAUACCAAUUAGAGGAGGAAGCACCUAAACCUACAUCAUCAGCGCACGACGCGGCAGACUGGCCACCUCGUGGCCGCGACAGAGAGGCCUCUCGGCCAUCCACUCAAGCCGCACCCCGGCGUCGCUCAAAAAAUACCAAGGCACGGGGAAAGGCGCCAGACCUGCGAGAUAUAUUGGAGGACAAGGCAAGGCAAACAAGAUCGAUCUCCGGAUCGCGUGGGCGCCCCACGACACGUAACGAUAACCGUCAUGCCGGAUAUGGCAAAUACGGCUAGGCCAAACACAGCAGACAAAGCUCAUUUGAGCUACGACGUGAUAUAGCCCAGUACAGAGGCGCCGCACACCCACUACGCUUCACAGAUGAAAUAAUGGAUCAUCAUAUCCCCUAGGGUUUUAAACCCGUAAACAUCGAAUCAUACGAUGGCACAACAGAUCCUGCGGUAUGGAUCGAGGAUUAUCUCCUUCAUAUCCACAUGGCCUGCGGUGAUGACCUACACGCUAUCAAAUACCUCCCACUCAAGCUUAAAGGACCAGCUCGGCAUUGGCUCAACAGCUUGCCAACAGAGUCAAUUGGUUGCUGGGAGGACCUGGAAGCCGCAUUCCUCGACAAUUUCCAGGGCACCUAUGUGCGACCACCAGACGCCGAUGACCUAAGCCACAUCAUUCAGCAGCCAGAGGAAUCGGCCAGACAAUUCUGGACACGGUUCUUAACCAAGAAAAAUCAAAUAGUCGACUGUCCGGACGCAGAGGCCCUCGCAACCUUCAAACAUAACAUCCAUGACGAAUGGCUUGCCCGGCACCUAGGACAGGAAAAGCCAAAAUCCAUGGCAGCCCUCACAACACUCAUGACCCGCUUUUGCGCGGGAGAAGACAUGACCAAGAGCCCUGCUAAUUCGGAUACCAAGGACAACAAUGGCAGGUCAUGUCGCAACAAAUACAAGCGCCGCAUUAACGGCGACAAUACUGAGGAUACGACAGUCAAUGCCGGAUUCCGAGGCUCCAAACCCGGUCAGCGGAAAAAGCCAUUCAAAAGAAGUACUCCGAGCCCGUCCAAUUUGGACCGAAUACUCGAUCGCUUGUGCCAGAUAGACGGCACCCCCGAAAAACCAGCCAAUCACACCAACAGGGAUUGUUGGGUGUUCAAGGAGGCAGGCAAGUUAAGCGCCGAAAACAGAGACAAGGGGCUGCAUAGCAAUGAUGAGGAGGAGCCCCGACCGCCGAACAAUAGGGGACAGAAGGGCUUUCCCCCACAAGUGCGGGCAGUGAACAUGAUAUACGCAACCCACAUCCCCAAAAGGGAACGGAAGCGUGCACUCAGGGACGUAUAUGCGUUGGAGCCAGUCGCCCCAAAGUUCAACCCAUGGUCCUCCUGCCCGAUCACUUUUGAUCGAAGGGACCACCCCACUAGCAUCCGCCACGGCGGAUUCACCGCGUUGGUUCUAGACCCAAUCAUUGACGGAUUUCACCUCACUAGAGUCCUAUGGAUGGCGGCAGCAGCCUGAACCUGCUUUAUCAGGAUACAGUGCGAGAAAUGGGCAUAAAUCCCUCAAGGAUUAAACCCACAAAGACGACCUUUAAAGGCGUCAUACCAGGUGUAGAGGCCCACUGUACAGGCUCAGUUACACUCGAAGUGGUAUUCGGAUCCCCGGAUAAUUUCCGAAGCGAGGAUUUAAUCUUCGACAUAGUCCCGUUCCGCAACGGCUAUCACGCGCUACUCGGACGAACCACAUUUGCAAAGUUCAAUGCGGUGCCGCACUACACAUAGCUCAAGCUCAAGAUGCCAAGCCCUCGAGGAGUCAUUAUGGUUAAUGGAAACACCGAACGCUCUCUCUGAACGGAGGAGCAUACGGCGGCCCUCGCGGCGGAAGUACAAAGUAGCCUCUCAAGGCAAUUCUCCAGUCCAGCUAUUAAACGUCCAGACACCGUCAAGCGCGCCCGGAGUAACCUACAGCAAGACCGCCUGGCACGUUCCGAGCAAGUGUAGCAGUGCGGCCCCAACCCCAGCCCUCGCGAAAUUGCGAAACCAGUACCACGCGUACAUAAUUACGCUCUGGAAAUAUCAUGGGCAUAGGGGGAGGGGCACAACCAUGGCACGCCCAAAAUGCGGCUCAACCGCAUUAGGGGCUCCCGAUUUUGUCAUUUCUUUUUUCUUACUUUGAGGACUCCAUUCUCUGGAAGGCCUGUCCGGCAGUACAAUCGCCGAACACACGAUGCAACAGCCAGGGAGGUAGCAAGCUACGUCAAAUAUCCAGGUGGUCUCUAUAACGAGCUAAAUACCUGUCUUACAUAAAGUCUCGCAGCUUGCCCUUGGAGGGGGACAUGUCAAAUAAUCCCAUCUCUUGCUUAUCGCACUAUUUGUAUCGUUCUGCUUUCACAGCAGCCUUUUAAUAAACAAUGCAUAGCUCUUGUCUAUUAUUGCAUUCAUUUUUUAUGUAAAUAUGUUCAGUCAUGACAUUAUGCAACCGUACACUUUGGUACGGCCAACACACCAGGGGCUUAAGUACUCCAGAAUAUGGUGUGAGAAGUCUGAACACUCUCACGAGUGCGGCACCCCGAACUUAUAGCAUUAUAUGCAUCGGCUCCGAAUCAUGUCUUGGGUCAAUAGUUGGGUUUGCCCGGCUCCCAUGUUUUGGUAGCUUACGUUCCAUUAUAUCGGCUAAGGUAGCGCUGGGAGAACUACUGCGAUUGUGCCCCAGUUGAGCUGGGUUAAGCACCUCAGUAGAGAAAGCUAAAACUGACCGUCAUGAUAGGGCGAGAGCCGAUCGCUGUUCGAGAGGUUUCGAGUCCCUAAAGACUUAUGCCGCUUAGAGCGAGGAGCUGGCUUUGUCCGGCCUAGGCGUGGAUAGCGCCCCGAACUCGGUCUUCCGAAUACUAGGGGCUUUGCCAAAAUUUAAAAUUAUAGAAUUCUAUGGCUAUGUGAGAGUGAUAAAGCAUUAUAGUCCGAUUGCCUUGUUCGUUGUGCUGAGCGCCUCCCUCGAAGGACCCAAUAAUGGGAACAAGAGCGCUCAGGUUUAUCCCGAACACCCCAGCACUCGUGGCAUGGGGGUAGAAGCCGACGACUCGCCAUCUCUCAGAUUUGAUAAGUGGCCGCACAGAAGGUAAUAUUGUAAAUUCAAAAAGCAUUGCUUAGCGCAUAUGAACAAGUCUUGAGCGCACAGGAUAACACGAGCGAGUUUACUCAAAUGUUACAUAUUUGGAACAUUCAUUCGCCACAAGGAGGGCACCCUUCAGGACGCCCUCAUAAUACAUCUCGGGCCUGCGAUGCUCCUUCCCCUCCGGUGGCCCAUCUGUCACCAGCUUCUCAGCAUCCAGCUUGCCCCAGUGUACUUUAGCACGGGCAAGGGCCCUACGGGCGCCUUCGAUGCAUACGGAGCGCUUGAUGACUUCAAGCCAUGGACAGGCAUCCACCAGCCGCCUCACCAGCCCAAAGUAGCUCCCGGGCAUGACCCCCCCAGGCCAUAGCCGGACUAUUAGGCCCUUCAUGGCCUGUUCAGCUACCUUAUGGAGCUCGACCAACUACUUCAGCUGGUCGCUCAAGGGCACCGGGUGUCCGGCCUCAACAUACUGGGACCAGAACACCUUGUCCGUUGAGCUCCUUUCCUCUGCUCGGUAGAAUGCGGCAGCAUCGGACACACUGCGGGGCAGAUCUGCGAAUGCUCCUGCAGAGCUCCGGACUCGGGUAAGUAACAAGUAAUUCACUUUCACGUACUUGCUUUGCAUAAAGAAUGCCUUACCCGCCGAUAUAUUCUUCAUCGCCUCAAUUUCCUGGAGGGCUUUUUGGGCUUCGGCCUUGGCAGAUUUGGCGCUUUCAAGAGCCGAGGCAAGCUCGGACUCUCGAGUCUUUGACUCAAGCUCCAAACUCUCGUGUUUUUUCACAAGAGCGUGGAGCUCUUGCCGCACCUCCUCCACUCGCGCUCCUCCUUUUUUUGCUCGAUGCGCACCAUGGCCGCAUUGUCUUCGGCCUUGGACAACGCUUCCUUCAGGGUAGCCACCUCGGUUGUGGCCCCUAUAACACUCACGUUGGUCCUGUCACUAUUUGCAACUAGGUAUUUUUAUAUACUUACAUAAGGUACUACUUACCUUCCUUGUCCUCGAGCUGCUUCUUGGCAAGACCGAGCUCGUUCUCGGACCGCUCGAGGCUCUUCUUCAAUGCAUCGACCUCCGCAGUCAGUGCGGCAGAGGUCAGCAGCGCAGCCUGCAUUCCCAUCUUGACAUAUUUAUGUUAGACUCCUGCGUAUAUCUUUUUAGAUCCUCAGUCCGGAUUUUCUUUCCUACCACCAAACUGAGCAUCAGGGGCUAAUGUCUAUGCGGUAAUAUUUUUACAUGUCUUAAAUAUAUACCUCAAAGCCUGUUAGAAGGCUGGCACAGGCUUCUGUCAGCCUGCUCUUGGCGGACUGAACCUUCUGGAUCACCGCACUCAUAAUAGUGAGGUGCUCCUCGUCGAUGGAGGCGCCGUUAAGCACCUCCAGCAAAUUGUCCGGUGCCUCCGGUUGGAUGGAGGACACCGGCGUCAUAGGCUUGCCCUUCUUAUGAGGGGGCCGCCUGCCGGACUCCGGAACCACUGAGGGUUCCGGUGCGGUGUCCAGCCCAUGGCCGGACUUAGAUCCCUCUGGGGUUUCAUCCCCUUUGCGCCUAGAUCCCGGGAGGUCGCCUUGCGGCGCCUCCAGGACCACCUCCUCCUGGCUUAGCCCCUUUUGGGACUUCACGUCGGCAUCGUCCGCGGGGCGAGGGGAGGUAGCAGUCGGGAGUCAAAGACUAUUCACAUCCGACCAAUCCAGGGAGCCGCUCGACGAAGCGUCGAGCCGGGCCUUGGGCGGACUACAUGAUUAUAUUCGGCGUCAGAAGAUACUGUGCAAUAAAGGAACGCCAUGAGUUAUUCUGGUAUCCGGAUACUUACGAUUUUGCCAGGGGCUUGGCCCUAGACGGCCACUCCUCUCCGCCGUCGUCGUCGCUGGUGGAGUAGUCCGGAAGAAGGGUCUUUCCCUUCUUGGACCCUCCGGCCUCCCCAGUUCGGGUGGCCUUCCUUUUCUUUCCUCCCCCCAUUGGAGGGGGAGAGGCUUCUUCUUCCUCCUCGUUUUCGGGGGAGGAGUGCGCUUAGGGGUCGUCAGGCGAUGAAUCCGACACCACCAGGCGCCAGGAACUCUUUCGACUUCCCGUGGACUUCUUCUUGGCCUUCUUCUUCGGCACCAUGUGAGGUGUCGGGUCCAGCAGCUUCGCCAAGCGUGCAUCUACUGGGCCUUCGGGCAAAGGAGCCGGGCAGUCAAUCUGUCCAGACGUCUUCUUCCAGUCCUGUCAAAGGAGCGGGAGCUUAGAUCCCGCGUAGAGUCAAACUAUGAAAAACAAGUAUCCUGCAAAGGGUAAAACAAGCUUACUGCGCUGGCUUGGCGCUUUGCGCAGAAUCCGCGAUCCUCGGUAAUGGGAGGGGAAACCUCGGAGCCCUUGAAUAGCACCUUCCAGGCGUCUUCGUGCGUUGUGUCAAAGAGCCUGGACAAAGUUUGAUGCUGGGCCGGGUCGAACUCCCACAAGUUAAAAGCCCGUCGUUGACAUGGGAGGAUCCGGCGGAAGAGCAUGACCUAGACUACGUAGACAAGUUUAACCUUCUUGUCCACCAGGUUUUGGACCCAGGUUUGGAGCCCGGUCACCUCUUCCGGAUUACCCCACGACAGGCCCAUCCCUUUCCAGGAGGUGAGCCGUGUGGGGAUGCCAGAUUGGAAUUCGGGGGCCGCUGCCCAUUCAGGGUCACGCGGCUCGGUGAUGUAGAACCACCCCGAUUGCCACCCUUUGAUGGUUUCCACAAAGGAGCCCUCGAGCCAUGUGAUGUUGGGCAUCUUGCCCACCAUGGCGCCUCCGCACUCCGCUUGCCGGCUGCCCACAACCUUCGGCUUGACAUUGAAGGUCUUCAGCCAUAAGCCGAAGUGGGGCUUGAUGCGGAGGAAGACCUCGCACACGACGAUAAACGCCGAGAUGUUAAGGAUGAAGUUCGGGGCCAGAUCGUGGAAAUCCAGGCCGUAGUAGAACAUGAGCCCCCGAACAAAUGGGUGGAGUGGGAAACCAAGUCCGCGAAGGAAAUGGGGGAGGAACACCACCCUCUCAUGGGGCCUGGGGGUGGGGAUGAGCUGCCCCUCGUCUGGAAGCCGGUGCGCAAUGUCGUUGGACAAGUAUCCAGCCUUCCUCAACUUUUUGAUGUGCCCCUCCGUGACGGAGGAGGCGAUCCACCUGCCUCCCGCUCCGGACAUGGCUGGAGAAGGUCGAGGUGGGAAGUGCGGACUUGGGCGCUGGAGCUCGAGUGCGCGGAAAUGGAUAAGCGAAGGAGGGAGAGGGCGUGGACGGAAAAGGUGGAUCCUUAUCCCCUUAUAUGAGCGGACGAAACUGUGUGCCCCCACCAGCCUGGUAAAACUCGCUUAUCUCCCAAGUGCCGUGAUUAAUGGCACGGUUGGGUUACCCACGCCCGUAUUGAUGAGAAUCCCGGAAUAAGGGGACAUGAUCUCUGCUUUGGCAAGACGUGCCAAGGAAACCGCCUCGCUGAACGCGCUGAGGUGGGACAGUAAAACAAUUCGAAUGAAGGCUUGGCCUUGGGAUGAUGUCACGCUACGGAAUACGUCAGCAGAUUAGAUUUGUACAAACAUUAUUCUCUCUACGGUGGUAUGUGGAACUUAUUUUGUAGAACCGGACACUAUCCUUCUGUUCAAAAUCUUCUAUGAAGUAUUCGGAGGAGGAACCCGCCUUGCAAUGCCGAAGACAAUUUCGCGCCGGACUCGUCGUCAUUGAAGCCUGGUUCAGGGGCUAUUGAGGGAGUCCCGGAUUAGGGGGUGUCCGGAUGAACGAACUAUAACCUUUCGCCAGACUCCUGGGCUAUGAAGAUACAAGAUUGAAGACUUCGUCCCGUGUCCGGAUGGGACUUUCCUUGGUGUGGAAGGCAAGCUUGGCGAUACGGAUAUGUAGAUCUCCUCCCAUUGUAACCGACUCUGUGUAACCCUAGCCCUCUCCGGUGUCUAUAUAAACCGGAGGGUUUUAGUCCGUAGGACGAACAACAAUCAUACCAUAGGCUAGCUUCUAGGGUUUAGCCUCUCUGAUCUCGUGGUAGAUCUACUCUUGUACUACCCAUAUCAUCAAUAUUAAUCAAGCAGGAGUAGGGUUUUACCUCCAUCAAGAGGGCCCGAACCUGGGUAAAAACAUCAUGUCCCUUGUCUCCUGUUACCAUCCGCCUAGAUGCACAGUUCGGGACCCCCUACCAGAUAUCCGCCGGUUUCACACCGACACAUCCUCACAUUAGGGGGGUCAACCCCCCAUCUCAACUGCGAUUCCUGGAUCAUCAGGGACACCUCCUCUCCACUCCAUCUCCCACAUGAUGGCCCCUCUAGCACUAGAUACUUAAUGAGUGAUGGUGGUUCACAUUUUAUUCAUGGUGCUUUUCAUAAAAUGCUUGCUAAGUAUGAUGUUAAUCAUAAAAUUGCAUCUCCAUACCAUCCACAGUCUAGCGGUCAAGUAGAAUUGAGUAAUAGAGAGAUUAAAUUGAUCUUGCAAAAGACUGUUAAUAGAUCUAGAAAGAAUUGGUCCAAGAAACUUGAUGAUGCAUUAUAGGCCUAUAGAACUGCAUAUAAAAUUCCUAUGGGUAUGUCUCCGUAUAAAAUGGUUUAUGGAAAGGCAUGUCACUUACCUCUCGAACUAGAACAUAUGGCAUAUUGGGCCAUUAAGGAGCUCAAUUAUGAUUUCAAACUUGCUGGUGAGAAGAGGCUUUUUGACAUUAUCUCACUAGAUGAAUGGGGAACCCAUGCCUAUGAGAACGCCAAACUAUUUAAAGAAAAAGUUAAAAGGUGGCAUGACAAAAGGAUACAAAAGUGGGAGCUUAAUGUAGGUGAUUAUGUUUUGCUAUACAACUCUCGUUUAAGAUUUUUUGCAGGAAAAUUUCUCUCUAAAUGGGAAGGUCCUUACGUUAUCGAGGAGGUCUAUCGUUCCGGUGCCAUCAAAAUCAACAACGCUGAAGGCACAAAUCCGAAGGUGGUGAAUGGUCAAAGAAUCAAACAUCAUAUCUCAGGUAAUCCCAUAAAUGUUGAAACCAAUGUUAUUGACACCGUAACCCCGGAGGACUACAUAAGGGACACUUCCCAAAAUGUUUCAGACUCCAAAAGGAAUAGGUAUGUGGUACGGUAAGUAAACCGACUCCAAAACAGUUAUAGUAGCAAAUUUUCUCUGUUUUGGAAUAUUUAAAAAAUUAGGAAAAUAAGAAGUAGUCCGAAGGAGACACGAGGCAUCCACGAGGGUGGAGGGCGUGCCCUACGCCUUGGGCGCGCCCCCUGCCUCGUGGACACCUCGUGUGCCCUCUGGAUUCCGUUUUCUUGCACGAUACUUCUUUUUGUCGGUAAAAAAUCAUUAUAUAAUCUCCCAAAGGUUUUGACCAUCGAACCAUGACAAAAUCAUAUGCUUUUGUUUCGAGCUGUUUUUCUGACAGAUCUAGAUCACCAUGACGUCUUCAGGUGCCCCCAAGGACAAGUUUUCAAGUAGCAAGGGAUGGUGGAACACGGACUCAACGCCAACCACAUGAUGGUCGCGGAGUUCACCAACAACCACAAGUUGGAUGCCAAGAACAUUGGGGAGACCAUCUUCAAGCUUCAUGAGAAAAUCGAGCACCUCCAAGCCUAGAUCUAUGACUUGCAAAACCAAAACUGUGAGUAUGAAUAUAGAUUCAAGAGGAUGAGUUUGGCUGCAGAUUUGAGGAUCCCGGAGACUCGAUCAUCCUUCUAUGAUGGUGAGCCUAUGCCCUGGAAGAUGGACCAUAAGCCUACAUCAUCAACAACUCCAUCAUCACCCCCCCAAGAAAGAGACAUAAACACAUGGGUAUGGGCACUCCCCUUGGCAACUACUAAGCUUGGGGGAGCUGCCCUGGUAUUGUAUCACCAUCACAUUUCUAUCUUUACCGUUUUUCUUAGUUCGAUCCUUUUGGUUAUAUCUUGAUCUAGUAGAAUAAAGUUUUAGUUCGAUCUAGCUUUGAUUUUUUUGUUGAUACCUAUCUAUCUAAUCGAGUACGUGAGCUAUAUAUAAUAAAGAUUAGUUUUGAGUUGAGGGCUUUGCUAUCUUGCUAUGAUAUUGAGGUAAUAAAAGAAAAAGAAAGAAUAAAAAUAAAUAAAAAGAUCAUAUUGACCUUUUGGAGAGUAAUGACUUUACACAUAAAGAGUAUGAUGAAUAAAAGUUGUUGAGAGUUGACAAACAUAGUUUUGGUCAUCGUGGAAAUUAAUAGGAAGUAAUAAACAAAGAGAGGUUUUCACAUAUAAAUAUACUAUCUUGGACAUCUUUUAUGAUUGUGAGCACUCAUUAAAAUAUGAUAUGCUAAAAAGUUGAUGUUGGACAAGGAAGACAACAUAAUGAGUUAUGUUUGCUUAUAUCCUAAAUAAAUUAUAUUGUCAUGGAUCAUCCAACAUGUUGAACUUGCCUUUCCCCCUCAUGUUAGCCAAAUUCUUUGCACCAAGUAGAGAUACUACUUGUGCUUACAAACAUCCCUAAACCCAGUUUUGUCAUGAGAGUCCACCAUACCUACCUAUGGAUUGAGUAAGAUCCUUCAAGUAAGUUGUCAUCGGUGCAAGCAAUAAAAAUUUCUCUCUAAAUAUGUAUGAUCUAUUAGUGUGGAGAAAAUAAGCUUUAUACGAGCUUGUGAUACGGAAGAAAUAAAAGCGACAGACUGCAUAAUAAAGGUCCAUAUCACAAGUGGCAACAUAAAGUGACGUUCUUUUGCAUUAAGAUUUUGUGCAUCCAACCAUAAAAGUGCAUGACAUCCUCUGCUUCCCUCUGCGAAGGGCCUAUCUUUUAUUUUUACCUUCUACCCUUAUACAAGAGUCUUGGUGAUCUUCACCUUUCCUUUUUAUACUUUAUCCUUUGGCAAGCUCUAUGUGUUGGAAAGAUCCUGAUAUAUAUAUAUAUAUAUAUAUAUAUAUAUAUAUAUAUAUAUAUAUAUAUAUAUAUAUAUAUAUAUCCAAUUGGAUGUGGGUUUUCAUAAAGGAUUAUUGUUGACAUUACCCUUGAGGUAAAAGGUUGGGAGGCGAAAGUAUAAGCCCCUACCUUUCUCUCUGUCCGAUUGAAACUUCAUACUCAUAAGUAUCGCGUGAGUGUUAGCAAUUGUGAAAGAUUAAAUGAUAAUUGAGUAUUUGGACUUGCUGAAAAGCUCUUAUAUUGACUCUUUCCGAUGUUAAGAUAAAAUUGCAAUUGCUUCAAUGACAGAGAUUAUAGUUUGCUAGUUUGCAAUGAAGUUUCUGAUUCAUACUUUACAUUGUGAAUGGAUUGUUACUUUAGCAUAAGAAAUCAUAUGAAACUAUAUAUGUUGCUGUUCUAAGAAUGAUCAUGAUGCCCUCAUGUCUGUAUUUUAUUUUAUCGUCACCUCUAUCUCUAAACAUGUGGACGUAUUUUUCGAUAUCGGCAUCUGCUUGAGGACAAGCGAGGUCUAAGCUUGGGGGAGUUGAUACGUCCAUUUUGCAUCAUGCUUUUAUAUCAAUAUUUAUUGCAUUAUGGGCUGUUACUACACAUUAUGUCGCAAUACUUAUGCCUUUUCUCUCUUAUUUUACGAGGUUUACAUGAAGAGGGAGAAUGCCGGCAGCUAGAAUUCUGGGCUGGAAAAGGAGCAAAUAUUAGAGGCCUAUUCUGCACAACUCGAAAAGUCCUAAAACUCCAGGAAAGUCAGUUUUGGAAUAUAUUAAAAAUAUUGGGCGAAGAAAGCACCAGAGGGGGGCCACCCACCGUCCAUGAGGGUGGAAGGCGCGUCCUACCCCCUGAUUGCGUCCCCUGCCUCAUGGGCCACCUGGCAGGCCCCCGAUACCCAUCUUCUCCUAUAUGGUGUCUUUUGCCCUGGAAAAAAAAUCAUAAGGUAGAUUUCGGGACGAAGCGCCGCCGUCUCGAGGCGGAACCUUGGUGGAACCAAUCUAGGGCUCCGGUGGAGCUGUUCUGCCGGGGAAACAUCCCUGCGGGAGGGGGAAAUCAUCACCAUCGUCAUCACCAUGGAUCCUCUCAUCGAGAGGGGCCAAUCUCCAUCAACAUUAUCACCAACACCAUUUCCUCUCAAACCCUAGUUCAUCUCUUGUAUCCGAUCUUUGUCUCAAAACGUCAGGUUGGUACGUGUGGGUUGCUAGUAGUGUUGAUUACUCCUUGUAGUUGAUGCUAGUUGGUUUAUUUGGUGGAAAAAUCCUAUGUUCAGAUCCUUUAUGCAAUUUAAUACCCCUAUGAUUAUGAACAUGAAUAUGAUUUGUGAGUAGUUAUGUUUGUUCCUGAGGACAUGGGAGAAUUCUUGUUAUAAGUAGUCAUGUGAAUUUUGUAUUCUUUGAUAUUUUGAUGAGACGUAUGUUGUCUCUCCUCCAGUGGUGUUAUGUGAACAUCGACUACAUGAUAGUUCACCAUUGUUUGGGCCUAGGGGAAGGCAUUUGGAAGUAAUAAGUAGAUGAUGGGUUGCUAGAGUGAUAGAAGCUUAAACCCUAGUUUAUGUGUUGCUUCGUAAGGGGCUGAUUUGGAUCCAUAUGUUUCAUGCUAUGGUUAGGUUUACCUUAAUUCUUCUUUCAUAGUUGCGGAUGCUUGCGAGAGGGGUUAAUCAUAAGUGGGAUGCUUGUUAAAGGAAGGGCCGUACCCAAGCACCGGUCCAACCACAUAUCAAAUUAUCAAAGUAACGAACGUGAAUCAUAUGAGCAUGAUGAAAACUAGCUUGACGAUGAUUCCCAUGUGUCCUCGGGAGCGCUUUGCUUUAUAUAAGAGUUUGUCCAGGCUUGUACUUUGUUACAAAAAGGAUUGGGCCACCUUGUUGCACCUUGUUACUUUUGUUACUUGUUACCCGUUACGAACUAUCGUAUCACAAAACUAUCUGUUACCAAUAUUUCAGUGCUUGCAGAGAAUACCUUACUGAAAACUGCCUGCCAUUUCCUUCUAUUCCUCAUUGGGUUCGACACUCUUACUUAUUGAAAGGACUACGAUAGAUCCCCUAUAGUUGUGGGUCAUCAAAUAGUACAUAACAUAACUUGAGCUUUAGAUUUGGCUCAUUAUCACACUGAUGUCAAAUUUGUCAUUUUUGUAUCUUAAAAAUGUUAUAAACUUUAAUACAAAAGUUUUGUGACAUCAUACAUUGAUGUGCGUUAAUGUGCUAGAUUUUUUUUUGACUUUUUAAAUUGUUCUAUAGCAUCCGGUGCCCCGGGAGCACCAUUACUGCGGGUGCAUAGGAUACAUCCCCGCGAGCGAUCCGUGGAUGGCUUGGUGCGGACGGGCGCGUGCGGUUGCCGAUCCAUAUAUUCCUGAACUCGGAUCUAGACACAAGAUCCUCCAUUGCAUGCCACAUCCAUGGCUCUAGUGAGCCAGAUCCGCACAUGUGAUAUGCCUCCAACAUAUUUACUUUUUGUUUUGGCCUCUAAUUUAUAUGAUUUGAAUGAAACUAACCCAAACUAACGUUGUUUUAAGUAGAACUACCUUGAUGUUAUUUUUUGUGUAGAAAUAAAAAUCUCAUAAUUGGACGAAACUUUGUAGAGAUUUUUUAUGGAAUAAAUAAAAAAUACCGGAGCCAUCGGCAUCCGUACCAAGAAAAUAAGAGAGAAAGUAAUUUGGGAGCUGCCACCAUCUCUUGUCUUCAUUGGGAGCCCUGAUCUGGAGUCCAUUCCUAUCUCCGGAGAGAGGGAUUCGUCGUGGUUGUAAUCACCAACCCUUCUCCAUCAAUAAUUUCCUGAUUCUCACCACCAAGAGUGUGUAAUCCCUUGCAGGCAUACUAGAGGUAGAGUAAGAUGAAUGAGAUUUCCUAUGUAAUCAUGUUAAUUUGUUAGGGCUUGAUCCCUAGUAUGCACUAUGUUUUGAGAUUGAAGUUGUUAUGACUUUCUUAUACUUAAUGCUUGUCAAUAGGGCCCGAGUGUCAUAAUUUCAGAUCUGAACACUUAUGCUUCUAUGAAUAUAUUUGACAUAAUGAUCUCACCUUCAAGUUGUAUACACCUGUUAUCAUUCCAAACCUUAGACUUCCAAGUUGACCAUUGAAAGUGCUAGUUAUCGACUAGAUGGGGGGGUGAAUAGGCAAUUUUUUAUAAAAGUCUUCAAAACAUGCAAUGUCUUCGAAAACGCGGAAGAAAAACAAUCACUAAACAGGAUACAUCGGAAUAUAAACCACACUAGACAUGUCGGUAUGUCAACAAAAAUUGAUGUAAGAUGCGAAGAUAGAAAACAACUAGGUAGUUCAGAACAAUGAGAAGAUAGUGUGAAGACAAAUAUGUAAUCAGAGGAAAUGUCUUCAUACAAUGUCUUUGAAUAGUAUGAGCAGGCAAAGGCUUCACGAAACUAAACAGUAAGUAAAGGAGUGAAGUGAUAGAACCACUUGCUCAUAGAAGACAUGUGAUUUGUUUGACCAAUUCCAGCUGCUGUGACAGCUAUAUGUCUGGUUAAGGAGGCUGAGAUUGAAAUCUGAAGACUUAGUCUUCACCUUAUUCCCCUUAAGCUAAUAUCCGCAAAUCUCACCCAAUCACUCGGGGAAGUCUUCAAGGUAAACUUCCAAACCUUCACAGACUUCGUUCACUAGCAAUCCACAAUGACUCUUGGAUGCUCAGAAUUCAACACCUAACCGGUUGGAAGAUCACAGUCUUCAAGUGUAACAAGUCUUUGGUUCACGCAGAACAGAAAGGCUUCAGUGAUGCUCAAUCACUUUGGGCUCUGGGUGUUCUGGGUUUGUCCUCGCAAGGAAUUUCUCUCAAGGCUUAAGAGGUGGGUUGCUCUCAAACGAUAACAACCAUGUAAUAACUCGAAACAACCACCAACUUAUGCUAGAGGUGGUGGGCUAUUUAUAGCCAGGAGGCAACCUGACAUGAUAUGAACAAAAUGACCCUGGGUCAAUGGGCAACCGACAUGUGUCCAACAACCGUAUUUGAAACACACGCGACAGCUUUACUUGAGCUCCAACUAAAGCUAACUCAACGAACCUUGGAAAAGGUGUUCUCUCACUGUCUACACUAGAAGACAUAGAGUUUUAGGUUCAACAUCAAGUCAGUUUCUAACUUUGUUUACCUCGACCCCAUUUAACAAUACGGUGGUUCCUAUGGCUCAAGAAAGGCGAAAAUGAAACUAUCAAAAGACUAUGUCUUCGUGCUCCAUUGUAUUCAAGCGAAAGUCCACACGUCCCAUUGUCUUCAAAUAAAUGUCUUCCCGUACCACCAUUAUCUUUAAUGUCUUCAUACAUGUUUAGGAGUCAUAUUUGAUUGGUAAGCCGAAUCUCUAGGGACUUCUAUCUGUGUUCUCCUGUGAAUCUCAUAAAUAGAUUAGUCCCUCAACCAAAUUUGUCGUCAAUACUCCAUAACCGAUGAUAUGUCCAUUUUGCAUCAUGUUUUUAUAUUGAUAUUUAUUGCAUUAUGUGCUGUUAUUACGUAUUUACGUACAAUACUUAUGUCUUUUCUCUCUUAUUUUACAAGGUUUAGACAAAGAGGGAGAAUGCCGACAGCUGGAAUUCUGGACCGGAAAGGAGCAAAUCUGAGAGACCUAUUCUGCAUAACUCCAAAAAUCCUCAAAAUUUACAGAGAAUUAUUUUGGAAUAUAUAAAAAAUAUUGGGCGAAGAAAAUACCAGAGGGGACCCACCAAGUGGCCACAAGGAUGGGGGCGCGCCCUACCCCCUGGGCGCGUCUCCCUGGCUUCAGGGCCCCUUGGCAAGCCUUUGGUGCCCCUCUUCUACUAUAUGAUGUCUUUUGACCUGGAAAAAAAUCAGAAGAGAGCUUUCAGGAUGAAGUGCCGCCGUCUCGAGGCGAAACUUGGGCAGAACCAAUCUAAGAUUCAGGUGGCUUCAGAUUGCAAGGUGGCGUUGCAGAUAUACAUUAGAAGAGCGCAACUACCUAUAGAGCAAUCAUAACUGAGAUCAUAGAUCGGAAGGCUACUUUUACUAAUUGUACAUUAGCCAUGAAUUUAGGAGCUUGAAUGUUGAAGCUCACAAACUCGUGAAGCAUGCUUUAUCCCUAGGGGUUGACCGCCAUGUUUGGUUAGGUAACCCCAUAGCUGAAGUUGUCUCGCCUUGCUUCAAAUCUACCGGGCGUGCGCUGCGAUUUUGACCUAACGGCCUCCAUUUGCUGGAAUUAAUUGGAAUAGUUGAGAAGAAAGUGACAAACGAAUGUGUAAUGCGUGGGAAUCUGCCGAAUAGUUCAGGCCGAAUCCCGAAGAAAGUUCGUUGGUCAGGUAAAGGUUGGCCAGCCAAUGAUGCUUAGCUGGUCUUUUUGAAUGUUUAGCCACACUGGGACUGAGACAUAGCCCAGACUCCCAUGGGGGGCAGCAGAGGGGAAUCUUGGACAAUGGGCAAAAGCCCGAUCUAGCAAUAUCGCGUGAGUGAAAAAGGUCAAUGCUCCUUUUAAAGCUCUUACGUUGAGUGCGCGAUCAUGAAAUAUCUCGAGGAAGAAGCCCCGGCUCACUCCGUGCCAGCAGCCGCGCUAAGANNNNNNNNNNNNNNNNNNNNNNNNNNNNNNNNNNNNNNNNNNNNNNNNNNNNNNNNNNNNNNNNNNNNNNNNNNNNNNNNNNNNNNNNNNNNNNNNNNNNNNNNNNNNNNNNNNNNNNNNNNNNNNNNNNNNNNNNNNNNNNNNNNNNNNNNNNNNUAAGUACUCUUUGGAAUGACUGGGUGUAAAGGGCAUGUAGGCGGCGGGUUGAAAAUGAAACUGUGAAAAUCAUAAAAAGUGGCGGAAUGCUCUCGAAACCAAUUCACUUAAGUGAGACAGAGGAGAGUGGGUGAUUUUCUAUUCGUCCCUAUAAACACUACUCAUCAAUCCGUGCAGGUGCACGGGCUAGAUAUACCAUCAUAGAAUCUUGUAAAUAUACUUUGUAAGCCUAUAACUUGAGACAUAAAACAUGGAACAUGCUUUUCAGUUUUUAUUUUAUAGUGGUGUUUAGUCAUCAAAUUUCAGGCAAAAUUAAAAGUGGACACGUAUAAAUUCUCAAGUUCAUUGAUCAAGCGCAUGCAGUUGUUAUGGUAUACAAAAUUGAACAUGCUGAAGACUCACAUGCAUAUUUGUAGGAAGACUAAAAAAAAUUGUAAUUAUUUCUUACAUCAUUACAUUCAAACCCACACAAAGAAAAUAGUCAAAUAAACAUCAUUUUUCUUUAAACAGAAGGAUCCAACUGACGCCAUAAAAUGUAUCUUUUCCUUAUAUUGGCCAAUUAUUGCUCAAAUAGCUGUGCAUGUGCUGUGUAAAUAAGAUUUAGAUAUGGUACAUAGAACUUUUGUUAGAUUUAGAUCAUAGCUUCAGUGUGAAUGUUGCUGCAAUGGCACAGAAGUAUGAUCGGUUUGGCAUCAUCUGCUUUGCGAUGAUCCACUCCCGUGCACAGGCUCUAUCCUACGGAUCGUCCUAUCGGACAGCUAGCAGUAUAUGUUAUGCCAAAAGCUUCUUGACCAACAUAUGUGCUAGUAAAUCUAAUUACUCUAAAUUAUGAAAAUAUAGUUAUUCCGAAUUAUGAAAAUAUAAUUACCCUAAACUAUAUAUGUACCUUAGAUCGUAGAGCCACCAUCGAACAGAACUAUAUAGGGAGUAGUUGUGCGGUAGUACUGUUGAGAUGUAGAAGUGGAAAAGCAAUAAUGCAUAACAAAAUCAUAUUCUAUCACACGCUUAGCUUAUACUAUAUAUAUUGGCACACAUUUUCUUUGCAUAUGCACCUGGUAGAUUAAACAAUGGAAGCAAACACAGUAGGGCAAACCAAUUUCAGAUUUUUAUCUGAAAUCAAAAGCCUAGAAAAGGUGAAUCUGCCGAAUAGUUCGGGCCGAAUCCUGAGGAAAGUUCAAAGCGCUGUUUGACGAGCCUACGUAGUAUUAGUUAGUUGGCCAGGUAAAGGCUGACAAGCCAAUGAUGCUUAGCUAGUCUUUUUGAAUGAUUAGCCACACUGGGACUGAGACAUGGCCCAGACUCCCAUGGGAGGCAGCAGAGGGAAUCUUGGACAAUGGGCGAAAGCCCGAUCCAGCAAUAUCGCGUGAGUGAAGAAGGUCAAUGCUCCUUGUAAAGCUCUUACGUUGAGUGCGUGAUCAUGACAUAUCUCGAGGAAGAAGUAACUCCAUGCCAGUAGCCGCGCUAAGACGGGGGGGGGGGAGGGGGCAUGUACUCUUUGGAAUGACUGGGUGUAAAGGGCAUGUAGGCGGCGGGUUGAAAGUGAAGCUACAAAAAUCAUAAAAAGUGGCGGAAUGCUCUUGAAAUGAAUUCACUUAAGUGAGAUAGAGGAGAGUGGAUGGUUUUCUAUUCGUCCGUAUAAACACUAGUCAUCAACCCGUGCAGCUGCACGGGCUAGCGACUUGAGUCUGAAAACUUUGUGUUUAAUAUACUUUGGAAAAAGAAUAAACAUUGAAUAACAUUCAUAAUUUCUAAUUAUAAGUGUAGUUUUUGAAAUCACGGUUACAUUGUUUAGCCUUUCAAGCAAUGCACAACAAUAAUUAGUGGCAAUGCACAACAAUAACAUUCAUAAUUUAUAAUUUCAACCGUGGUAUUAUAGGAGCAUACCACAUCACCUUGGCAGGAAUCUUCUUCCUGGAGCGCUCGCCCUCGACUUCUCCAGGGUCAUCGCGGCUGAUCUUAUAGCGCAAUGCACCGCAUACGGGGAACGCGUUCAAAUCCUCGUACUCACCACAGUAGAUGAUGCAGUCAUUAGGGCAUGCAUGUAUCUUCUGCACCUCUAAUCCUAGAGGGCAGACAACCUUCUUUGCUUCGUACGUACUCGGGCAAUUUGUUGUCCUUUGGAAGCAUCUUCUUUAACAUUAUCAGCAACUUUCCAAAUCCCUUGUCAGAUACACCAUUCUCUACCUUCCAUUGCAGCAAUUGUAGUGUGGUGCCCAGCUUUUUCUUGUCAGCUUCACAAUUUGGGUACAACAAUUUCUUGUGAUCCUCUAACAUGCGCUACAACUUCUUCUCCCCCUUUUCACUUGUGCAGUUUCUCUUUGCAUCAGCAAUGGCACGACCUAGAUCAUCAGCGGGCUCAUCUGAUGCCUCUUCUUCAGCUUCUUCCUGCAUUCCCGGCUCAAUUUCUUCUCCCAUUGUUGUACCAUCGUAUUCAGGGAACCCAUGGCCAGGAUAGCUAUCGUCGUCCUCUUCUUCUUCACUGUCUUCCAUCAUAACCCCUCUUUCUAUGUGCUUAGUCCAAACAUUAUAGUGGGGCAUGAAACCGGACUCAAACAGGUGGACGUGAAUGGUUCUUGACUUAGAGUAAUUCAGAUCAUUCUUACAGUUAGCACAUGGACAAGGCAUAAAACCAUCCGCCCACUUGUUUGCCUCAUCUGCAAGCAGAAACGUAUGCACACCAUUAAUGAACUGGGGAGAGCAUCGGUCAUCGUACAUCCACUGCCGGUUCAUCUUCAUUUACACAACACCGAAAAGACCAAAUUAAUACAAGUUCAUACAAAACAACAUACAAAUAACUCUGUAGCUAAAGUAUUUAAAUGCAACAACAAAUGCGAUCAAGAUCGCAAAUAAGGUAACAAUUGAUCCAACAACAUAAUGAUACCAAGCCACACUAUCGAUGGCAUAUUUUUUAAUCUUUCUAAUCUUCAAGCGCAUUUUCUCCAUCUUGAUCUUGUGAUCAUCGACGACAUCGGCAACAUGCAACUCCAAUUCCAUGUUCUCCCCCUCAAUUCUUUUCAAUUUUUCUUUCAAAUACUUGUUUUCUUUUUCAACUAAAUUUAACCUCUCGAGAAUAGGGUCGGUUGGAAUUUCCGAUUCACAUACCUCCCAGAUAAAAAUAUCUGUCAACUUGAUGGGCAUAAUUUGUCAUAAACACGAAAUGCAACAAAUAGUUAUAAAAGGGAAUAUACCACAUCCGAAUCAUAACCCGGACGAGGGCCGACGGGGACGGAUAUCAAAACCAUGACACUAUGUAUAACAAACAACAUACAUGUAAGAUAAUUAUACAAGUAACUAUAUAUCUAAAUAACAAAAACAUGAUUUUUCUUAUAUUAAAAAGAUAAGAACAAGAGACUCAUCACAAGGUGGUGCCGGCGACGGGACGGUGCGGGCGGUCGACGGUGGUUAGGACGGAGACGGGAAGGCACUAAGUAAACCACACCUACAUAUGCAAACUAAGAGUUAUUUUGACCUCAAAUUGCAUAUAAAUCAAAUAAACUACAACAUAUAUAUAAUUCCUCCCAAACUAAAAACCCACAAAUCACUAUACUUAUAGAGCAUUGCAAGAGCUAAUGUAACAAUGAGAGAUGAAAGGACAGAGUUGCUAACCUUUGUGAUCACUUGGACGGAUGGGGUGCCUUCAAAUGUUGGAAAAUUUUGGCAAAAAUGGAGGUGGGAGAUCGAGCAAGAGGGGAAGAAAACAAAGAGGAGGGGAAAAGUAGAGGGCUUCGGCUCGGACUGGAAGAAGCACUAUAUAGAGUGAUAUCUGUAGUGUUGGUUGGUUACACGAACCGAGACUACAGGUCAACUUCUAGUCUCGGUUCAUGGCAUGAACCGGUACUAUAGGUCAUGGUGCGGCUGCAGCCUGCCGCAAGCCUGCAACCACCUCUUUAGUACUGGUUUGUGGCACGAACCGGUACUAAAGGUUCGCCAUGAACUGGUAGUAAUGAGAGCAGCCCAUCUAGCCGUUGGAACCGGCAGUAAUGGUCACAUUAGUGUCGGUUCUAUUAAAAACCGGGACUAAAUAGUUGAACAUUAGGCCCUUUUUCUACUAGUGGUUACUUGACGGGCACUAUUUUUGUAAGGCAAAUGCCAAAUAAUUGGUCGGUAUUAAAUGUUGGUUGCCUAAACAAAAUAUUGUAAUUUUUUGGUCGGUGAAACAAACUCCCAUCUGACCGUCGGUCGAGAAAUGUCCAUGGCAACCCUAACUAAUUGUUGGAUGGGAAAAACACUAUUUGAUAGUCGGUCGGGAAAGGACCAUAGUAGCUCAAAUGGACUGUCGGUCGGGAAAGGUCCGUGGCAGGCCCAACAGAAUGUUGGUCACGAAAGAUAUACUAUAGCCGACAAGCAGUCGGUUCGGAAUAACAUGUCGGUCGGGAAAGGGUUUUCCUGUCUGGACUUUCCCGAAGGAUCUUUGCCGUCAGCCAGCUCACGACAAAGAAAUUUUUUGCCAUCAGCUUACAGAAAACUGACGGCAAAGAAAGAGCCAAUGACAAAGAGCAUGUUUGCCGUCCGGCAUAGCAGCCGACAAAGAGGGAGGGUGGUCCACUAAGGAGUACCACCUAACGACCACUUUCUUUGGCGUCUGCUAGCGGACGACAAAGAUUGCAGCUAAUGGCUACAUAUGGCCCACCCCACACCUCCCACUCUCCAUUUCUCUUUCUCUCUCACUCCACCGUGCCGACCCCGACCCCAACCGCCGCCGCCGCUCCCGACCCCCACCUCNNNNNNNNNNNNNNNNNNNNNNNNNNNNNNNNNNNNNNNNNNNNNNNNNNNNNNNNNNNNNNNNNNNNNNNNNNNNNNNNNNNNNNNNNNNNNNNNNNNNNNNNNNNNNNNNNNNNNNNNNNNNNNNNNNNNNNNNNNNNNNNNNNNNNNNNNNNNNNNNNNNNNNNNNNNNNNNNNNNNNNNNNNNNNNNNNNNNNNNNNNNNNNNNNNNNNNNNNNNNNNNNNNNNNNNNNNNNNNNNNNNNNNNNNNNNNNNNNNNNNNNNNNNNNNNNNNNNNNNNNNNNNNNNNNNNNNNNNNNNNNNNNNNNNNNNNNNNNNNNNNNNNNNNNNNNNNNNNNNNNNNNNNNNNNNNNNNNNNNNNNNNNNNNNNNNNNNNNNNNNNNNNNNNNNNNNNNNNNNNNNNNNNNNNNNNNNNNNNNNNNNNNNNNNNNNNNNNNNNNNNNNNNNNNNNNNNNNNNNNNNNNNNNNNNNNNNNNNNNNNNNNNNNNNNNNNNNNNNNNNNNNNNNNNNNNNNNNNNNNNNNNNNNNNNNNNNNNNNNNNNNNNNNNNNNNNNNNNNNNNNNNNNNNNNNNNNNNNNNNNNNNNNNNNNNNNNNNNNNNNNNNNNNNNNNNNNNNNNNNNNNNNNNNNNNNNNNNNNNNNNNNNNNNNNNNNNNNNNNNNNNNNNNNNNNNNNNNNNNNNNNNNNNNNNNNNNNNNNNNNNNNNNNNNNNNNNNNNNNNNNNNNNNNNNNNNNNNNNNNNNNNNNNNNNNNNNNNNNNNNNNNNNNNNNNNNNNNNNNNNNNNNNNNNNNNNNNNNNNNNNNNNNNNNNNNNNNNNNNNNNNNNNNNNNNNNNNNNNNNNNNNNNNNNNNNNNNNNNNNNNNNNNNNNNNNNNNNNNNNNNNNNNNNNNNNNNNNNNNNNNNNNNNNNNNNNNNNNNNNNNNNNNNNNNNNNNNNNNNNNNNNNNNNNNNNNNNNNNNNNNNNNNNNNNNNNNNNNNNNNNNNNNNNNNNNNNNNNNNNNNNNNNNNNNNNNNNNNNNNNNNNNNNNNNNNNNNNNNNNNNNNNNNNNNNNNNNNNNNNNNNNNNNNNNNNNNNNNNNNNNNNNNNNNNNNNNNNNNNNNNNNGAUCCCCGAAACGACACUCGAGACCCCGACACGGCACCCCCAACCUCGACACAGCACCCCGACCCUAACAUGACACCCCCGACACCCCGACCCCCAGAGGCCGACGGGGUCAUAUAUUUCUGAAUUAUGAGUUAGGUCAGGUAUUCAAUUAUUAUUAUGUAUAUAUACAUAUAUAUUAUUAUUAAUUAGUUCAUGUUAUUAGGUAUUCAAUUUUUUAUUAUGUUCAUGAUGAUGAUACACACUUAAUUUUUUUAUUAUGUUUAUGUUGUACUAACUUCAUUUACUCUUUGUCAUUGUAGGUGUUGACAGAUGGUGGGCGCGGGUCGAGAGCGCUCCGAGCCUCCUUCUUCGGAGCGUGCUAGGAGGUGUGUUGUUAUUCACUCCAGCACCUACGGAGAGCGCUGAUAGACAGCACACAGACACUAGCGGGCGCUUCUUCUUCGACCGAGAGAGGUCGGGGGAAGACGAAGAGGGGUACAGCUAGAGGUGGACGUGGCGGCGGGAUAGGUAGGAAGGCUGCUACGCCUUCCUCGCCGCCACCCCAGCUGAUUCUUUGGACCACUGUAGUGCUUCGUCCUAGGUGGACCCGUCUGACUUGGACCCUUCUCGGACUCCGGUCCACAAGCCUCGGGCCAACGAGCCUACAUCCGACGAGACUCGGGUCCUAGAGUCUUCGUCCUAGGAGACUCGGGUCCCAGAGUCUUCGUCCCGCGUGACUCCGGAGACUAGUGGCCAUGCUGAUGGUGGCGAGGACACCUUGUCUGACGAUAGCUACAAUGAUGGCGAGCUAGUUGAGGGGGGCAAGAAGUUCUACCAGCGUGGUGGUACAGAUCUCCCAUCCGUGUCGGCGACCCGCGACCAGAGGUGGUUGAUUGAGCCUAAAGGGGAGAAGUAAGUGCAUUUACUCCUUUAUAACCUUUUGCCUUCAUGUUUCUUCAAAUUAAUAUCUAAUGUGUUGGCCUUGUCAUACUGCAGGGGUUGGAUACGUGCCUCUGAUGUCCGCAGGCCCAACCAGGUCCUUGGUGUGAUUUGCCGGCACCACUUCCCGGGAUGGGUCACAUUGCCCGAUGAGGGUGAGGUUCCAUAGCUAGCACUGACCUGGGAGCUGCACAAGGCUGCCCCGGCCCCGCCGAGGGAGAUGGUCGACGGUGUCAUGUGCGAGACGGUGGCCGACAUUGUGAGACGACGGUUUUGGGUAAUUUCUCCUUUAAAUUAAAAAUCAACAAUACUUAGUGAUUGUACUAAUCAGUGUUGUCUUGUUUGAUUGCAGACCUUCUACAGGUGUCUUGAGGAACACGAGGCAGACACGGAGGCAAACAGGUAGUUGACGCAGAGGGAGAGGGAGUUGGAGGAGAGGACAGCUAGUAUGUUGGAGGCGGAGAGGAACCGGAACGACGCGGGUCACCGGGCCUUAUACGAGCUCCUCGUGGUAAGUUUCUCCUGCAUAUUAGCCAAAUCAUGUACGUAAUGUUCGUUUCAUUACUAGCUAAUAUGACUGACUCGUGAAAACAAAAUGUGCAGUCCGUUUGCGAGAAAAACGACCAGACCCCUCAGCCGAUGCACCAGCACUAGUGCAGAACCGGGCUAUAGCACUUGUUCGUAAGGGCCUUUAGUCCCGGUUCUGUAACCAGCACUAAAGGGUGGAGACUAAAGGCCCCCCUUAGUACCGCUUCUGCACGAACCGGGGCCAAAGGCCCACCAUGUGGCACAAUCUCGCGUGGUGAUCUGGGGGAUCUUUAGUACCGGUUGGUAACACCAACCGGUACUAAAGGAUUUUUUAUUUUUGAUUUUAUUUUUUUCGAAAAAAUUGAAUAUUUUUUCCGAUUUUCAAAUUUCUGAAUUAUUUGAUGAUUUUGUCUCUAAUCACCGCUCAUCAUUGCUGCAAUCACCCCUCAUCAAUCCAAAUCGUCUAACUUCCUGGCCAGUCACCCAUCCUCUCACUACUCCAGCCUGAGCACGCUUAACUUCCGAGUUCUAAGUCUGCAUGUGUUGUUUACCUGAUAAUAGUAAGUUGUCAAUCCUAUUAACCCUCAGGAAUUUAGCUUGAACAUGAAGUCACAUGUUUCACCUUUUUAGUUUGAAACUAUUAUUCUGAAAAAUAAUUAUUAGUAACCGAGAUACUUCUUGAAUAAGUAGUCUGACCACAGUUUGACCAUAGUUUGACCAAAAGUCAAAAAAACUAAAAUAACUAUUUAUUAACACUAAUAUUUCUUGAAUAAUUAGUUUGACCAUAGUUUGACCACAAUUCGACCAGAAUUAAGAAUUUUUUUAAAAAAAAACUGAAAUUGGAGCAAAUCUUUUUUUCCUUUUAGAAUUUGAGGAUUCUAAAAAAUUGCAAACAAGCAGUAGGUGGUCAAAAUUGGAUGCGGAUUUUCGUGCUGAUUUUUUUGAUAUAUUAUGCAUUUUUUUACAUCGUAUGCAAAAGAUAUGGCCGUUUUACAUUUUCAUAACACUUUUUUUGCAAAGCAUGUCCAAAUUUAAGUUUUUUAAUUUUCCUAACUAGUAGAUUUAGUAACAUAACUACAUCUCGAACGAUUUUACUUUUUGAAGUUUUUAUCAUUUUCUUUUGCUUUUUACAAAAUUGAAAAGGUGGUCUGGGGGGGGGUAGAGUUUGAAAAUGGGUCCUUUAGUCUCGGUUUGUGUCUCCAACCGAGACUAUAGGUCAGACCCCUUUAGUCCCGGUUCGUGGCACAAACCGGUACUAAAGGUUAGCCCUGUAGUACCGGUUUGUNNNNNNNNNNNNNNNNNNNNNNNNNNNNNNNNNNNNNNNNNNNNNNNNNNNNNNNNNNNNNNNNNNNNNNNNNNNNNNNNNNNNNNNNNNNNNNNNNNNNNNNNNNNNNNNNNNNNNNNNNNNNNNNNNNNNNNNNNNNNNNNNNNNNNNNNNNNNNNNNNNNNNNNNNNNNNNNNNNNNNNNNNNNNNNNNNNNNNNNNNNNNNNNNNNNNNNNNNNNNNNNNNNNNNNNNNNNNNNNNNNNNNNNNNNNNNNNNNNNNNNNNNNNNNNNNNNNNNNNNNNNNNNNNNNNNNNNNNNNNNNNNNNNNNNNNNNNNNNNNNNNNNNGCCACGAACCGGGACUAAAGGGGCUCGUGGGGCCCCGCUUGACGCCAGCCUGCCACCACCCCUUUAGUACCGGUUCAACACGAACCGGCAUUAAUGCAUAGCCGUUUGAACCGGGACUAAUGGUACCAUUAGUACUGGGCCAACAUUGAACCGAGACUAAUGUGUCUCACAUUAGGUCCUUUUUCUACUAGUGCAGAUUGGUAUAGCGGACGCGGUGAGUUUCAUUUGAAUGGUCAUUAGUUACUAGUAUUCACAUUUCAGUUGCAUCAUGCUAACUAGACAUUGCAAAUGAUCUUUGGUGCAGCAUGCCUCCCGGCAAGCAUCGACCGAUCCUUCUUCAUCUCAAACUAGCGCAACCCCGACCAGUCCUUCUCCGCCUGGCACUGGCGCAAGCCAAACCGUUCCUUCACCUCCAUGAUGAUGGUAAGUGUUUUGCUUAACAAAUGCAUACUUAGCUUAAGAAAUGACCUACUUAGCUCCAAAAUGACCUAUACUUAUCUUAUUUUCCUCAAAAAUGACAUAAUAACCUUACUUAGCUCCAAACUGACAUAUUCUACCUAGGAUAGCUAUAAAAUGACCUAUACUUAGCAUUUUUUUCCUCCAAAAUGACUUGAUAUGCUUAGUUAGCUAGAAAAUGGCAUAACUACCUAGGAUAGCUCAAUAAUGAUCUACAGCUAGCUUAGCUAGUUCAUUUAUGACAUAAUUAGCUCACUUAGGUAAAAAAUGGCAUAACUACCUAGGAUAGCUGAAUAAUGAUCUAUAAUUAGCUUAGCUAGUUCAUUUAUGCCAUAGUUAGCUCACUUAGGUAAAAAAUGGCACAACAACCUUGGUUUAGCUCCCAAAUGACCUAUACUUAGCUUAUUUCCUUGAAAAUGACAUAACAACCUUACUUAGCUCUGAACUGACAUACUUUACCUAGGAUAGCUAUAAAAUGGCCUAUACUUAGCAUUUUUUUACUCCUAAAUGACUUAUUAUGCUUAGUUAGCUAAAAAUGUCACAACUACUUAGGUCAGCUCCAAACUGGCCUACACUUACCAUUUUGUCCUCCAAAAUGAAUAAAUUUGCUUAGUUAGCUCAAAAAUGGCAUAACUACCUAGGUUAGCUCCAAAGUGACCUAUUUACCUAGCUUAGCUCUAAAAUGACCUACACACUUAGCAUUGUUAGCUAGCUAAAGCUAAAAAUGGCAUUUUUACCUACCUUAGUUAGAAUAAGAAGAAGAUAAAGAAGAGGAGAGGAGAAAAAGAAUGAGAAGAUGAAUUCUUCUUUUUCUUCUUCUUCUUCUUUUUCUUCUUCUUUUUCUUCCUUUUCUUCUAGCUAGUCUUCUUCUUCUUCUUCUAACUUUCAUCUUUCCUAAUUUGUAGAUUUGCUUUAGAUGAGGAAGCUUGCAUUGAUGGAGUGUACUCUUCUACUUGUGCUUCCUUUUUGUUUAUGGAAACUUGUUUUGGAUAUGUAUGUAUAUAUGGAUAUGUUGUUGGAAGCCAUUGUAUGGUGGAUAUGUUGUUGGAAACUUGUAUGUUGGAUAUGUUGUUGGAAACUUAUUGUUGGUAUGCUUGUUGAAAUUAUUUUGAAAUGUGUGUGUAUAUAUAUAUAUAUAUCUGUGAAAUUCUGUCAAACUGAAUGAAUUUAAGAAAAAACAGAAAAAACAGGGGCUAUACAGUCUCUUUGUCGUCUGCUGGCAUAUGGCAAAGAGCUUUGCCAUCUGCCGGCAAAGCUGCCACAUGGCAGCUACCUGUGCAACUUGGGGUGCUCUGGGCUGACCUAUUUGGCAGCUUUGCCAUCAGCGGCAGAUGGCAAAGACCUUUGCAUCUUUGCCAUCCGCUAGCAGAUGGCAAAGAUGCAAAGGCCUUUGUCGUCUGCCAGCUGACGGCAAAGCACACCCUUAACCCCUUAACGGACCUAAGCUGCCACGUGUGGUGUCCAGGCUCUUUGCCGUCUGCCAGUAUACGGCAAAGAGGGCUUUGCCGUAGCUUAUUUAGCCGGACCUGUUGCCAUUUGUUGGCUGAUGGCAAAGGCCUUUGCCAUACUCCAGGCAUGCCUUUAUCGUCAUCCAUGGCUGACCGCAAAGUGCCUGAUUCCUUUAGUGUUGGCACAACUUGUAUUCCCGACCAAUCUGGCUUUUGGGGAUGUAGUGCAGUGGUGUACUGAAUGCAGUGUCGUGGUGUAGUGCGGGAAAGUUAAGAAAAAAAUGGACACAUGCAAGGCUAGCACCAUGAUGAACACUACUGAGGUAGAGGAGAUGAUGAAGAAGUUGGGGAUCACGGAGGAUGACUUUGAUGAUGUGGUAGUAGAGGAAGAGGAGGAGCUCCCUGCUGAAGCAAUCCAGUGGAUGGCAAUCAUGCGAGUGCACAUAGAGAAAACUUAUGCUCAGUACUGGUUUUCAGAAACAUGAGGGUGGCUUGGGACUUGGCGAAAGAGGUGAAGAUCUGGCUACUCAACAAUAAUAUGUACAUGCUGCAAUUUUCUUGUUUAGGCGACUAGGAGGGAGUCAUGGACGAUGGGCUCUGGACUUACCGAGGCAACACGGUGCUUUUGGCAUCGCAUGAUGGAUUCACUAAACCAUCAACCAUAGCCUUGGACACAAUUGAGAUGCGGAUCCAAUUCAUGAUCUACCAGAUAGCUACCCCUACCCCCAAUUGAGCCUGGCGCUUGCUAGACCAUCCCGGUUCUCUGAGUUCCAUUGAUCUUAAAAGUUCUAAACUAUCCAAAUAACCCUCUUUCCGAUGCAACCUUGGGACCACAUCCAUCACAUAUAUGGCCGACUAUUUUCCAUGGGAAAGACAUAAUGACUUAGGGUUUGAUAAGGAGAAUAGGAGACGGAGAAUCCCCUGAUAUUUGGAACAAUAAUAGGAUAACUAGAGAGCAUAUAAAGAGGCCGAGAACUUCACAAACACCACAGCCACCGACAAGCGUCGCUGAACACAUUGAUCACACUGUGUCAUCAAGGGCUGAACAACUUAUUCAAUCGAUACUUAUUCCCAUUGAUGCCGAGACUAUAUUGAAGAACCCUCUUUGCACGAGACAAAUAUCUUAUUUUUGGUCUUGGAUUGAGGAUAGAAGGGGCAUGUUCACUGGGCAUUCUGCUUACAAGAUGAUACAGUGAACCAAGAUCAGUAGAGAAUCAUGGCUGUAUGAGCAGGGUGGCCGAUCAAACUCAGAGGCUGAUUGUCAAGGAUGGAUAGACUUAUGGCAUAUAAAAGCCCCCCGAAAAUCAAGGUGUUCAUGUGAAUGUUAGCACAAUACUCACAAUGUCCUUCUUCAUCAUAGAAACAUGUCGAUGACGAGUGCUUGUUGUUUGUGCAGGUCUAACGAUAUGUGCAGGCACGCCCUGCUGAAUUGCUUGGUUUCAAGGAGCACUGAGCACUAUCAUACGAGCAAAUUGUCGAGCUAUUGAGUCUGAAUGUAAAUGAUGACGCCAAACAGUGGCUAUUCACCAUGCAUGAGGUUUUAUCACAUGCGGACGAUUUUAUCAUGUUUACGAUCACUUUUGUGGACGAUAUGGGGAGCUCGGCACAAAGCUAUACAUGAGGAGAUAUAUAAAAGCCCUUUCACUUUUCAGGCUUUUGUGCAGAGUUACUUAACUGAGCUGAGAGCUACCCAAAGCACUCGAAGUCCAGUUCCAGGGGCACCCGUGAUUAGGCCAAGUCAAUGUAUUGCUCCUCGGGAUGAUAUGGUGAAGGUCAAUGUGGAUGCUGCGGUUGGACCAGGCGACACUCGAGGCGCAAUGGGAGCUAUAUGCAGAGAUCAAGCAUGUAAUUUUCUAGGUGUGUCGGCCAUUGUGUUUCCACAUAUAUCAGAUCUUGUUACUGUCGAAUCUUCAGCAAUCAGGGUGGCACUUGCACUUGGUGAUAAUCUCUAUGAGAGGAAGAUUCAGGUGGCUUCAGAUUGCAAGGUGGUGUUGCAGAUAUACAUCAGAAGAGCGCAGCUAUCUACAGAGCAAUCAUAACUGAGAUCAUAGAUCAGAAGGCUACUUUUACUAAUUGUACAUUAGCAAUAAAUUUAGGAGCUUGAAUGUUGAAGCUCACAAACUCGUGAAGCAUGCCUUAUCCCUAGGGGUUGACCGCCAUGUUUGGUUAGGUAACCCCAUAGCUAAAGUUGUCUCGCCUUGCUUCAAAACUACUGGGCGUGCGCUGUGGUUUUGACCUAAAGCCUCCGUUUGCUGGAAUUAAUUGGAAUAGUUGAGAAGAAAGUGACCAACGGAUGCGUAAUGCGUGGAAAGCUGCUGGAUAGUUCGGGCCGAAUCCUGAAGAAAGUUCAAAGCGCUGUUUGCUGAGCCUACGUAGUAUUAGUUCGUUGGUCAGGUAAAGGUUGGCAAGCCAAUGAUGCUUAGCUGGUCUUUUUAAAUGUUUAGCCACACUGGACUGAGACAUGGCCUAGACUCCCAUGGGGGGCAGCAGAGGGGAAUCUUGGACAAUGGGCGAAAGCCCGAUCCAGCAAUAUCGCGUGAGUGAAGAAGGUCAAUGCUCCUUGUAAAGCUCUUACGUUGAGUGCGCGAUCAUGACAUAUCUCGAGGAAGAAGCCCAGGCUAACUCCGUGCCAGCAGCCGCGCUAAGACGGGGGUGGGGGGGUGGGGGGUGGGGGGAAGUACUCUUUGGAAUGACUGGGUGUAAAGGGCAUGUAGGCGGCGGGGUUGAAAAUGAAACUGUGAAAAUCAUAAUAAGUGGCGGAAUGCUCUUGAAACCAAUUCACUUAAGUGAGACAGAGGAGAGUGGGUGGUUUUCUAUUCGUCCCUAUAAACACUAAUCAUCAACCCGUGCACCUGCACGGGCUAGAUAUACCAUCAUAGAAUCUUGUAAAUAUACUUUGUAAGCCUAUAACUGGAAACAUAAAACAUGGAACAUGUUUUUCAGUUUUUAUUUUAUAGUGGUGUUUAGUCUUCAAAUUUCAGGCAGAAUUAGAAGUGGACACGUAUGAAUUCUCAAGUUCAUUGAUCAAGCGCAUGCAGUUGUUAUGGUAUACAAAAUCGAACAUGUUGAGGACUCACAUGCAUAUUUGUAGGAAAAACUAAAAAAAAAUUGUAAUUAUUUCUUACAUCAUUACAUUCAAACCCACACAAAGAAAAUACUCAAAUAAACAUCAUUUUUCUUUAAACAGAAGGAUCCAACUGACGCCAUAAAAUGUACCUUUUCCUUAUAUUGGCCAAUUAUUGCUCAAAUAGCUGUGCAUGUGCUGUGUAAAUAAGAUUUAGAUAUGGUACAUAGAACUUUUGUUAGAUUUAGAUCAUAGCUUCAGUGUGAAUGUUGCUGCAAUGGCACAGAAGUAUGAUCGGUUUGGCAUCGUCUGCUUUGCGAUGAUCCACUCCCGUGCACAGGCUCUAUCCUACGGAUCGUCCUAUGAGACAGCUAGCAGUAUAUGUCAUGCCAAAAGCUUCUUGACCAACAUAUGCGCUAGUAAAUCUAAUUACUCUAAAUUAUGAAAAUAUAGUUAUUCUGAAUUAUGAAAAUAUAAUUACCCUAAACUAUAUAUGUACCUUAGAUCGUAGAGGCCACCAUCGAACAGAACUAUAUAGGGAGUAGUUGUGCGGUAGUACUGUUGAGAUGUAGAAGUGGAAAAGCAAUAAUGCAUAACAAAAUCAUAUUCUAUCACACGCUUAUCUUAUACUAUAUAUAUUGGCACACAUUUUCUUUGCAUAUGCACCUGGUAGAUUAAACAAUGGAAGCAAACACAGUAGGGCAAACCAAUUUCAGAUUUUUAUCUCAAAUCAAAAGCCUAGAAAGGGUGAUCCAGGAAAAACAUUAAUCGCUGCAUUGUUGAGAGUCUCAUAUUUCAAUUUCACCAUCCAAUCUCAUAGAAAAAUGUAGGCAGCCGGUGAGGAAUCAGCAGAUGGUUGCCAUGUGCUUCUCGAUAUUUCUUUUCCCUAAUCACCAAAGAACACAUAGGCGAGCCCAGCAGUAACUUGAUAUACAGGAGGCUUCUUUGGUUUGCACCAGUGUAACACGAAAGAACAGAUACGCAGCCGUGAAAGUCGCUGGCUGCAUGAUGGAAGACGCCAACCACAUAUCGUUGAUAUUGAAGGCAACGCUUGAAUAUCUUUUUUGACCUCUUCGUUCACCAUAACCUUUCAUAGUGGGAUCCAUCUUUCUUAAGCUUUGACACUUGGAAAUAAUACUUACCAGCAUAUUAAUCAAACCUUGCUGCAUCCACCGAUUUUUUUCCAACUCAUGCAUGUGAAACCAUGGAUAUUUCAUCAGCAAAAAGUACGAAAAAGGACACAAGUAUGCACUAUUAAUUAUGUCUGUGCUCAGACGUACCGCUCUCCUGUAGUAUCCACAAAAGGAAAACCAAGAUUUUCAGUUCUCACGCGCCUGACAAACAUCAUCUAUCUUCUGCUUGCAAUCUUUCCUGAUGAUACAUCAUGUCUGUUGGGGGUAAUAUGAAUUCAAAAGGAUGGAAAAAAGACCUGGGAAGAGGGCAAUUAGGGAUACUGUGCUAAAUUGGGACAGGAGAGGAGAGCAUUAUGCCCUUGAAUGGAAUCCAUGAUGCGAAACGUUGUGCCGCCAUAGCGAUGAUGGCCACAACCAUACUUGCUUCAAAGAGGAACAUCAGUACUGUACCUCCUCCAAAGCCUCGAGCAAGCAACACAAUAUUGUACAGGAGGCCCCAUGCCAGCGGUAGGGGCCGAUCGCCGUUCAAUGCCUGCAGAGGGCCUCUCAUCCUUCUAGUACUGAAUAUGCUAGCAGUCGACUAAAAUAGAUGAUUGAGCUGAUACUGUUAUCAUUGCCAUCUGUAAUCGAUAUUGAAUACCUCCUCUUGCAUGCUAGAUCUAAACAUAAAAUUUAGCUCAACUGUACACAUCUGUUUUGACUCGACAGUAAGGAACCAUAAUAUUGGAACCCUGAGGAACAAAGCAACGGAUGAGUACUUGACAACAAUUUAGCUCAAGUGUACAGCUAAAAAUUUAAUUCUGAAGGACAAAAUUGGUUGCGACAAAAGCAGUCACUUGACAACAAUUAUCACAUUUGUCUAUGAAUAUUUGAACCUAUGGUCUUUGUUGCGCCCUGGUCGGAUGGAUUAAAAAACGCAACCAUCUAGUACAUAGGGAGAUUGUGCAUAGUUCUUACCUCCAAUAAUCUAAUCAAGGCAGUAGAGGAGGAUUAUGUGCCCUGUGUAAGAGGAACACGCAUCAAUCUGGAGUAGGAUCCAGGAGGCCAUUAUUGAACCAAUUUUCACAUAUCACCAGCUAAUGAAAAAUAAUCUACAAAUAGUAACUCUCAUCGAGUGGAAAUAAUAUCAUGCAUGGUACUUAAGCCAGCCGUACCUGAAACUUGAUGAAUCUAAUAUUUGUUCAAGGAAGUGUCUCAUGGCCUUUAACUAAAACUAACAAUUUACAGUUGACAGUGAUCUAGUUUCAUGAAACUAUAAUUAUUAGAAGUCACCAGAUGUCUGCCUCUCUUCGAUUUCUGCAAGUAGCACCUAGGUGAGCUCACCAAAGCACCCCAUGUUGCUCUAAGUAGGUAGAAAUUUGGCAGAUACACAAAUAUUAGUACGGUAUCCAUUAAUUCUAAUAAUUUAUAAAGAAGGACACUCCUCUAGCUUCUUAUGUGUGUGUGUGUGUGUGUGUGUGUGUGUUUGGUGCUGUGUAUUUCGAUGUGAGAUCAGUAAUUCCAACUCCCUACAAUUAAGAUAUGAAUAGUCAGUGGAAACUUACCAUUGGGAACCAUGGCUUGGGGAGCAUGUUCAAACCUGCAAGUUGCUGCUCUCAAUCUAUUGCCCAUGUAUAUGGAUGAUUAUUAAUCUGCUCAUAUGUUUACACCUCCAGACGUUGCCACUGCAGGGAUUACUAACAUGAACACAACCAUCAUCGCCAUUAAGUUAGCAACAUAGAUCAACAUACUUGUCGCCAUGGCGGGUAGGAAAAGUUUCACGUGUGAUGUUCUCUAUUGCUAUCACGUAAUCCUUGUAACUAACAGUCAAACGACAUGCUAGGCAAUCACAAAGGGAAACGUUUCUGGCCUGGGCACCGGCCGAACCUUCGGCCGGUCGCGAGCCACGCUGGCGCCCCGCGCCCGCCCAAGCUGCGCCCCGCGCGAGACUCCUGUUAUUGUUGGGCCCCACGUGGACCACCCCUCCUCCCUUUUUUAUCUUUCCCCUAACUGCUGCCUUCAUCCCCUACCUCCAGACACAUCCUUUCCCGUGGCCAUUUUUCUUCUUCCUUUUCCCUGCGCUGCUGCCUACCGGCGGCCGCUGCCGGCUGUGUGCUUCGCCGAGCCAAGGGGACUACCCGACUGCUGCCAGUCCUCCUCCUCCGCACAUCUUAUCCCCCAAAACAUCUCUCCUUCUCUCUCAAAUAAGCCAUGUUUCAAGAUGAGACAAGGUCUGGGAAGGAGGCUGCAACCAGUGCCCGGGGAGCCUGCGACCGGCCAUGAGACGGCGAGCAUGGUGACCUCAGGACGGCGAGGAUAGGGUAACACUCCUCCAAGAAAACAAUCGAUGUCGUUAUUUUUGCUACAUGCUUCAACCGGCGUCGGAAUUUGCUACAAACGGCAUCGCAUACUGCUGCCACUGGUGUCACAUUUUGCUGCAAUGCACAAUUGACCUCGCGUUUUUGCUAGAAUACAUGUCGCUUUUUGCUACAACCGUUUUCAUUUUUUGCUACAUAUGUUCAGGCUGAGCUGUGACCCGAUGACGUCGGCGAUGCCUUUUUUGCUGCAACCGUAAUAGAUUUUUGGUACAUCUAGCAACAAUUUUUUCUACAUCCAUUCUUUUUUUGCCAGCGACGAUACAAUGGUGAGAUACAGCCGCCAACGACGAUGACAAGCUUUUUCGCCGAAUAAGCUGCAACGGGCAUCGUCAAAAGCUGGAACCGGCCAUCAGCAGAGCUGCAUCUACUGUGGGUGGUGCCCCGGCAACCAUAUCGGGCACCUCUCGUGGAGCUCGACGCCCAUGGCCAUGGCGACAGCCCUCGCGGAGCUCGACGGCCAUGGCCAUGGCAGCACCCCUCGUGGAGCUCGAUGCCGAUGGCCAUGGCAGCACCCCUCGCGGAGCUUGACGCCAAUGGCCACGGCAGCAUCCCUUGCGGAGCUCGACUCCCAUGGCCAUGGCGUGCCCUAGCAGCCACGGUGGCAUCCCUCGAGUGGAGCUCGACGAACAUGGCCGUCGUGUCCAUCACUAGGCGGGGAAUCAUGCAUCUCGCGGGUCACAGGGGGAGCGCGCGUCCCGCGCGAGGAAGGAGACGAGUUUGGGGGAGAAUCGAAUGGUUAGAGGCAUGCAAAUCGUACGGCUACCGAGCGACCGACCGAACUUUCAGCCGGUGCGCCGGCGCCUAUCGUUACCCAAUCACAAAAGACAAUCUGGAGGAAGGCAACCGCUUGCACUGCUGGGGAGAGGGUCUAGAAAAUAUAGAACUUUCCCCAAAAUAAGAAUUUCCUGUAAAAAACAGAGCAGGAGCAGAUGAUGAACCGCGCUGGCAUAUACCUGCCUUUACCUUCUGGCAUGUGUGCCCUCCUUCAAACUACCAUGGAUACACAUCCACAUAUGCAUAGGCCAUCUAGGAUUCGGAAACCUGAAAUAAAAGGAUAUUGUUAGUCUAAUAUGUCACGUUUCGUGACAUAUCUCCUAAUCCCCUAAAUCGAGGAGAAUCGAUAUUGUUGUGAUCUCCCAUUUAUGGUUAGGAUUGUAAAUCUGUCUAUAUAUUGACAUGCAAUGGAAAAGCCGAAGUGUGGCAACAAUUCCUAAAUCUUUCAUGGUAUCAGCCUAAGAAAAUCCUCUCGCUUCCGCUCCCUCCAACCCUAGCGCCGUCGACCCUGUUCCCACGCCGCCGGCCAACACCUCCCUCCCCUCCCCUCCCAUGACGCCCUCCGAACCGCCUGCUCCCCAUCCCAACGCCGCCCUCUGGGUGCAGGCCACCGCCAUCCCAAGCGUCCGCUCUCUCGUCCCCAUCGUCCUCGAGUUCAAGAGCGCCGUCUUCCCCAAGUGGAGGACCUUAUUCAACAUCGCUGUCACCACCUACGCCCUUGAGGACCACCUCACCGCCGAGACGCCCUCCACCGAUCCAACAUGGCGCCGCCUCGACGUCUUGGUGCUCCGCUGGCUCUACGGCUCCAUGGCCAUGGACAUCGUCGACGUCGUCAUGCCCACCGACCCUGCCACCACCACGGCCUACAAGUUCUGGACCUCCGUCCUCGCUCUCUUCAACGACAACCAAAAGAGCCGCGAGAUUUAUCUCGCCGAGGAGUUCCACAACAUCAAGCAGGAGGAUCGGUCCAUCACCUAGUACCUUCACCUGCAAAAGACGGUGGCUGACGCUCUUGCCGAGGUCGGUGCCCCCGUAUCCGACCCCGAGCUCGUCACCAACGUCAUCAAGGGCCUUCACGAGCGCUUCGACAGCGUUGCCGACAUCGCCCCCUCCUCACGCUGUUCCCUACCUGCCUCAACUUCCACAACAUGCUGCUGCUCCACGAGAUGAAGACUUCCCGGCGCUCCACCAACACCUUAGCCUCCGCCUUCUACACCGCCAAAGGACCAGUCCCUGCUCCUCCCAGCGGCGGUGGGUCGUCCUCCGGCGGCGGUGCUCCUCCAAUGCCCACUCCGUUCAACCCUUGGACAGGAGCCAUCCAGAUGUGGCCCAUGCAGUCGCACCCCAACAGCACCGGCGACAUCCUUGGACGGGGUCUGGGAUCACGCGCCCACGCCUACAUGGCCGCUCCCCCGGCUUCUCUCGGCGCGCCCUACGGUGGCCAUAGCGCAACUCCGUUCGGUGCCGUGCUGCCCUACGCCACAACACCGACGCCGGCACCAUCAUGGGACACCGCCGCUCUCGCUCAACAGUUCACCAACAUGACGUUCAUCAACCCUCUCCUGAGUGGGUCAUGGAUAGCGGCGCGACCGCCCACCUCUCCUCCGAUGCCGGUAUCUUAUCAUCUCUUUCUCCCCAUCCUAUAUAUCGUCACGUGGUGGUCGGCGACGGUUCCACCGUUCCCGUCACCACAUCCGGUCAUUCCUCCCUUCCCUCCCUCUUUCCCAAUAGACCUCUUCACUUACGUCAUGUCUUAGUCACACCUGACAUUAUCAAAAACCUUAUUUCCGUUCGUCAAUUCACUACUGAUAAUCAUUGCAUCGUCGCUUUUGACCCUUUUGGUUUCUCUGUGAAGGACCUUCAUUCCCGGCGCGAGAUCCUUCGGUGCAAUAGUAUAUGGGAGCUCUACACGUUCACAUGUCCUCCGCCUCCUCGCACCCUCGCCACGCUCACCGCCCCUCAUGACCUGUGGCACCGUCGCCUCGGUCACCCCGGCCAUGAUGCCUAUAGUCGCCUCUCGCAACAUAUUUAUCUUCCUUGUAUUAGACAAAUAAAUCAAACCACUUUAUGUCAUGCUUGUCAACUAGGAUGUCAUGUACGUUUACCUUUUUCCUCUUCCACUACUCGUACAACUCGUCCAUUCGAGUUAGUCCAUUGUGAUCUUUGGACUUCACCGAUCUUGAGUGUUUCUGGCGAUAAAUAUUUUUUAGUCAUUCUUGAUGAUUUCACUCAUUUUCUAUGGACUGUUCUGCUUCACCAAAAAUCUGAUGCUUACGCCUCGCUCUCCGCUUUUCGCGCGUUCGCUCACACUCAGUUUGGCUUAUCUCUCGUGUCCAUAGAAUGUGACAACGGUCGUGAGUUCGACAAUAACAAACUUCACUCUCUCGCCGCCACGCACAACAUUCACAUUCGCUUCUCUUGCCCAUACACAUCCCAACAAAAUGGUAAAGUUGAAUGCAUUAUUCGCACUGUCAAUGACAUUGUGCGUUCUCUCUUAUUUGAGGCUAGCCUACCACCUCGUUAUUGGGCCGAAGCACUUCACACCGCCACUCACGUCCUUAACCAUCUUCCUACAAAAACAAUUAGCGGCCCCUCUCCAUACUUUGCCCUUCACAACGCCCAUCCCGAUUACUCGUCACUACGCGUCUUCGGCUGCCUAUGCUAUCCCAACACCGCCUCCACUAUGCCACAUAAAUUGUCGCCGCGUUCGAGUGCUUGCGUUUUUAUUGGCUAUUCCUCUCAUCAUAAGGGAUAUCGGUGCAUGGACCUCACUACCCACCACAUCAUCAUCUCUCGUCACGUCGCAUUCGAUAAGAUGACCUUUCCCUUUGCCUCCCCACAGCCUACCAACGCCGCCACGUACGACUUUCUCACCGCCGACGACAACCUACCCAUAGUUGUCCCACCCCUUCCGAUUACUACCCCUCCACCCACCCCACCACCCUCCCUCCUCCCGCCCCUCCCUCACCACCUGCACCACCCUCACCACCUGGACCUCCCUCACUGGGCGCCCCUCCUGCAAACACUCAUCGCACGCGCAACACCUCCGGCAUCCACAAGGGGCCUCGCGAGCGGCUUAACCUGCAUGUUUCGUCUGUCAGCAGGUACUCACCGGUUCCCACCUCCGCCUGUGCAGCUCUCAAGGAUCCCAACUGGCUCGAUGCUAUGACUGCGGAGUACCGCGCUCUCCUCAACAACAACACUUGGGAUCAUGUGCCUCCUCCUCGGGAUGCUAACAACGUCUCCGGCAAGUGGGUUUUUUGCCACAAGCUCAAGCCCAAUGGCUCCCUCGAUCGCUAUAAAGCUCAUUGGGUGCUUCGAGGUUUCUCUCAGGAGCCAGGUGUCGACUUCGACGAGACAUUCAGCCCGUUUGUCAAACCAGCCACCGUGCGUGUCAUCUUCUCCAUCGCGCUCUCUCUUAAUUGGGAGACUCGUCUGAUCGACAUCAAGAACGCCUUUCUGCAUGGCACUCUUGCUGAGGUUGUCUACUGUCGUCAACCCACUGGCUUCAUCGACUCCAGUUGCCCCGACCACGUCUGUCGGCUGAACCGUUCACUCUACGGUCUCAAGCAGGCUCCUCGUGCGUGGUACCAACGCUUCACUGCUUUCACCACUUCAACCGGCUUCAUAUGCUCACGCUCAGACACUUCGUUCUUCGUCCUCCGGUGUGCAGAAGGCACGGCCUUCCUCCUACUCUAUGUGGACGACAUCAUCCUCACCGCCUCGUCGACUCGCUUGCUCGACAUGAUCACGUCCUCUCUCCAUGCCGAGUUCGCCAUGACGGACAUGGGCAUCCUCCACUACUUCCUCGGCAUCGCGGUUACCCGCGACUCCUCCGGCAUGCAUCUUUUGCAAGCUAAGUACGCCACGGAGAUUCUGGACAGGGCCGACAUGACUGCUUGCAAGUCGGCCACGACACCUGUUGAUACAUCACCGAAGCUCGCUGUUACUGCCAGUCCUUCAGUGGCCGAUCCCACGGAGUACCGGAGUCUUGUCGGCGCUCUCCAUACCUCACUUUUAUGUGCCCAGACAUCGUGUAUGUCAUUCAACAUGUUUGCCUUCAUAUGCACGACCCGCGUGAGCAACACCUCGCCGCCAUCAAGCGCAUCUUGCACUACGUCAAGGGCACGCUCUCUCAUGGCCUUCAGCUCUACUCGACUUCACCAAGCUCCAUGAUCGCCUACACCGAUGCCGACUGGGCCGGCUGCCCCGACACUCGGCGGUCAACGUCAGGAUUCUGUGUUUACUUUGGAGAUAACCUCAUCUCUUGGUCCUCCAAGCGGCAACACACAGUCUCGCGUUCGAGUGCUGAAGCCGAGUACCGUGCCGUGGCAAACGCCGUGGCUGAGGCGAGUUGGCUUCGGCAACUUCUCUAGGAACUUCAUCGACCAUCUCCUCCUGCGACAAUCGUCUUCUGCGACAACGUCAGCUCUGUCUACAUGUCCACGAACCCAGUACAACAUCAGCGUACCAAACACAUCGAGAUCGAUCUCCACUUCGUUCGCGAUCGUGUUGCCAUGGGUCAGGUCCGAGUGCUUCAUGUUCCUUCGUCACGACAGUUCGCCGACAUCUUGACGAAGGGUCUUCCGUCGCCGUUGUUUUUGGAUUUUCGGUCCAGUCUCAAUGUCCGUUCUCCUCCUGUUGUGACUGUGGGGGAGUGUUAGACUAAUAUGUCACGUAUCGUGACAUAUCUCCUUAUCCCCUAAAUCGAGGAGAAUCGACAUUGUUGUGAUCUCCCAUUUAUGGUUAGGAUUGUAAAUCUGUCUAUAUAUUGACAUGCAAUGGAAAAGCCUAAGUGUGGCAACAAUUCCUAAAUCUUUCAGAGAUAUCAAAACUCGAGUGGAAGGGCAAUGUGUAGAGAUUGAAUUGGUUCAUUUUCUUCUAGAUGGACUGCAUUAGGGAUCGUACCUUGCAGUAUAUAGGAGAACAUGGAGAGGCGGCGGAGGAGGAGGAGCGGCGCUGGCAGAAGAGAUGUGGCCAUGCGGGGAAACCUGUUUUUUCUUUGGGUUUCCAUACGAAGACCUCUGAGAUAAUUUGCUAGGACUCUCAGGGAUUUCAUCCAACGGCUGUAGAUAUUUUAUACUGAGAUCAGAUGGUUAUUUUUGUUAGUUUUGUAGGAUUAACGUGAUGCCUCGUUUGGUGCCUCCAAUUAGUAAAUAUAAGAUAAGAUAUAAGAUAUAAGAUAAGAUUGUGAGGUACUAAAAUUAUUUUUUUUGAAAGGAAAAGUUGAAACAGACGCUCACUUCCAUGAACACGUGGACACACAACCGGUGGCUCCAUGCAUGCAUGCAUGAUACAUCGCACGCAGUACGCAAGCGGGCUGUUGCCAAGCUAACUAAUGGCGCCCGGCCGACAACACAGUACAGCUAGUAGAGCACUCGCUGCCAAACGCCUACGUGAGAGACCCUCGUGAGCCCAGCUAUACAACCUCCGCUCCUCCACCCAUCCUCGUUCACUCCGCAUCCGCAGCCGAAUUCCCCCGUCUCCACCGCUCAGUCCCCCGGACCGCCGGACCUCUCCUCGCCUUGCCAUGGCAGCCGCAGCACUGAGGGCGCAGCUGAACGCCCAUAUCGCCGGCAUGUACACCAAUGUGAGGCCCUUCCCCUCCCCUCUAGUCGUGUGGUAUUGGAUUUUGGCUUGGCUGGACGACUAACUUGGCCUUUGCCUUUGCUUUGGCGUGGUCGAUGUCGAUGCAGGGUGUGGUGGACGAGGAUACAUUCGAGGAGCUGCGGGACGAGGGCACCACCGCCGAGGUCUCCCGCCUCUUCAUCUACGACGCCUCCGAGAUCAUCGACGACAUCGACCUCCUGAUGUCCGCCCCCACGCCCUCUGUCAUCUCUCCCUCUGCUCUCUGUCUCGGGAACUGACUCAUCUUAAUUAUCUGCUCUGGAAAUCGCAGGGAGGAGCCUGAAGUGGACUUUGACGAGGUGGAAGCCCUGACGCAGCAGCUCAUGCGGUGCACCUCCAGGUGAUGACUAUCAUAAACCAUUUCUCUCUCUUCCACCUGCUUAUUUUUAACUCUAUGUUUGUUUGCCCGCUGCGUCAAUGUCGUGCGAUUCGGAUCUAUUUAUACUGGGCAAAGGAUUCUUAUUUGUCGGUUGCACUACCCCAUAGGCGUAAUUAGAAGAAUCAAGUUUAGUCGCGUUUAAUGUAACAGAGUUACCAGUAUCCCGAUUAAUAUCAAUGUUAUGAUGAGGAUAAAUUGCUGGCAUUUUUGGAAUAGUCUUGGUAUUAAUGAUCUGCUAUUCUGUGUAUUGCUAAUGGUGGUUUUUCUGGUAUUAAUGAUCUGCUAUUGUAUGUAUCUCUAAUGGUGUUUUUUCUAGUUUGUCCACGGCUUUGAUGUUGUUUUUUAUUUUGAUGUGUCGGCACGGGGUGUGUACCUCACGACACGGCCACACAAUUGAGGUUUGUGUCGUUUUACAGGCGUCGUAUAGCCAUAGGUAGAAGAGCUGAGUUUAGUCAUAUAUCGUGUAACGAAAUUGUUGGUAUUCUUCCCAAUGUUAAUCAAAUUGUAUAGCUUGGCGAGGGGAAUUUUUGUCGUUUUGCAAACGUUUGUUUUACUAUCAUGUCUGUUCUUCGGGCAAUGCCAUUAUUCUAGGUUGAGAAUGAAAAAAAUUGUCGUUUUAUAAGCAUGGCUGGUAUUAAUGAUUUGCAAUUCUACAUAAUGCCAAUGGCCAUGUUUCACCAUUGGAACGGUGUUGUUUCUAUUCAGAUUUGUCAGGCACAGGGUGUGUACGUCAUGGACGUCAUUUGGGUGUCGUAUAUCCAAAAUUAGAAGACCUCAUUGUAGUUGUGUCGUGUGUAGCGGAAUUGUUGGUAUUCAUGACAAUUUCAUGGUCCGGCAAGAAAAACUUUGUCGUUUUCUAAAUAUUUCUGGUACUACUGAUCUGCUAUUGCACAUAGCGGCAAUGGUGUUUUUUUUUCUGCUUCAUCAAACAAUUUAUGGAGUUGACAAUCAUGAUAGGAAAUGGCUCCUUGAGAAUAUUAUUGAGUUGACGUCUCAGUUUAUAAUAAGUUUGAUAAGUUCCUAAUUUCCUGAUCUGCAUUUUUUUUGCAUGUUUCAGUGUUGGUGCACAGCAAGUGAACCUCGCCUGCAUGCACUUCGGCAAUUUCUAUGCCAUACAAUACAAACAAGGGUCAGAACUUAGUAGCUUAUUUAAUACUGUUACACAAUAAUUAUUCGCAACAUUGUUUUUCAAUGUCUCUAUGUAAACCUGACAGCUCAUGUUGUCUUUUCUGUCGUUAUUUUCAGCUCAUAUACCAAUCUAACAUUGUUAAGAAGUAUCCUGAUUUGCUUUUUCACUUCAUCUGCAAUCACGUUAUUGAUAUUACUCGGUUCACUAUCUGAAUAUGCUACUCUUUGAUGGUUCUCUUGUAAUUUAUUGGCUCUAGGCUUUUGUUUAUAGCACAACUAAAUUCUUAUAUGGCUAGAGAUUUUUCUUUUUUCAAAUAUAGGGUUACAAUUUUUGAACCAUUUCAUCUCUGUUCUGUUAACCUCUUCAGAAUUUGACAAUGUGGUCAUUUUGCAUUAUUUCAGGUGUCUCGUGUCAUUGGCUCUUGUUAGGAAUGAGUUCUAUAUUGUGCGACAUGAGUUGGAGAUCGUGAUGCAGGUAGCACCGUAUGUGCAUAAUGUUGGAUGUUGAUACCAACUUUCCACUAGUUUCAUAACCCAUAGAUUGGUCAUAUUAAGAUAGAGAAAUGGGAACAAUCUUUAAUCCUUAAUCUAAUUCUUUUGACAUUUAGAUUUGGAGCACUUAGUUUGAGGUACCGAAAAGUCUCCUUUAGCCGUUAAAUGAUUAUGUGGUAAUUUUGUCAUCAUGUUCGGUAGAUGCAUAGGGUAGCUAAAAAAAGUGGGAGAAAUUCUCUGUUUCCCGGCCUAAAUUAAGCUUCACGAAAUACCCAAAUAAGAAACUAGCUAACUUGUAACAUGGUGAUUAGUGAAACCAUGUGACUUGAGCACCAUUAUGUGCCAUAGACUUAUCUUAAUCAUUUUUCGGAAGGUACUUCUCUUAAUCAUUGACCUAUUAUUCAUAUUUUGUUGCAGCUCGAAGAGCAGAUCGCGGCAUGUGGUCCUGACUCCUAAGUAGCGGCAAGUGAAGGGGGAAGAGCGUGGCCCCAUGCAAUCCCUUGCAUUAUGCGGUCCAUGUGUCUCGGAAGAUGUAGCCGUUUUCAAAGGGUGUCUAGUACUAUAGGGUGCGCGUAAAACUUAGAUGAAUAUUCUCGCGUCGGAACUUUGGGCUCGUAACCCUGUGAAAGAAAACUGUUGUCGUGUGUUGAUGUCAGUGUGAAGUCCAUAUUCUAGAGUGUCGUGGAUGUGUUGGCCCCCGCCUACGGGCUGUUUAUGAAACCUAUACUUGGUUGGUUGGUCCUCUAGUGACUUUGUUUUGCUGUUUCUUCUGUUUGUUUUUCUCUAUAAGCAAGUCUUGUUGUUAGUUGUUGUACCCAGAGUGUAGCCAAUCACCAUAUUUGGGCAUAUUAAACAUGUUGUUUCGGUCUGAAAUUUCAGCAUGGCCUUCUUAUAAGAGUACGACGGCACUUCCACGAGCAGUAGCCGGAGGAGGGGGAAAACAGAGGGGAUGGUCUGUGAGGUCACAUCCAGGGAUCACAAAGCUGUCGGUUCGCGAGACGACGUGAAGAGCAUCUCUGGGCUUGGGUAUGUUUGCAUUGGUAUGAAAAGUCUGGGCUAAUUAAGUCGCCAAUUACAGCUCCAACGAUGAUCGCUGGAACAUCAUACUACUCCUACUCCACAUAGUUAUUUAGACUACCCUGAAUCACCAACUGGGCAAGAGAACAUGUGGCCAUCUUCGUCUUUGUCCUGUAGUGGCUGAUCUCACCUAUUGCAAACCAUGUUCUGAUGUGAAACUUCGGGUCUUUGAUGGUAGUAGAAACUGGUGUUAUUCAUCACCAUGGCUAGCCGAUGCUCGUACGGCCUCCCUUCCAUGACUGCUAUCGCUUCUCAUGCUGGCUCGCCAACUAGGGUAUGGUUGGUUGAUGAAAGAAAAACUCUAUCACACACCAAAUUUAGAUCCCGCUUUCUUAUAUAUGUGCAAAUUUUUUGGUACAACCAUGCUCCACAUCGAACUCUAUCUUAUUUUUCCAGAGUGGAGGAAGGGGACACUUUGUGGGACUUUCAGUAGAAAAUUGUCCAUACAGAUAGAAGCACCUAUUAAAAAGAUACUCCAAAGGCUUCCGGAUCAUAGUCUCAUUAGCUGAAGAACACCCAUGCUAAUCUAUAUUAAGUGCAUUCAAAUCAUGCCUUUAUUAACUAGUCCAAGGCCUCAUCAGCCACAACAUCAUAAAUACAAAGAGGAAAAAUAUGAAACCAAGUUUUACACAAAUUAUUGGGGCAACCUUCCCUUGCCAUGAUGGAAUUAGCCCUAUUAGUUGUUCUUCUAUUCCACUUCACCCGAUGCUCUUCUAAAGCAAAUAACAAGUCCAUUAUGUNNNNNNNNNNNNNNNNNNNNNNNNNNNNNNNNNNNNNNNNNNNNNNNNNNNNNNNNNNNNNNNNNNNNNNNNNNNNNNNNNNNNNNNNNNNNNNNNNNNNNNNNNNNNNNNNNNNNNNNNNNNNNNNNNNNNNNNNNNNNNNNNNNNNNNNNNNNNNNNNNNNNNNNNNNNNNNNNNNNNNNNNNNNNNNNNNNNNNNNNNNNNNNNNNNNGUUAGUCUACAGAGUUCAGCGUUAUAGCCACACCCUGAUUGUCAUUAAUGAAUACAAUUGUUUGGUCAAAUAUGUUGUUUGAGAGUAGUUCAUGAUGGCCUUUCUAGUUGGAGAGAAUAAUUCUUUCCUUGAUGAUUUCUCUUACAAAGAUCAAGCAUAUAUAUCGAGGGAGAGAGAACCCACUCCCCUGGAACGUAGGCAUGCAGGCCAUGAGAACUAGGAGAUCCUAACAAUGGUGCAUAGACGUCCUGCACAAACGGUUCUCCGUGUUAUGGCAGGUUACAUUCUCAUGUUUUUUACUUUACAGUGCUUACAAGUUGAGAUUUGAAAAAAUCUAGCCUAGAACAUAAGUCAUCAAAACUCAUGGCAUUUUGAAACUUUAGUCAUAAAAAGAUAUCAAAUAUCAGACACAAAAAGGGAGUGCUAGACAAAAACGCAAAAAGAAUGAAAAUAAAGAAGUGGCACAAUAGUUACCGAGCGUUGAUAUGUCUCCAACGUAUCUAUAUUUUUUAUUGUUCCAUAAUAUUAUAGCCCGACAGCCCCAUCCUCUACUCCAUCGAUGCGUCCACUGGGCGAGAUCGGUGGUGUGCCAUCUGAGGGAGUCCCGGAUUAGGGGGUGUUCGGAUGACCUGACUAUGACCUUUGGCCGGACUCCUGGGCUAUGAAGAUACAAGAUUGAAGACUUCGUCCCGUGUCCGGAUGGGACUUUCCUUGGCGUGGAACGCAAGCUUGGCGCGGAUAUGUAGAUCUUCUCCCAUUGUAACCGACUAUGUGUAACCCUAGCCCUCUCCAGUGUCUAUAUAAACCGGAGGGUUUUAGUCCGUAGGACGAACAACAAUCAUACCAUAGGCUAGCUUCUAGGGUUUAGCCUCUCUGAUCUCGUGGUAGAUCUACUCUUGUACUACCCAUAUCAUCAAUAUUAAUCAAGCAGGAGUAGGGUUUUACCUCCAUCGAGAGGGCCCGAACCUGGGUAAAAACAUCAUGUCCCUUGUCUUCUGUUACCAUCCGCCUAGACGCACAGUUCGGGACCCCCUACCCGAGAUCCGCCGGUUUUGACACUGACAUUGGUGCUUUCAUUGAGAGUUACUCUGUGUCAUCAUCUUUAGGCCCGAUGGCUCCUCCGAUAAUCAACAACGAAGCGGUCCAGGGUGAGACUUUUCUCCCUGGACAGAUCUUCGUAUUCGGCGGCUUUGCGCUGCGGGUCAAUUCGCUUGGCCAUCUGGAGCAGAUCGAAAGCUACGCACCUGGCCAUCAGGUCAGAUUUGGAAGUUUAAACUACACGACCGACAUCCGCGGAGACUUGAUCUUCGACGGAUUCGAGCCACAGCCGGGCGCGCCGCACUGUCACGAUGGGCAUGAUGUAACUCUGCCACCGAACAGUGUCCAGGAGGCCGCCCCAGCGUCCGCUCCGACCCUUAGCUCGAAGCCGACUACGCCAAUCGAGGACGGGUGGCUGGACACCGCCUCGGGGGCUGCAAUCCCUACGGCGAUCGAGCCGAAUACCAGCCUUGUCCUUUACGAAGCUCGUGACUCCCAGGUGCCGGACUCCUUUCCAGACUCCAAACCUUCCGCGCCCCUGCCGAUCGAACCCGAUUGGGCGCCGAUCAUGGAGUUUGCUGCCGCAGACAUCUUUCAGCACUCGCCCUUCGGCGACAUUCUGAAUUCACUAAAGUCUCUCUCUUUAUCAGGAGAGCCCUGGCCGGACUAUGGUCAGCGAGGUUGGGAUGCGGACGACAAAGAAAUUCAAAUCCCACCCAUCACCCACUUCAUAGCUACUGUCGAUGAUUUAACCAACAUGCUCGACUUCGACUCCGAAGACAUCGACGGUAUGGAUGCUGAUGCAGGAGACGACGAAGAACCAGUGCCUAUAGGGCACUGGAAGGCCACCUCAUCAUAUGACAUAUACAUGGUGGACACCCCAAAAGAAGGGAAUGGCGAUGGAACAACGGAGGUUGACCCCUCCAAGAAGCAGCCUAAGCGCCGGCAUCAGCGGCGCCGCUCUAAAUCCCGCCCAAGCAAAAACGAUGAUUUCGGCACGGGAGAUAAUAACACCCCGGACAGUGCCGAAGACAACCCCCUCCAGCAGGAUUCAGCACAGGAGGAUGGAGAAGCCAGCCCUCAUGAGAGAGCGGCAGACAGAGAGGUAGAGGACGAUAAUCACAUGCCACCCUCCGAAGACGAGGCAAGCCUCGACGACGACGAAUUUAUUGUGCCUGAGGAUCCCGUCGAACAAGAGCGUUUCAAACGCAGGCUUAUGGCCACGGCGAGCAGCCUCAAGAAAAAACAGCAGCAGCUUAGAGCUGACCAAGACUUGCUACCCGACAGAUGGACUGAAGUCCUUGCAGCCGAAGAGUACGAACUCAAACGCCCCUCCAAGAGCUACCCAAAGCGUAGGCUGCUAUACCAAUUAGAGGAGGAAGCACCUAAACCUACAUCACCAGCGCACGACGCGGCAGACCGGCCACCUCGUGGCCACGACAGAGAGGCCUCUUGGCCAUCCUCUCAAGCCGCACCCCGGCGUUGCUCAAAAAAUACCAAGGCACGGGGAAAGGCGCCAGACCUGCGAGAUAUAUUGGAGGACAAGGCAAGGCAAACAAGGUCGAUCUCCGGAUCGCGUGGGCGCCCCACGACACGUAACGAUAACCGUCAUGCCGGAUAUGGCAAAUACGGCCAGGCCAAACACAGCAGACAAAGCUCAUUUGAGCUACGACGUGAUAUAGCCCAGUACAGAGGCGCCGCACACCCACUAUGCUUCACAGAUGAAGUAAUGGAUCAUCAAAUCCCCUAGGGUUUUAAACCCGUAAACAUCGAAUCAUACGAUGGCACAACAGAUCCUGCGGUAUGGAUCGAGGACUAUCUCCUUCAUAUCCACAUGGCCCGCGGUGAUGACCUACACGCUAUCAAAUACCUCCCAAUCAAGCUUAAAGGACCAGCUCGGCAUUGGCUCAACAGCUUGCCAAUAGAGUCAAUUGGUUGCUGGGAGGACCUGGAAGCCGCAUUCCUCGACAAUUUCCAGGGCACCUAUGUGCGACCACCAGACGCCGAUGACCUAAGCCACAUCAUUCAGUAGCCAGAGGAAUCGGCCAGACAAUUCUGGACACGGUUCUUAACCAAGAAAAAUCAAAUAGUCGACUGUCCGGACGUAGAGGCCCUCACAACCUUCAAACAUAGCAUCCGUGACGAAUGGCUUGCCCGGCACCUAGGACAGGAAAAGCCGAAAUCCAUGGCAGCCCUCACAACACUCAUGACCUGCUUUUGCGCGGGAGAAGACAACUGGCUAGCUCGUAGUAAUAACAUGACCAAGAGCCCUGGUAAUUCGGAUACCAAGGACAACAAUGGCAGGUCGCGUCGCAACAAAUACAAGCGCCGCAUUAAUGGCGACAAUACUGAGGAUACGACAGUCAAUGCCGGAUUCCGAGGCUCCAAACCCGGUCAGCGGAAAAAGCCAUUCAAAACAAGUACUCCGGGCCCGUCCAAUUUGGACCGAAUACUCGAUCGCUUGUGCCAGAUACACGGCACCCCCGAAAAACCAGCCAAUCACACCAACAGGGAUUGUUGGGUGUUCAAGGAGGCAGUCAAGUUAAGCGCCGAAAACAAAGACAAGGGGCUGCAUAGCAAUGACGAGGAGGAGCCCCGACCGCCGAACAAUAGGGGACAGAAGGGCUUUCCCCCACAAGUGCGGACGGUGAACAUGAUAUACGCAACCCACAUCCCCAAAAGGGAACGGAAGCGUGCACUCAGGGACGUAUAUGCGUUGGAGCCAGUUGCCCCAAAGUUCAACCCAUGGUCCUCCUGCCCGAUCACUUUUGAUCGAAGGGACCACCCCACUAGCAUCCGCCACGGCGGAUUCACCGCGUUGGUUCUAGACCCAAUCAUUGACGGAUUUCACCUCACUAGAGUCCUUAUGGACGGCGGCAGCAGCCUGAACCUGCUUUAUCAGGAUACAGUGCGAGAAAUGGGCAUAGAUCCCUCAAGGAUUAAACCCACAAAGACGACCUUUAAAGGCGUCAUACCAGGUGUAGAGGCCCACUGUACAGGCUCAGUUACACUCGAAGUGGUCUUCGGAUCCCCGGAUAAUUUCCGAAGCGAGGAGUUAAUCUUCGACAUAGUCCCGUUCCGCAACGGCUAUCACGCGCUGCUUGGACGAACCGCAUUUGCAAAGUUCAAUGCGGUGCCGCACUACACAUAGCUCAAGCUCAAGAUGCCAGGCCCUCGAGGAGUCAUUACGGUUAAUGGAAACACCGAACGCUCUCUCCGAACGGAGGAGCAUACGGCGGUCCUCGCGGUGGAAGUACAAAGUAGCCUCUCAAGGCAAUUCUCCAGUCCAGCUAUUAAACGUCCAGACACCGUCAAGCGCGCCCGGAGUAACCUACAGCAAGACCACCUGGCACGUUCCAAACAAGUGUAGCAGUGCGGCCCCGACCCCAGCCCUCGCGAAAUUGCGAAACCAGUACCACGCGUACAUAAUUACGCUCUGGAAAUAUCAUGGGCAUAGGGGGAGGGGCACAACCAUGGCACGCCCAAAAUGCGGCUCAACCGCACUAGGGGCUCCCAAUUUUGUCAUUUAUUUUUUCUUACUUUGAGGACUCCAUUCUCCGGAAGGCCUGUCCGACAGUACAAUCGCCGAACACACGAUGCAACAGCCAGGGAGGCAGCAAGCUACGUCAAAUAUCCAGGUGGUCUCUAUAACGAGCUAAAUACAUGUCUUACAUAAAGUCUCGCAGCUUGCCCUUGGAGGGGGACAUGUCAAAUAAUCACAUCUCUUGCUUAUCGCACUAUUUGUAUCGUUCUGCUUUCACAGCAACCUUUUAAUAUACAAUGCAUAGCUCUUGUCUAUUAUUGCAUUCAUUUUUUAUGUAAAUAUGUUCAGUCAUGACAUUAUGCAACCGUACACUUUGGUACGGCCAACACACCAGGGGCUUAAGUACUCCAGAAUAUGGUGUGAGAAGUCCGAACACUCUCACGAGUGCGGCACCCCGAACUUAUAGCAUUAUAUGCAUCGGCUCUGAAUCAUGUCUUGGGUCAAUAGUUGGGUUUGCCCGGCUCCCAUGUUUUGGUACCUUACGUUCCGUUAUAUCGGCUAAGGUAGCGCUGGGAGAACUACUGCAAUUGUGCCCCAGUUGAGCUGGGUUAAGCACCUCAGUAGACAAAGCUAAAACUGACCGUCAUGAUAGGGCGAGAGCCGGUCGCUGUUCGAGAGGUUUCGAGUCCCUAAACACUUAUGCCGCUUAGAGCGAGGAGCUGGCUUUGUCCGGCCUAGGCGUGGAUAGCGCCCCAAACUCGGUCUUCCGAAUACUAGGGGCUUCGCCGAAAUUUAAAAUUGUAGAAUUCUGUGGCUAAGUGAGAGUGAUAAAGCAUUACAGUCCGAUUGCCUUGUUCGUUGUGCUGAGCGCCUCCCUCGAAGGACCCAAUAAUGGGAACAAGAGCGCUCAGGUUUAUCCCGAACACCCCAGCACUCGUGGCAUGGGGGUAGAAGCCGACGACUCGCCAUCUCUCAGAUUUGAUAAAUGGCCGCACAAAAGGUAAUAUUGUAAAUUCAAAAAGCAUUGCUUAGUGCAUAUGAACAAGUCAUCAGCACACAGGAUAACACGAGCGAGUUUACUCAAAUAUUACAUAUUUGGAACAUUCAUUCGCCACAAGGAGGGCACCCUUCAAGAUGCCCUCAUAAUACAUCUCGGGCAUGCGAUGCUCCUUCCCCUCCGGUGGCCCAUCUGUCACCAGCUUCUCAGCAUCCAGCUUGCCCCAGUGUACUUUAGCACGGGCAAGGGCCCUACGGGAGCCUUCGAUGCAUACGGAGCGCUUGAUGACUUCAAGCCGUGGACAGGCAUCCACCAGCCGCCUCACCAGCCCAAAGUAGCUCCCGGGCAUGACCCCCCCAGGCCAUAGCCGGACUAUUAGGCCCUUCAGGGCCUGUUCGGCUACCUUAUGGAGCUCGACCAACUACUUCAGCUGGUCGCUCAAGGGCAUCGGGUGUCCAGCCUCAACAUACUGGGACCAGAACACCUUGUCCGUCGAGCUCCUUUCCUCGGCUCGGUAGAAUGCGGCAGCGUUGGACACACUGCGGGGCAGAUCUGCGAAUGCUCCUGGAGAGCUCCAGACUCGGGUAAGUAACAAGUAAUUCACUUUCACGUGCUUGCUUUGCAUAAAGAAUGUCUUACCUGCCGCUAUCUUCUUCAUCGCCUCAAUUUCCUGGAGGGCUUUUUGGGCUUCGGCCUUGGCAGAUUUGGCGCUUUCAAGAGCCGAGGCAAGCUCGGACUCUCGAGUCUUUGAGUCAAGCUCCAAACUCUCGUGUUUUUUCACAAGAGCGUGGAGCUCUUGCUGCACCUCCUCCACUCGCGCUCCUACUUUUCUUGCUCGAUGCGCACCAUGGCCGCAUUGUCUUCGGCCUUGGACAGCGCUUCCUUCAGGGUCGCCACCUCGGUUGUGGCCCCUAUAACACUCACGUUGGUCCUGUCACUAUUUGCAACCAGGUAUUUUUAUAUACUUACAUAAGGUACUACUUACCUUCCUUGUCCUCAAGCUGCUUCUUGGCAAGGCCGAGCUCGUUCUCGGACCGCUCGAGGCUCUUCUUCAAUGCAUCGACCUCCGCAGUCAGUGCGGUAGAGGUCAGCAGCGCAGCCUGCAUUCCCAUCUUGACAUAUUUAUCUUAGAGUCCUGCAUAUAUCUUUUUAGAUCCUCAGUCUGGAUUUUCUUUCCGAACACCAAACUGAGCAUCAGGGGCUAAUGUCUAUGCGGUAAUAUUUUUACAUGUCUUAAAUACAUACCUCAAAGCCUGUUAGAAUGCUGGCACAGGCUUCUGUCAGCCCGCUCUUGGCGGACUGAACCUUCUGGAUCACCACACUCAUAAUAGUGAGGUGCUCCUCGUCGAUGGAGGCGCCGUUAAGCACCUCCAGCAAAUUGUCCGGUGCCUCCGGUUGGAUGGAGGACACCGGCGUCGUAGGCUUGCCCUUCUUACGAGGGGGCCGCCUGCCGGACUCCGGAACCACUGAGGGUUCCGGUGCGGUGUCCGGCCCAUGGCCGGACUUAGAUCCCUCUGGGGUUUCAUCCCCUUUGCGCCUGGAGCCCGGGAGGUCGCCUUGCGGCGCCUCCAGGACCACCCCCUCCUGGCUUAGCCCCUUUUGGGACUUCACCUCGGCAUCGUCCGCGGGGUGAGGGGAGGUAGCAGUCGGGAGUGAAAGACUAUUCACAUCCGACGAAUCCAGGGAGCCGCUCGAUGAAGCAUCGAGCUGGGCCUUGGGCGGACUACAUGAUUAUAUUCGGCGUCAGAAGAUACGGUGCAAUAAAGGAACACCAUGAUUUAUUCUGGUAUCCGGAUACUUACGAUUUUGCCAGGGGCUUGGCCCUGGACGGCCACUCCUCUCCGCCUUCAUUGGCGCUGGUGGAGUAGUCCGGAAGAAGGGUCUUUCUCUUCUUGGACCCUCCGGCCUUCCCAGUUUGGGCGGCCUUCCUUUUCUUUCCUCCCCCCGUUGGAGGGGGACAGGCUUCUUCUUCCUCCUCCUCGUUUUCGGGGGAGGAGUGCGCUUCGGGGUCGUCAGGCGAUGAAUCCGACACCACCAGGCGCCAGGAACUCUUUCGAGUUCCCGUGGACUUAUUCUUGGCCUUCUUCUUCGGCACCAUGUGAGGUGUCGGGACCAGCAGCUUCGCCAAGCGUGCGUCUACUAGGCCUUCGGGCAAAGGAGCCGGACAGUCAAUCUGUCCGGACGUCUUCUUCCAGUCAUGUCAAAGGAGCGGGAGCUUAGAUCCCGCGUAGAGUCAAACUAUUAAAAACAAGUAUCCUGUAAAGGGUAAAACAAGCUUACUGCGCUGGCUUGGCGCUUCGCGCAGAAUCCGCGAUCCUCGGUAAUGGGAGGGGAAACCUCGGAGCCCUUGAAUAGCACCUUCCAGGCGUCUUCGUGCGUUGUGUCAAAGAGCCUGGACAAAGUUUGAUGUUGGGCCGGGUCGAACUCCCACAAGUUAAAAGCCCGUCGUUGACACGGGAGGAUCCGGCGGAAGAGCAUGACCUGGACUACGUUGACAAGUUUAACCUUCUUGUCCACCAGGUUUUGGACCCAGGUUUGGAGUCCGAUCACCUCUUCCCCCACGACAGGCCCAUCCCUUUCCAGGAGGUGAGACAUGUGGGGAUGCCAGAUUGGAAUUCGGGGGCCGCUGCCCAUUCAGGGUCACGCGGCUCGGUGAUGUAGAACCACCCCGAUUGCCACCCUUUGAUGGUUUCCACAAAGGAGCCCUCGAGCCAUGUGACGUUGGGCAUCUUGCCCACCAUGGAGCCUCCGCACUCCGCUUGCCGGCUGCCCACAACCUUCGGCUUGACAUUGAAGGUCUUCAGCCAUAAGCCGAAGUGGGGCUUGAUGCGGAGGAAGACCUCGCACACGACGAUAAACGCUGAGAUGUUAAGGAUGAAGUUCGGGGCCAGAUCGUGGAAAUCCAGGCCGUAGUAGAACAUGAGCCCCCGAACAAAUAGGUGGAGUGGGAAACCCAGUCCGCGAAGGAAAUGGGGGAGGAACACCACCCUCUCAUGGGGCCUGGGGGUGGGGAUGAGCUGCCCCUCGUCUGGAAGCUGGUGCGCAAUGUCGUUGGACAAGUAUCCGGCCUUCCUCAACUUUUUGAUGUGCCCCUCCGUGACGAAGGAGGCGAUCCACCGGCCUCCCGCUCCGGACAUGGCUGGAGAAGGUCGAGGUGGGAAGUGCGGACUUGGGCGCUAGAGCUCGAGUGCGCGGAAAUGGAUAAGCGAAGGAGGAAGAGGGCGUGGAUGGAAAAGGUGGAUCCUUAUCCCCUUAUAUGAGCGGACGAAACUGUGUGCCCCCACCAGCCUGGUAAAACUCUCUUAUCUCCCAAGUGCCGUGAUUAAUGGCACGGUUGGGUUACCCACGCCCGUAUUGAUGAGAAUCCCGGAAUAAGGGGACAUGAUCUCUGCUUUGACAAGACGUGCCAAGGAAACCGCCUCGCUGAACGCGCUGAGGUGGGACAAUAAAACGAUUCGAAUGAAGGCUUGGCCGUCGGAUGAUGUCACGCUACGGAAUACGUCAGCAGAUUAGAUUUGUACAAACAUUAUUCUCUCUACGCUGGUAUGUGGAACUUAUUUUGCAGAACCGGACACUAUCCUUGUGUUCAAAAUCUUCUAUGAAGUAUUCGGAGGAGGAACCCGCCUUGCAAUGCCGAAGACAAUUUGCACGCCGGACUCGUCGUCAUUGAAGCCUAGUUCAGGGGCUACUGAGGGAGUCCCGGAUUAGGGGGUGUCCGGAUGACCAAACUAUAACCUUUCGCCGGACUCCUGGGCUAUGAAGAUACAAGAUUGAAGACUUUGUCCCAUGUCCGGAUGGGACUUUCCUUGGUGUGGAAGGCAAGCUUGGCGAUACGGAUAUGUAGAUCUCCUCCCAUUGUAACCGACUCUGUGUAACCCUAGCCCUCUCUGGUGUCUAUAUAAACCAGAGGGUUUUAGUCCGUAGGACGAACAACAAUCAUACCAUAGGCUAGCUUCUAGGGUUUAGCCUCUCUGAUCUCGUGGUAGAUCUACUCUUGUACUACCCAUAUCAUCAAUAUUAAUCAAGCAGGAGUAGGGUUUUACCUCCAUCGAGAGGGCCCAAACCUGGGUAAAAACAUCGUGUCCCUUGUCUCCUGUUACCAUCCGCCUAGAUGCACAGUUCGGGACCCCCUACCAGAGAUCCGCCGGUUUUGACACCGACACCAUCCUCACAUUAGGGGGUUCAACCCCCCAUCUCAACUGCGAUUCCUGGAUCAUCAGGGACACCUCCUCUCCACUCCAUCUCCCACAUGAUGGCCACUCUAGCACUAGAUACUUAAUGAGUGAUGGUGGUUCACAUUUUAUUCAUGGUGUUUUUCGUAAAAUGCUUGCUAAGUAUGAUGUUAAUCAUAAAAUUGCAUCUCCAUACCAUCCACAGUCUAGCGGUCAAGUAGAAUUGAGUAAUAGAGAGAUUAAAUUGAUCUUGCAAAAGACUGUUAAUAGAUCUAGAAAGAAUUGGUCCAAGAAACUUGAUGAUGCAUUAUAGGCCUAUAGAACUGCAUAUAAAAAUCCUAUGGGUAUGUCUCCGUAUAAAAUGGUUUAUGGAAAGGCAUGUCACUUACCUCUCGAACUAGAACAUAUGGCAUAUUGGGCCACUAAAGAGCUCAAUUAUGAUUUCAAACAUGCUGGUGAGAAGAGGCUUUUUGACAUUAUCUCACUUGGUGAAUGGGGAACCCAUGCCUAUGAGAACGCCAAACUAUUUAAGAAAAAGUUAAAAGGUGGCAUGACAAAAAGAUACAAACGCGGGAGCUUAAUGUAGGUGAUUAUGUUUUGCUAUACAACUCUCGUUUAAGAUUUUUUGCAGGAAAACUUCUCUCUAAAUGGGAAGGUCCUUACGUUAUCGAGGAGGUCUAUCGUUCCGGUGCCAUCAAAAUCAACAACGCUGAAGGCACAAAUCCGAAGGUGGUGAACGGUCAAAGAAUCAAACAUCAUAUCUUAGGUAAUCCCAUAAAUGUUGAAACCAAUGUUAUUGACACCGUAACCCCGGAGGACUACAUAAGGGACACUUCCCAAAAUGUUUCAGACUCCAAAAGGAAUAGGUAUGUGGUACGGUAAGUAAACUGACUCCAAAACAAUUAUAAUAGCAAAUUUUCUCUGUUUUGGAAUAUUUAAAAAAUUAGGAAAAUAAGAAGUAGUCCGAAGGAGACACGAGGCAUCCACGAGGGUGGAGGGCGUGCCCUACCCCCUGGGCGCGCCCCCUGCCUCGUGGACACCUCGUGUGCCCUCCGGAUUCCGUUUUCUUGCACGAUACUUCUUUUUGUCGGUAAAAAUUCAUUAUAUAAUCUCCCAAAGGUUUUGACCAUCGAACCAUGACAAAAUCAUCUGCUUUUGUUUCGAGCUGUUUUUCUGACAGAUCUAGAUCACCAUGACGUCUUCAAGCGCCCCCAAGGACAUGUUUUCAAGUGCCAAGGGAUGGUGGAACACGGACUCAACGCCAACCACAUGAUGGUCGCGGAGUUCACCAACAACCACAAGUUGGAUGCCAAGAACAUUGGGGAGACCAUCUUCAAGCUUCAUGAGAAAAUCGAGCACCUCCAAGCCUAGAUCUAUGACUUGCAAAACCAAAACUGUGAGUAUGAAUAUAGAUUCAAGAGGAUGAGUUUGGCUGCAGAUUUGAGGAUCCCGGAGACUCAAUCAUCCUUCUAUGAUGGUGAGCCUAUGCCCUGGAAGAUGGACCACAAGCCUACAUCAUCAACAACUCCAGCAUCACCACCCCAAGAAAGAGACAUAAACACAUGGGUAUGGGAACUCCCCUUGGCAACUACUAAGCUUGGGGGAGCUGCCCCGGUAUCGUAUCACCAUCACAUUUCUAUCUUUACCGUUUUUCUUAGUUCGGUCCUUUUGGUUAUAUCUUGAUCUAGUAGAAUAAAGUUUUAGUUCGAUCUAGCUUUGAUUUUUGUGUUGAUACCUAUCUAUGUAAUCGAUUCCAUGAGCUAUAUAUAAUAAAGAUUAGUUUUGAGUUGAGGGCUUUGCUAUCUUGCUAUGAUAUUGAGGGAAUAAAAGAAAAAGAAAGAAUAAAAAUAAAUAAAAAGAUCAUAUUGACCUUUUGGGGAGUAAUGACUUUACACAUAAAGAGUAUGAUGAAUAAAAGUUGUUGAGAGUUGACAAACAUAGUUUUGGUCAUCGUGGCAAUUAAUAGGAAGUAAUAAACAAAGAGAGGUUUUCACAUAUAAAUAUACUAUCAUGGACAUCUUUUAUGAUUGUGAGCACUCAUUAAAAUAUGAGAUGCUAAAAAGUUGAUGUUGGACAAGGAAGACAACAUAAUGAGUUAUGUUUGCUUAUAUCCUAAAUAAAUUAUAUUGUCAUGGAUCAUCCAACAUGUUGAACUUGCCUUUCCCCCUCAUGUUAGCCAAAUUCUUUGAACCAAGUAGAGAUACUACUUGUGCUUACAAACAUCCCUAAACCCAGUUUUGUCAUGAGAGUCCACCAUACCUACCUAUGGAUUGAGUAAGAUCCUUCAAGUAAGUUGUCAUCGGUGCAAGCAAUAAAAAUUUCUCUCUAAAUAUGUAUGAUCUAUUAGUGUGGAGAAAAUAAGCUUUAUACGAGCUUGUGAUACGGAAGAAAUAAAAGCGACGGACUGCAUAAUAAAGGUCCAUAUCACAAGUGGCAACAUUAAGUGACGUUCUUUUGCAUUAAGAUUUUGUGCAUCCAACCAGAAAAGCGCCUAUCUUUUAUUUUUACCUUCUACCCUUAUACAAGAGUCUUGGUGAUCUUCACCUUUCCUUUUUAUACUUUAUCCUUUGGCAAGCUCUGUGUGUUGGAAAGAUCCUGAUAUAUAUAUAUUUAUAUUUAUAUAUAUAUAUAUAUAUAUCCAAUUGGAUGUGGGUUUUCAUAAAGUAUUAUUGUUGACAUUACCCUUGAGGUAAAAGGUUGGGAGGCGAAAGUAUAAGCCCCUACCUUUCUCUCUGUCCGAUUGAAACUUCAUACUCAUAAGUAUCGCGUGAGUGUUAGCAAUUGUGAAAGAUUAAAUGAUAAUUGAGUAUUUGGACUUGCUGAAAAGCUCUUAUAUUGACUCUUUCCGAUGUUAAGAUAAAAUUGCAAUUGCUUCAAUGACUGAGAUUAUAGUUUGCUAGUUUGCAAUGAAGUUUCUGAUUCAUACUUUACAUUGUGAAUAGAUUGUUACUUUAGCAUAAGAAAUCAUAUGAAACUAUAUAUGUUGUUGUUCUAAGAAUGAUCAUGAUGCCCUCAUGUCCGUAUUUUAUUUAAUCGUCACCUCUAUCUCUAAACAUGUGGACAUAUUUUUCGAUAUCGGCAUCCGCUUGAGGACAAGCGAGGUCUAAGCUUGGGGGAGUUGAUACGUCCAUUUUGCAUCAUGCUUUUAUAUCAAUAUUUAUUGCAUUAUGGGCUGUUACUACACAUUAUGUCACAAUACUUAUGCCUUUUCUCUCUUAUUUUACGAGGUUUACAUGAAGAGGGAGAAUGCCGGCAGCUACAUUCUGGGCUGGAAAAGGAGCAAAUAUUAGAGGCCUAUUCUGCACAACUCGAAAAGUCCUGAAACUCCAGGAAAGUCAGUUUUGGAAUAUAUUAAAAAUAUUGGGCGAAGAAAGCACCAGAGGGGGGCCACCCACCGUCCACGAGGGUGGAAGGCGUGCCCUACCCCCUGGUUGCGCCCCCUGCCUCAUGGGCCACCUGGCAGGCCCCCGAUGCCCAUCUUCUCCUAUAUGGUGUCUUUUGCCCUGGAAAAAAAAUCAUAAGGUAGAUUUCGGGACGAAGCGCCGCCGUCUUGAGGCGGAACCUUGGUGGAACCAAUCUAGGGCUCCGGUGGAGCUGUUCGGCCGGGGAAACAUCCCUACGGGAGGGGGAAAUCAUCACCAUCGUCAUCACCAUGGAUCCUCUCAUCGAGAGGGGCCAAUCUCCAUCAACAUCAUCACCAACACCAUUUCCUCUCAAACCCUAGUUCAUCUCUUGUAUCCGAUCUUUGUCUCAAAACCUCAGGUUGGUACGUGUGGGUUGCUAGUAGUGUUGAUUACUCCUUGUAGUUGAUGCUAGUUGGUUUAUUUGGUGGAAAAAUCAUAUGUUCAGAUCCUUUAUGCAUAUUAAUACCCCUAUGAUUAUGAACAUGAAUAUGAUUUGUGAGUAGUUAUUUUUGUUCCUGAGGACAUGGGAGAAGUCUUGUUAUAAGUAGUCAUGUGAAUUUUGUAUUCUUUGAUAUUUUGAUGAGCUGUAUGUUGUCUCUCCUCUAGUGGUGUUAUGUGAACAUCGACUACAUGAUAGUUCACCAUUGUUUGGGCCUAGGGGAAGGCAUUUGGAAGUAAUAAGUAGAUGAUGGGUUGCUAGAGUGAUAGAAGCUUAAACCCUAGUUUAUGCGUUGCUUCAUAAGGGGCUGAUUUGGAUCCAUAUGUUUCAUGCUAUGGUUAGGUUUACCUUAAUUCUUCUUUCAUAGUUGCAGAUGCUUGCGAGAGGGGUUAAUCAUAAGUGGGAUGCUUGUCAAAGGAAGGGCAGUACCCAAGCACUGGUCCAACCACAUAUCAAAUUAUCAAAGUAACGAACGUGAAUCAUAUGAGCAUGAUGAAAACUAGCUUGACGAUGAUUCCCAUGUGUCCUCGGGAGCGCUUUGCUUUAUAUAAGAGUUUGUCCAGGCUUGUACUUUGCUACAAAAAGGAUUGGGCCACCUUGUUGCACCUUGUUACUUUUGUUACUUGUUACCCGUUACGAACUAUCGUAUCACAAAACUAUCUGUUACCAAUAUUUCAGUGCUUGCAGAGAAUACCUUACUGAAAACUGCCUGCCAUUCCUUCUAUUCCUCAUUGGGUUCGACACUCUUACUUAUUGAAAGGACUACGAUAGAUCCCCUAUAGAUGUGGGUCAUCAAAUAGUACAUAACAUAACUUGAGCUUUAGAUUUGGCUCAUUAUCACACUGAUGUCAAAUUUAUCAUUUUUGUAUCUUAAAAAUGUUAUAAACUUUAAUACAAAAUUUUUGUGACAUCAUACAUUGAUGUGCGUUAAUGUGCUAGAUUUUUUUUACUUUUUAAAAUGUUCUAUAGCAUCCGGUGCACCGGUAGCACCAUUACUGCGGGUGCAUAGGAUACAUCCCCGCGAGCGAUCCGUGGAUGGCUUGGUGCGGACGGGCGCGUGCGGUUGCCGAUCCAUAUAUUCCUGAACUCGGAUCUAGACACAAGAUCCUCCGUUGCAUGCCACAUCCAUGGCUCUAGUGAACCAGAUCCGCACAUGUGAUAUGUCUCCAACAUAUUUACUUUUUGUUUUGGCCUCUAAUUUAUAUGAUUUGAAUGAAACUAACCCAAACUAACGCUGUUUUAAGUAGAACUACCUUGAUGUUAUUUUUUGUGUAGAAAUAAAAAUCUCAUAAUUGGACGAAACUUCGUAGAGAUUUUUUAUGGAAUAAAUAAAAAAUACCGGAGCAUCGGCAUCCGUACCAAGAAAAUAAGAGAGAAAGUAAUUUGGGAGCUGCCACCAUCUCUUGUCUUCAUUGGGAGCCCUGAUCUGGAGUCCAUUCCUAGCUCCGGAGAGAGGGAUUCGUCGUGGUUGUAAUCACCAACCCUUCUCCAUCAAUAAUUUCCUGAUUCUCACCACCAAGAGUGUGUAAUCCCUUUCAGGCAUACUAGAGGUAGAGUAAGAUGAAUGAGAUUUCCUAUGUAAUCAUGUCAAUUUGUUAGGGCUUGAUCCCUAGUAUGCACUAUGUUCUGAGAUUGAAGUUGUUAUGACUUUCUUAUACUUAAUGCUUGUCAGUACGGCCCGAGUGUCAUAAUUUCAGAUCUGAACACUUAUGCUUCUAUGAAUAUAUUUGACAUGCUGAUCUUACCUGCAAGUUGUAUACACCUGUUAUCAUUCCAAACCUUAGACUUCCAAGUUGACCAUUGAAAGUGCUAGUUAUCGACUAGAGGGGGGGGUGAAUAGGCAAUUUUUAUAAAAGUCUUCAAAACAUGCAAUGUCUUCGAAAACGCGGAAGAAAAACAAUCACUAAACAGGAUACAUCGGAAUAUAAACCACACUAGACAUGUCGGUAUGUCAACAAAAAUUGACGUAAGAUGCGAAGAUAGAAAACAACUAGGUAGUUCAGAACAAUGAGAAGAUAGUGUGAAGACAAAUAUGUAAUCAGAGGAAAUGUCUUCAUACAAUGUCUUCGAAUAGUAUGAGCACGCAAAGGCAUCACAAAACUAAACAGUAAGUAAAGGAGUGAAGUGAUGGAACCAGUUGCUCAUAGAAGACAUGUGAUUUGUUAGACCAAUUCCAGCUGCUGUGACAGCUAUAUGUCUGGUUAAGGAGGCUGAGAUUGAAAUCUGAAGACUUAGUCUUCACCUUAUUCCCCUUAAGCUAAUAUCCGCAAAUCUCACCCAAUCACUCGGGGAAGUCUUCAAGGUAAACUUCCAAACCUUCACAGACUUCGUUCACUAGCAAUCCACAAUGACUCUUGGAUGCUCAGAAUUUGACACCUAACUGGUUGGAAGAUCACAGUCUUCAAGUGUAACAAGUCUUUGGUUCACGCAGAACAGAAAGGCUUCAGUGAUGCUCAAUCACUUUGGGCUCUGGGUGUUUUGGGUUUGUCCUCGCAAGGAAUUUCUCUCAAGGCUUAAGAGGUGGGUUGCUCUCAAACGAUAACAACCAUGUAAUAACUCAAAACAACCACCAACUUAUGCUGGAGGGGGUGGGCUAUUUAUAGCCAGGAGGCAACCCGACAUGAUAUGACCAAAAUGACCCUAGGUCAAUGGGUAACCGACAUGUGUCCAACAACCGUAUUUCAAACACACGCGAUAGCUUUACUUGAGCUCCAACUAAAGCUAACUCAACGAACGUUGGAAAAGGUGUUCUCUCACUGUCUUCACUGGAAGACAUAGAAUUUUAGGUUCAACAUCAAGUCAGUUUCUAACUUUGUUUACCUCGACCCCAUUUAACAAUAUGGUGGUUCCUAUGGCUCAAGAAAGGCGAAAAUGAAACUAUCAAAAGACUAUGUCUUCGUGCUCCAUUGUAUUCAAGCGAAAGUCCUCACGUCCCAUUGUCUUCAAAUAAAUGUCUUCCCGUACCACCAUUAUCUUUAAUGUCUUCAUACAUGUUUAGGAGUCAUAUUUGAUUGGUAAGCCGAAUCUCUAGGGACUUCUAUCUGUGUUCUCCUGUGAAUCUCAUAAAUAGAUUAGUCCCUCAACCAAAUUUGUCGUCAAUACUCCAUAACCAAUGAUAUGUCCAUUUUGCAUCAUGUUUUUAUAUUGAUAUUUAUUGCAUUAUGUGCUGUUAUUACGUAUUUACGUACAAUACUUAUGUCUUUUCUCUCUUAUUUUACAAGGUUUACACAAAGAGGGAGAAUGCCGACAGCUGGAAUUCUGGACCGGAAAGGAGCAAAUCUGAGAGACCUAUUCUGCAUAACUCCAAAAAUCCUCAAAAUUUACAGAGAAUUAUUUUGGAAUAUAUAAAAAUAUUGGGUGAAGAAAAUACAAGAGGGGACCCACCAAGUGGCCACAAGGAUGGGGGCACGCCCUACCCCCUGGGCGCGCCUCCCUGGCUUCAGGGCCCCUUGGCAAGCCUUUGGUGCCCCUCUUCUACUAUAUGAUGUCUUUUGACCUGGAAAAAAAAAUCAGAAGAGAGCUUUCAGGAUGAAGUGCCGCCGUCUCGAGGCGAAACUUGGGCAGAACCAAUCUAAGAUUCAGGUGGCUUCAGAUUGCAAGGUGGCGUUGCAGAUAUAUAUUAGAAGAGCGCAACUACCUAUAGAGCAAUCAUAACUGAGAUCAUAGAUUGGAAGGCUACUUUUACUAAUUGUACAUUAGCCAUGAAUUUAGGAGCUUGAAUGUUGAAGCUCACAAACUCGUGAAGCAUGCUUUAUCCCUAGGGGUUGACCGCCAUGUUUGGUUAGGUAACCCCAUAGCUGAAGUUGUCUCGCCUUGCUUCAAAUCUACUGGGCGUGCACUGCGAUUUUGACCUAACGGCCUCCAUUUGCUGGAAUUAAUUGGAAUAGUUGAGAAGAAAGUGACAAACGAAUGCGUAAUGCGUGGGAAUCUGCCGAAUAGUUCAGGCUGAAUCCCGAAGAAAGUUCGUUGGUCAGGUAAAGGUUGGCCAGCCAAUGAUGCUUAGCUGGUCUUUUUGAAUGUUUAGCCACACUAGGACUGAGACAUAGCCCAGACUCCCAUGGGGGGCAGCAGAGGGGAAUCUUGGACAAUGGGCGAAAGCCCGAUCUAGCAAUAUCGUGUGAGUGAAGAAGGUCAAUGCUCCUUUUAAAGCUCUUACGUUGAGUGCACGAUCAUGUCAUAUCUCGAGGAAGAAGCCCCGGCUCACUCUGUGCNNNNNNNNNNNNNNNNNNNNNNNNNNNNNNNNNNNNNNNNNNNNNNNNNNNNNNNNNNNNNNNNNNNNNNNNNNNNNNNNNNNNNNNNNNNNNNNNNNNNNNNNNNNNNNNNNNNNNNNNNNNNNNNNNNNNNNNNNNNNNNNNNNNNNNNNNNNNNNNNNNNNNNNNNNNNNNNNNNNNNNNNNNNNNNNNNNNNNNNNNNNNNNNNNNNNNNNNNNNNNNNNNNNNNNNNNNNNNNNNNNNNNNNNNNNNNNNNNNNUAAGUACUCUUUGGAAUGACUGGGUGUAAAGGGCAUGUAGGCGGCGGGUUGAAAAUGAAACUGUGAAAAUCAUAAAAAGUGGCGGAAUGCUCUCGAAACCAAUUCACUUAAGUGAGACAGAGGAGAGUGGGUGAUUUUCUAUUCGUCCCUAUAAACACUACUCAUCAAUCCGUGCAGGUGCACGGGCUAGAUAUACCAUCAUAGAAUCUUGUAAAUAUACUUUGUAAGCCUAUAACUGGAAACAUAAAACAUGGAACAUGCUUUUCAGUUUUUAUUUUAUAGUGGUGUUUAGUCUUCAAAUUUCAGGCAAAAUUAAAAGUGGACACGUAUAAAUUCUCAAGUUCAUUGAUCAAGCGCAUGCAGUUGUUAUGGUAUACAAAAUCCAACAUGUUGAAGACUCACAUGCAUAUUUGUAGGAAAAACUAAAAAAAAUGUAAUUAUUUUUUAGAUCAUUACAUUCAAACCCACACAAAGAAAAUAGUCAAAUAAACAUCAUUUUUCUUUAAACAGAAGGAUCCAACUGACGCCAUAAAAUGUAUCUUUUCCUUAUAUUGGCCAAUUAUUGCUCAAAUAGCUGUGCAUGUGUUGUGUAAAUAAGAUUUAGAUAUGGUACAUAGAACUUUUGUUAGAUUUAGAUCAUAGCUUCAGUGUGAAUGUUGCUGCAAUGGCACAGAAGUAUGAUCGGUUUGGCAUCAUCUGCUUUGCGAUGAUCCACUCCCGUGCACAGGCUCUAUCCUACAGAUCGUCCUAUCGGACAACUAGCAGUAUAUGUCAUGCCAAAAGCUUCUUGACCAACAUAUGUGCUAGUAAAUCUAAUUACUCUAAAUUAUGAAAAUAUAGUUAUUCCGAAUUAUGAAAAUAUAAUUACCCUAAACUAUAUAUGUACCUUAGAUCGUAGAGGCCACCAUCGAACAGAACUAUAUAGGGAGUAGUUGUGCGGUAGUACUGUUGAGAUGUAGAAGUGGAAAAGCAAUAAUGCAUAACAAAAUCAUAUUCUAUCACACGCUUAGCUUAUACUAUAUAUAUUGGCACACAUUUUCUUUGCAUAUGCACCUAGUAGAUUAAACAAUGGAAGCAAACACAGUAGGGCAAACCAAUUUCAGAUUUUUAUCUAAAAUCAAAAGCCUAGAAAAGGUGAAUCUGCCGAAUAGUUCGGGCCGAAUCCUGAGGAAAGUUCAAAGCACUGUUUGACGAGCCUACGUAGUAUUAGUUAGUUGGCCAGGUAAAGGCUGACAAGCCAAUGAUGCUUAGCUAGUCUUUUUGAAUGAUUAGCCACACUGGGACUGAGACAUGGCCCAGACUCCCAUGGGAGGCAGCAGAGGGAAUCUUGGACAAUGGGCGAAAGCCCGAUCCAGCAAUAUCGCGUGAGUGAAGAAGGUCAAUGCUCCUUGUAAAGCUCUUACGUUGAGUGCGCGAUCAUGAUAUAUCUCGAGGAAGAAGUAACUCCAUGCCAGCAGCCNNNNNNNNNNNNNNNNNNNNNNNNNNNNNNNNNNNNNNNNNNNNNNNNNNNNNNNNNNNNNNNNNNNNNNNNNNNNNNNNNNNNNNNNNNNNNNNNNNNNNNNNNNNNNNNNNNNNNNNNNNNNNNNNNNNNNNNNNNNNNNNNNNNNNNNNNNNNNNNNNNNNNNNNNNNNNNNNNNNNNNNNNNNNNNNNNNNNNNNNNNNNNNNNNNNNNNNNNNNNNNNNNNNNNNNNGUACUCUUUGGAAUGACUGGGUGUAAAGGGCAUGUAGGCGGCGGGUUGAAAGUGAAGCUACGAAAAUCAUAAAAAGUGGCGGAAUGCUCUUGAAAUGAAUUCACUUAAGUGAGAUAGAGGAGAGUGGAUGGUUUUCUAUUCGUCCCUAUAAACACUAGUCAUCAACCCGUGCAGCUGCACGGGCUAGCGACUUGAGUCCGAAAACUUUGUGUUUAAUAUACUCUGGAAAAAGAAUAAACAUUGAAUAACAUUCAUAAUUUGUAAUUAUAAGUGUACUUUUUAAAAUCACGGUUACAUUGUUUAGCCUUUCAAGCAAUGCACAACAAUAAUUAGUGGCAAUGCACAACAAUAACAUUCAUAAUUUAUAAUUUCAACCGUGGUAUUAUAGGAGCAUACCACAUCACCUUGGCAGGAAUCUUCUUCCUGGAGCGCUCGCCCUCGACAUCUCCAGGGUCAUCGCGGCUGAUCUUAUAGCGCAAUGCACCGCAUACGGGGAACGCGUUCAAAUCCUCGUACUCACCACAGUAGAGGAUGCAGUCAUUAGGGCAUGCAUGUAUCUUCUGCACCUCUAAUCCUAGAGGGCAGACAACCUUCUUUGCUUCGUACGUACUUGGGCAAUUUGUUGUCCUUUGGAAGCAUCUUCUUUAACAUUAUCAGCAACUUUCCAAAUCCCUUGUCAGAUACACCAUUCUCUACCUUCCAUUGCAGCAAUUCUAGUGUGGUGCCCUGCUUUUUCUUGUCAGCUUCACAAUUUGGGUACAACAAUUUCUUGUGAUCCUCUAACAUGCGCUACAACUUCUUCUCCCCCUUUUCACUUGUGCAGUUUCUCUUUGCAUCAGCAAUGGCACGACCUAGAUCCUCAGCGGGCUCAUCUUAUGCCUCUUCUUCAGCUUCUUCCCGCAUUCCCGGCUCAAUUUCUUCCCCCAUUGUUGUACCAUCGUAUUCAGGGAACCCAUGGCCAGGAUAGCUAUCGUCGUCCUCUUCUUCUUCACUGUCUUCCAUCAUAACCCCUCUUUCUCCGUGCUUAGUCCAAACAUUAUAGUGGGGCAUGAAACUGGACACAAAUAGGUGGACGUGAAUGGUUCUUGACUUAGAGUAAUUCAGAUCAUUCUUACAGUUAGCACAUGGACAAGGCAUAAAACCAUCCGCCCGCUUGUUUGCCUCAUCUGCAAGUAGAAACGUAUGCACACCAUUAAUGAACUGGGGAGAGCAUCGGUCAUCGUACAUCCACUUCCGGUUCAUCUUCAUUUACACAACACCGAAAAUUCCAAAUUAAUACAAGUUCAUACAAAACAACAUACAAAUAACUCUGUAGCUAAAGUAUUUAAAUGCAACAACAAAUGCGAUCAAGAUCGCAACUAAGGUAACAAUUGAUCCAACAACAUAAUGAUACCAAGCCUCACUAUCAAUGGCAUAUUUUUUAAUCUUUCUAAUCUUCAAGCGCAUUUUCUCCAUCUUGAUCUUGUGAUCAUCGACGACAUCGGCAACAUGCAACUCCAAUUCCAUCUUCUCCCCCUCAAUUCUUUUCAAUUUUUCUUUCAAAUACUCGCUUUCUUUUUCAACUAAAUUUAACCUCUCGAGAAUAGGGUCGGUUGGAAUUUCCGGUUCACAUACCUCCCAGAUAAAAAUAUCUGUCAACUUGAUGGGCAUAAUUUUUCAUAAACACGAAAUGCAACAAAUAGUUAUAAAAGGGAAUAUACCACAUCCGAAUCAUAACCCGGACGAGGGCCGACGGGGACGGAUAUCAAAACUAUGGCACUAUGUAUAACAAACAACAUACAUGUAAGAUAAUUAUACAAGUAACUAUAUAUCUAAAUAACAAAAAAAUGAUUUUUCAUAUAUUAAAAAGAUAAGAACAAGAGACUCAUCACAAGGUGGUGCCGGCGACGGGACGGUGCGGGCGGUCGACGGUGGUUAGGACGGAGACGGGAAGGCACAAAGUAAACCACACCUACAUAUGCAAACUAAGAGUUAUUUUGACCUCAAAUUGCAUAUAAAUCAAAUAAACUACAACAUAUAUAUAAUUCCUCCCAAACUAAAAACCCACAAAUCACUAUACUUAUAGAGCAUUGUAAGAGCUAAUGUAACAAUGAGAGAUGAAAGGACAUAGUUGCUAACCUUUGUGAUCACUUGGACGGAUGGGGUGCCUUCAAAUGUUGGAAAAUUUUGGCAAAAAUGGAGGUGGCAGAUUGAGCAAGAGGGGAAGAAAACAAAGAGGAGGGGAAAAGUAGAGGGCUUCGGCUCGGACUGGAAGAAGCACUAUAUAUAGUGAUAUCUGUAGUCUUGGUUGGUUACACGAACCGGGACUAAAGGUCAACUUCUAGUCUCGGUUCGUGGCAUGAACCGGUACUAUAGGUCAUGGUGCGGCCGCAGCCUGCCGCAAGCCUGCCACCACCUCUUUAGUACCGGUUUGUGGCACGAACCGGUACUAAAGGUUCGCCACGAACUGGUACUAAUGAGAGCAGCCCACCUAGCCGUUGGAACCGGCAGUAAUGGUCACAUUAGUGUCGGUUCUAUUAAAAACCGGGACUAAAUAGUUGAACAUUAGGCCCAUUUUCUACUAGUGGUUACUUGACGGGCACUAUUUUUGUAAGGCAAAUGCCAAAUAAUUGGUCGGUAUUAAAUGUUGGUUGCCUAAACAAAAUAUUGUAAAUUUUUGGUCGGCGAAACAAACUCCCAUCUGACCGUCGGUCGAUACAUGUCCAUGGCAACCCUAACUAAUUGUUGGAUGGGAAAAACACUAUUUGAUAGUCGGUCAGGAAAGGACCAUAGUAGCUCAAAUGGACUGUCGGUCGGGAAAGGUCCGUGGCAGGCCCAACAGAAUGUUGGUCUCGAAAGAUACACUAUAGCCGACAAGCAGUCGGUUGGGACUAACAUGUCGGUCGGGAAAGGGUUUUCCUGUCUGGACUUUCCCCAAGGAUCUUUGCCGUCAGCCAGCUCACGACAAAGAAAGUUUUUGCCAUCAGCUUACAGAAAACUGACUGCAAAGAAAGAGCCAACGACAAAGAGCAUGUUUGCCGUCCGGCAUAGCAGCCGACAAAGAGGGAGGGUGGUCCACUAAGGAGUACCACCUAACGACCACUUUCUUUGGCGUCUGCUAGCGGACGACAAAGAUUGCAGCUAAUGGCUACAUACGGCCCACCCCACACCUCCCACUCUCCAUUUCUCUUUCUCUCUCACUCCACCGUGCCGACCCCGAUCCCAACCGCCGCCGCCGCUCCCGACCCCCACCUCCCGCGCCGCCCCUGACCCCCCUGCCGCCCCUCCGGUCCAUGACCCGCCACCCCGCGGUCCGCUGCGCCCCCCGGCCCCUGCAACCACCGACNNNNNNNNNNNNNNNNNNNNNNNNNNNNNNNNNNNNNNNNNNNNNNNNNNNNNNNNNNNNNNNNNNNNNNNNNNNNNNNNNNNNNNNNNNNNNNNNNNNNNNNNNNNNNNNNNNNNNNNNNNNNNNNNNNNNNNNNNNNNNNNNNNNNNNNNNNNNNNNNNNNNNNNNNNNNNNNNNNNNNNNNNNNNNNNNNNNNNNNNNNNNNNNNNNNNNNNNNNNNNNNNNNNNNNNNNNNNNNNNNNNNNNNNNNNNNNNNNNNNNNNNNNNNNNNNNNNNNNNNNNNNNNNNNNNNNNNNNNNNNNNNNNNNNNNNNNNNNNNNNNNNNNNNNNNNNNNNNNNNNNNNNNNNNNNNNNNNNNNNNNNNNNNNNNNNNNNNNNNNNNNNNNNNNNNNNNNNNNNNNNNNNNNNNNNNNNNNNNNNNNNNNNNNNNNNNNNNNNNNNNNNNNNNNNNNNNNNNNNNNNNNNNNNNNNNNNNNNNNNNNNNNNNNNNNNNNNNNNNNNNNNNNNNNNNNNNNNNNNNNNNNNNNNNNNNNNNNNNNNNNNNNNNNNNNNNNNNNNNNNNNNNNNNNNNNNNNNNNNNNNNNNNNNNNNNNNNNNNNNNNNNNNNNNNNNNNNNNNNNNNNNNNNNNNNNNNNNNNNNNNNNNNNNNNNNNNNNNNNNNNNNNNNNNNNNNNNNNNNNNNNNNNNNNNNNNNNNNNNNNNNNNNNNNNNNNNNNNNNNNNNNNNNNNNNNNNNNNNNNNNNNNNNNNNNNNNNNNNNNNNNNNNNNNNNNNNNNNNNNNNNNNNNNNNNNNNNNNNNNNNNNNNNNNNNNNNNNNNNNNNNNNNNNNNNNNNNNNNNNNNNNNNNNNNNNNNNNNNNNNNNNNNNNNNNNNNNNNNNNNNNNNNNNNNNNNNNNNNNNNNNNNNNNNNNNNNNNNNNNNNNNNNNNNNNNNNNNNNNNNNNNNNNNNNNNNNNNNACGACACCACCAACACCCUGAUCCCCGACAUGACACUCGAGACCCCGACACGGCACCCCCAACCUCGAGACAGCACCCCGACCCUAACAUGACACCCCCGAAACCCCGACCCCCAGAGGCCGACGGGGUCAUAUAUUUGUGAAUUAUGAGUUAGGUCAGGUAUUCAAUUAUUAUUAUGUACAUAUACAUAUAUAUUAUUAUUAAUUAGUUCAUGUUAUUAGGUAUUCAAUUUUUUAUUAUGUUCAUGAUGAUGAUACACACUUAAUUUUUUUAUCAUGUUUAUGUUGUACUAAUUUCAUUUACUCUUUGUCAUUGCAGGUGUUGACAGAUGGUGGGCUCGGGUCGAGAGCGCUCCGAGCCUCCUUCUUCGGCGCGUGCUGGGAGGUGUGUUGUUAUUCCACUCCAGCACCUUCGGAGAGCGCUGAUAGACAGCACACAGACACCAGCGGGCGCUUCUUCUUCGACCGAGAGAGGUCGGGGGAAGACGAAGAGGGGUACAGCUAGACGUGGCGGCGGGAUAGGUAGGAAGGCUGCUACGCCUUCCUCGCCGCCACCCCAGCUGAUUCUUUGGACCACUGGAGUGCUUCGUCCCAGGUGGACCCGUCUGACUUGGACCCUUCUCGGACUCCGGUCCACAAGCCUCGGGCCAACGAGCCUACAUCCGACGAGACUCGGGUCCUAGAGUCUUCGUCCCAGGAGACUCGGGUCCCAGAGUCUUCGUCCCACGUGACUCCGGAGACUAGUGGCCAUGCUGAUGGUGGCGAGGACACCUUAUCUGACGAUAGCUACAAUGAUGGCGAGCUAGUUGAGGGGGGCAAGAAGGUCUACCAGCGUGGUGGUACAGAUCUCCCGUCCGUGUCGGCGACCCGCGACCAGAGGUGGUUGAUUGAGCCUAAAGGGGAGAAGUAAGUGCAUUUACUCUUUUUUAACCAUUUGCCUUCAUGUUUCUUCAAAUUAAUAUCUAAUGUGUUGGCCUUGUCAUACUGCAAGGGUUGGAUACAUGCCUCUGAUGUCCGUAGGCCCAACCAGGUCCUUGGUGUGAUUUGCCGGCACCACUUCCCGGGAUGGGUCACAUUGCCCGAUGAGGGUGAGGUUCCAUAGCUAGCACUGACCUGGGAGCUGCACAAGGGUGCCCCGGCCCCGCCGAGGGAGAUGGUCGACGGUGUCGUGUGCGAGACGGUGGCGGACAUUGUGAGACGGCGGUUUUGGGUAAUUUCUCCUUUAUAGAAUUAAAAAUCAACAAUACUUAGUGAUUGUACUAAUCAGUGUUGUCUUGUUUGAUUCCAUCCCUUCUACAGGUGUCUUGAGGAACACGAGGCGGACACGGCUAUGGUUCUCGAAGCCGAGUGCAAGCGCCUAAUUCAGAACUUAUGGUACGAGGCUCAGGUACAGGCUGUUCAAGACUACUAUGCCUCGACUAACAUCAGAAGGUCCAAGAAGAAGUGACGCGGCAAGUAUCUGAGUAAGGAGAAGUACAUGAAGGUAAUUACCUAUUCUUAAGGCCUUGGACUUAGUUUCCUUGAUUUGAUUUGUAGGCAUAGCGCUGAAAUUUCUCUUUGUCUAACUUUGGUGCCCCCGAGAUGGUGUGCGGAUAGGAUGGACUGUUGGGAGAGGUUGGUGAAUGAGUGGUGCUCUCCCCAAUGGCUAGCCGUCCACAACAAGGCCAGGGAUAAGUGUGCCCAGAUGCAAGGUGUGCCACACCAUCAAGGGAGCUCCAACCUGUUUGAGUACGGGGAUCACUUGGUAUGUGGUUUGAGCCCUUAAUGAUUCAUGCAAUUUCAUUCUUCAUGCUAGCUUGAGCCCUUAACUAAUAUUUUGUUCCUCUCUUUUAGGCACGACACAACAAGAAGGAGGUGCCACUGCUGUACAACCUCUAUGCCAUGGCCCAUACUGCCCCGUACAAGAAGGCCAAGGCAUUCUGAGAGCUCCACCAACAUAUCCUCCCAUACGAUAAGCUCAUGAGGUACAGAGUCUUUGGGAAGGCGAUGAAAGGGGAGGACUUCAACCCGAGCCAGAGUCCUUUUGAUCCUAAGCUUGUGAUGCUAUCUGAAGGGACGAAACAUGGCUCAGUAGCCAUUAGGGAUGGACUGAUACGUUGUCCUAGAAGUCUCCCAGAGAUCAAGAAGCGCCAGAUGAGGUCUCUUCCUGAGAUGAGGCCUCGAUAACGACCAAUGGAGCUCGCCAUCAAGGCUAGGGCCCAGGAGCUUCUGGCGGAGGCAAACAGGUAGUCGACGCAGAGGGAGAGGGAGUUGGAGGAGAGGACAGCUAGUAUGUUGGAGGCGGAGAGGAACCGGAACGACGCGGGUCACCGGGCCCUAUACGAGCUCCUCGUGGUAAGUUUCUCCUGCAUAUUAGCCAAAUCAUGUAUGUGAUGUUCGUUUCAUUACUAACUAAUAUGACUGACUCGUGAAAACAAAAUGUGCAAUCCGUUUGCGAGAAAAACGACCAGACCCCUCAGCCGAUGCACCAGCACUAGUGCAGAACCGGGCUAUAGCACUGGUUCGUAAGGGCCUUUAGUCCCGGUUCUGUAACCUGCACUAAAGGGUGGAGACUAAAGGCCCCCCCUUAGUACCGCUUCUGCACGAACCGGGGCCAAAGGCCCACCAUGUGGCACAAUCCCGCGUGGUGAUCUGGGGGAUCUUUAGUACCGGUUGGUAACACCAACCGGUACUAAAGGAUUUUUUUUAUUUUUGAUUUUAUUUUUUACGAAAAAAUUGAAUAUUUUUUCCGAUUUUCAAAUUUCUGAAUUAUUUGACGAUUUUGUCUCUAAUCACUGCUCAUCAUUGCUGUAAUCACCCCUCAUCAAUCCAAAUUGUCUAACUUCCUGGACAGUCACCCAUCCUCUCAUUACUCCAGCCUGAGCACGCUUAACUUCCGAGUUCUAAGUCUGCACGUGUUGUUUACCUGACAAUAGUAAGUUGUCAAUCCUAUUAACCCUCAGGAAUUUAGCUUGAACAUGAAGUCACAUGUUUCACCGUUUUAGUUUGAAACUAUUAUUUUAAAAAAUAAAUAUUAUUUAGUAACCGAGAUACUUCUUGAAUAAGUAGUCUGACCACAGUUUGACCAUAGUUUGACCAAAAGUCAAAAAAACUAAAAUAACUAUUUAUUAACACUAAUAUUUCUUGAAUAAUUAGUUUGACCAUAGUUUGACCACAAUUCGACCAGAUUUAACAAAUUUUUUAAAACAAACUGAAAUUGGAGAAAAUCUUUUUUUCCUUUUAGAAUUUGAGGUUUCUAAAAAAUUGCAAACAAGCAGUAGGCGGUCAAAAUUGGAUGCGGAUUUUCGUGCUGAUUUUUUUGACAUAUUAUGCGUUUUUUUGACAUCGUAUGCAAAAGAUAUGGCCGUUUUACAUUUUCAUAACACUUUUUUUGCAAAACAUGUCCAAAUUUAAGUUUUUUAAUUUUCCUAACUAGUAGAUUUAGUAACAUAACUACAUCUCGAACGAUUUUACUUUUUGAAGUUUUUAUCAUUUUCUUUUGCUUUUUACAAAAUUGAAAAGGCGGUCCGGGGGGGUAGAGUUUGAAAAUGGGUCCUUUAGUCUCGGUUUGUGUCUCCAACCGAGACUAUUGGUCAGACCCCUUUAGUCCCGGUUCGUGGCACAAACCGGUACUAAAGGUUAGCCCUGUAGUACCAGUUUGUGCCACGAACCGGGACUAAAGGGGCUCGUGGGGCCCCGCCUGNNNNNNNNNNNNNNNNNNNNNNNNNNNNNNNNNNNNNNNNNNNNNNNNNNNNNNNNNNNNNNNNNNNNNNNNNNNNNNNNNNNNNNNNNNNNNNNNNNNNNNNNNNNNNNNNNNNNNNNNNNNNNNNNNNNNNNNNNNNNNNNNNNNNNNNGCCAGCCUGCCACCACCCCUUUAGUACCGGUUCAACACGAACCGGCAUUAAUGCAUAGCCGUUUGAACCGGGACUAAUGGUACCAUUAGUACUGGGCCAACAUUGAACCGAGACUAAUGUGUCUCACAUUAGGUCCUUUUUCUACUAGUGCAGAUUGGUAUAGCGGACGCGGUGAGUUUCAUUUGAAUGGUCAUUAGUUACUAGUAUUCACAUUUCAGUUGCAUCAUGCUAACUAGACAUUGCAAAUGAUCUUUGGUGCAGCACGCCUCCCGGCAAGCAUCGACCGAUCCUUCUUCAUCUCAAACUAGCGCAACCCCGACCAGUCCUUCUCCGUCUGGCACUAGCGCAAGCCAAACCGUUCCUUCACCUACAUACUUAGCUUAACAAAUACAUACUUAGCUUAAGAAAUGACCUACUUAGCUCCAAAAUGACCUAUACUUAUCUUAUUUUCCUCAAAAAUGACAUAAUAACCUUACUUAGCUCCAAACUGACAUAUUCUACCUAGGAUAGCUAUAAAAUGACCUAUACUUAGCAUUUUUUUUCUCCAAAACGACUUGAUAUGCUUAGUUAGCUAGAAAAUGGCAUAACUACCUAGGAUAGCUCAAUAAUGAUCUAUAGCUAUCUUAGCUAGUUCAUUUAUGACAUAAUUAGCUCACUUAGGUAAAAAAUGGCAUAACUACCUAGGAUAGCUGAAUAAUGAUCUAUAAUUAGCUUAGCUAGUUCAUUUAUGCCAUAGUUAGCUCACUUAGGUAAAAAAUGACAUAACAACCUUGGUUUAGCUCCCAAAUGACCUAUACUUAGCUUAUUUCCUUGAAAAUGACAUAACAACCUUACUUAGCUCUGAACCGACAUACUUUACCUAGGAUAGCUAUAAAAUGGCCUAUACUUAGCAUUUUUUUACUCCUAAAUGACUUAAUAUGCUUAGUUAGCUAAAAAUGUCACAACUACUUAGGUUAGCUCCAAACUGGCCUACACUUACCAUUUUGUCCUCCAAAAUGAAUAAAUUUGCUUAGUUAGCUCAAAAAUGGCAUAACUACCUAGGUUAGCUCCAAAAUGACAUAUUUACCUAGCUUAGCUCUAAAAUGACCUACACACUUAGCAUUUUUAGCUAGCUAAAGCUAAAAAAUGGCAUUUUUACCUACCUUAGUUAGAAUAAGAAGAAGAUAAAGAAGAGGAGAGGAGAAAAAGAAUGAGAAGAUAAAUCUUCUUUUUCUUCUUCUUUUUCUUCCUUUUCUUCUAGCUAGUCUUCUUCUUCUUCUUCUAACUUUCAUCUUUCCUAAUUUGUAGAUUUGCUUUAGAUGAGGAAGCUUGCAUUGAUGGAGUGUACUCUUCUACUUGUGCUUCCUUUUUGUUUAUGGAAACUUAUUUUGGAUAUGUAUGUAUAUAUGGAUAUGUUGUUGGAAGCCAUUGUAUGGUGGAUAUGUUGUUGGAAACUUGUAUGUUGGAUAUGUUGAUGGAAACUUAUUGUUGGUAUGCUUGUUGAAAUUAUUUUGAAAUGUGUGUAUAUAUAUAUAUCUGUGAAAUUCUGUCAAACUGAAUGAAUUUAAGAAAAAACAGAAAAAACAGGGGCUAUACAGUCUCUUUGUCGUCUGCUGGCAUAUGGCAAAGAGCUUUGCCGUCUGCCGGCAAAGCUGCCACAUGGCAGCUACCUGUGCAACUUGGGGUGCUCUGGGCUGGCCUAUUUGGCAGCUUUGCCAUCAGCGGCAGACGGCAAAGACCUUUGCAUCUUUGCCAUCCGCUGGCAGACGACAAAGAUGCAAAGGCCUUUGUCGUCUGCCAGCUGACGGCAAAGCACACCCUUAACCCCUUAACGGACCUAAGCUGCCAUGUGUGGUGUCCAGGCUCUUUCCCGUCUGCCAGUAUACGGCAAAGAGGGCUUUGCCGUAGCUUAUUUAGCCGGAGCUGUUGCCAUUUAUUGGCUGACAGCAAAGGCCUUUGCCAUACUCCAGGCAUGCCUUUUAUCGUCAGCCAUGGUUGACCGUAAAGUGCCUGAUUCCUUUAGUGUUGGCACAACUUGUAUUCCCGACCAAUCUGGAUUUUGGGGAUGUAGUGCAGUGGUGUACUGAAUGCAGUGUCGUGGUGUAGUGCGGGCAAGUUAAGAAAAAAAUGGACACAUGCGAGGCUAGCACCAUGAUGAACACUACUGAGGUAGAGGAGAUGAUGAAGAAGUUGGGGAUCACGGAGGAUGACUUUGAUGAUGUGGUAGUAGAGGAAGAGGAGGAGCUCCCUGCUGAAGCAAUCCAGUGGAUGGCAAUCAUGCGAGUGCACAUAGAGAAAACUUAUGCUCAGUACUGGUUUUCAGAAACAUGAGGGUGGCUUGGGACUUGGCGAAAGAGGUGAAGAUCUGGCUACUCAACAAUAAUAUGUACAUGCUGCAAUUUUCUUGUUUAGGCGACUAGGAGGGAGUCAUGGACGAUGGGCUCUGGACUUACCGAGGCAACACGGUGCUUUUGGCGUCGUAUGAUGGAUUCACUAAACCAUCAACCAUAGCCUUGGACACAAUUGAGAUGUGGAUCCAAUUCAUGAUCUACCAGAUAGCUACCCCUACCCCCAAUUGAGCCUGGCGCUUGCUAGACCAUCCCGGUUCUCUGAGUUCCAUUGAUCUUAAAAGUUCUAAACUAUCCAAAUAACCCUCUUUCCGAUGCAACCUUGGGACCACAUCCAUCACAUGUAUGGCCGACUAUUUUCCAUGGGAAAGACAUAAUGACUUAGGGUUUGAUAAGGAGAAUAGGAGACAGAGAAUCCCCUGAUAUUUGGAACAAUAAUAGGAUAACUAGAGAGCAUAUAAAGAGGCCGAGAACUUCACAAACACCACAGCCGCCGACAAGCGUCGCUGAACACAUUGAUCACACUGUGUCAUCAAGGGAUGAACAACUUAUUCAAUCGAUACUUAUUCCCAUUGAUGCCGAGACUAUAUUGAAGAUCCCUCUUUGCACGAGACAAAUAUCUUAUUUUUGGUCAUGGAUUGAGGAUAGAAGGGGCAUGUUCAUUGGGCAUUCUGCUUACAAGAUGAUACAGUGAACCAAGAUCAGUAGAGGAUCAUGGCUGUAUGAGCAGGGUGGCCGAUCAAACUCAGAGGCUGAUUGUCAAGGAUGGAUAGACUUAUGGCAUAUAAAAUCCCCCCGAAAAUCAAGGUGUUCAUGUGAAUAUUAGCACAAUACUCACAAUGUCCUUCUUCAUCAUAGAAACAUGUCGAUGACGAGUGCUUGUUGUUUGUGCUGGUCUAACGAUAUGUGCAGGCAUGCCCUGCUGAAUUGCUUGGUUUCAAGGAGCACUGAGCACUAUCAUACGAGCAAAUUGUCGAGCUAUUGAGUCUGAAUGUAAAUGAUGACGCCAAACAGUGGCUAUUCACCAUGCAUGAGGUGUUAUCACAUGCGGACGAUUUUAUCAUGUUUACGAUCACUUUUAUGGACGAUAUGGGGAGCUCGGCACAAAGCUAUACAUGAGGAGAUAUAUAAAAGCCCUUUCACUUUUCAGGCUUUUGUGCAGAGUUACUUAACUGAGCUGAGAGCUACCCAAAGCACUCGAAGUCCAGUUCCAGGGGCACCCGUGAUUAGGCCAAGUCAAUGUAUCGCUCCUCGGGAUAAUAUGGUGAAGGUCAAUGUGGAUGCGGCGGUUGGACCAGGCGACACUCGAGGCGCAAUGGGAGCUAUAUGCAGAGAUCAAGCAUGUAAUUUUCUGGGUGUGUUGGCCAUUGUGUUUCCACAUAUAUCAGAUCUUGUUACUGUCGAAUCUUCAGCAAUCAGGGUGGCACUUGCACUUGGUGAUAAUCUCUAUGAGAGGAAGAUUCAGGUGGCUUCAGAUUGCAAGGUGGUGUUGCAGAUAUACAUCAGAAGAGCGCAGCUAUCUACAGAGCAAUCAUAACUGAGAUCAUAGAUCAGAAGGCUACUUUUACUAAUUGUACAUUAGCCAUAAAUUUAGGAGCUUGAAUGUUGAAGCUCACAAACUCGUGAAGCAUGCCUUAUCCCUGGGGGUUGACCGCCAUGUUUGGUUAGGUAACCCCAUAGCUAAAGUUGUCUCGCCUUGCUUCAAAACUACUGGGCGUGCGCUGCGGUUUUGACCUAAAGCCUCCGUUUGCUGGAAUUAAUUGGAAUAGUUGAGAAGAAAGUGACCAACGGAUGCGUAAUGCGUGGAAAGCUGCUGGAUAGUUCGGGCCGAAUCCUGAAGAAAGUUCAAAGCGCUAUUUGGUGAGCCUACGUAGUAUUAGUUCGUUGGUCAGGUAAAGGUUGGCAAGCCAAUGAUGCUUAGCUGGUCUUUUUGAAUGUUUAGCCACACUGGGACUGAGACAUGGCCCAGACUCCCAUGGGGGGCAGCAGAGGGGAAUCUUGGACAAUGGGCGAAAGCCCGAUCCAGCAAUAUCGCGUGAGUGAAGAAGGUCAAUGCUCCUUGUAAAGCUCUUACGUUGAGUGUGCGAUCAUGACAUAUCUCGAGGAAGAAGCCCAGGCUAACUCCGUGCCAGCAGCCGCGCUAAGACGGGGGUGGGGGUGGGGGGUGGGGGGAAGUACUCUUUGGAAUGACUGGGUGUAAAGGGCAUGUAGGCGGCGGGGUUGAAAAUGAAACUGUGAAAAUCAUAAUAAGUGGCGGAAUGCUCUUGAAACCAAUUCACUGAAGUGAGACAGAGGAGAGUGGGUAGUUUUCUAUUCGUCCCUAUAAACACUAAUCAUCAACCCGCGCACCUGCACGGGCUAGAUAUACCAUCAUAGAAUCUUGUAAAUAUACUUUGUAAGCCUAUAACUGGAAACAUAAAACAUGGAACAUGCUUUUCAGUUUUUAUUUUAUAGUGGUGUUUAGUCUUCAAAUUUCAGGCAGAAUUAAAAGUGGACACGUAUGAAUUCUCAAGUUCAUUGAUCAAGCGCAUGCAGUUGUUAUGGUAUACAAAAUCGAACAUGUUGAGGACUCACAUGCAUAUUUGUAGGAAAAACUAAAAAAAAUUUGUAAUUAUUUCUUACAUCAUUACAUUCAAACCCACACAAAGAAAAUACUCAAAUAAACAUCAUUUUUCUUUAAACAGAAGGAUCCAACUGACGCCAUAAAAUGUAUCUUUUCCUUAUAUUGGCCAAUUAUUGCUCAAAUAGCUGUGCAUGUGCUGUGUAAAUAAGAUUUAGAUAUGGUACAUAGAACUUUUGUUAGAUUUAGACCAUAGCUUCAGUGUGAAUGUUGCUGCAGUGGCACAGAAGUAUGAUCGGUUUGGCAUCGUCUGCUUUGCGAUGAUCCACUCCCGUGCACAGGCUCUAUCCUACGGAUCGUCCUAUCGGACUGCUAGCAGUAUAUGUCAUGCCAAAAGCUUCUUGACCAACAUAUGCGCUAGUAAAUCUAAUUACUCUAAAUUAUGAAAACAUAGUUAUUCUGAAUUAUGAAAAUAUAAUUACCCUAAACUAUAUAUGUACCUUAGAUCGUAGAGGCCACCAUCGAACAGAGCUAUAUAGGGAGUAGUUGUGCGGUAGUACUGUUGAGAUGUAGAAGUGGAAAAGCAAUAAUGCAUAACAAAAUCAUAUUCUAUCACACGCUUAGCUUAUACUAUAUAUAUUGGCACACAUUUUCUUUGCAUAUGCACCUGGUAGAUUAAACAAUGGAAGCAAACACAGUAGGGCAAACCAAUUUCAGAUUUUUAUCUCAAAUCAAAAGCCUAGAAAGGGUGAUCCAGGAAAAACAUUAAUCGCUGCAUUGUUGAGAGUCUCAUGUUUCAAUUUCACCAUCCAAUCUCAUAGAAAAAUGUAGGCAGCCGGUGAGGAAUCAGCAGAUGGUUGCCAUGUGCUUCUCGAUAUUUCUUUUCCCUAAUCACCAAAGAACACAUAGGCGAGCCCAGCAGUAACUUGAUAUACAGGAGGCUUCUUUGGUUUGCACCAGUGUAACACGAAAGAACAGAUACGCAGCCGUGAAAGUCGCUGGCUGCAUGAUGGAAGACGCCAACCACAUAUCGUUGAUAUUGAACGCAACGCUUGAAUAUCUUUUUUGACCUCUUCGUUCACCAUAACCUUUCAUAGUGGGAUCCAUCUUUCUUAAGCUUUGACACUUGGAAAUAAUACUUACCAUCAUAUUAAUCAAACCUUGCUGCAUCCACCGAUUUUUUUUCCAACUCAUGCAUGUGAAACCAUGGAUAUUUCAUCAGCAAAAAGUACGAAAAAGGACACAACUAUGCACUAUUAAUUAUGUCUGUGCUCAGACAUACCGCUCUCCUGCAGUAUCCACAAAAGGAAAACCAAGAUUUUCAGUUCUCACGCGCCUGACAAACAUCAUCUAUCUUCUGCUUGCAAUCUUUCCUGAUGAUACAUCAUGUCCGUUGGGGGUAAUAUGAAUUCAAAAGGAUGGAAAAAAGACCUGGAAAGAGGGGAAUUAGGGAUACUGUGCUAAAUUGGGAUAGGAGAGGAGAGCAUUAUGCCCUUGAAUGGAAUCCAGGAUGUGAAACGUUGUGCCGCCAUAGCGAUGAUGGCCACAACCAUACUUGCACUAGUAGAAAACAGGGCAUUUGUCCCGGUUCGUAAGGGCCAUUAGUCCCGGUUCAUGAACCGGGACUAAAGGGUCGUUACUAAUGCCUCCCCCCUUUAGUCCCGGUUCUAACACGAACAGGGACUAAAGGUCGCGGCCACGUGGAGCUCCACCUUUAGUCCCGGUUGUUACCAACCGGGACUAAAGGAAAUUCUAUGAUUUUUUUUUGAAUUUUUUUUGAUUUUUUUUAAUUUUCAAAUUUCCGAAUUAUUUAACCUCUAAUCUCUAAUCACCCCUUAUCAUUCCAAAUCAUCUAACUUCCCGAACGGUCACCCAUCCUCCCACUCCCCCAGCCUGAGCACGCUUAACUUCUCGGUUCUAUUCUCCCUCGUUUCCAAGUCUGGACUUGUUGUUUUCCUGACAAUAUUAAUAUGUCAAUCCUAUUAACCUUCAGGAAUUUUGCUUGAGCAUGAAGUGACACAUUUCACUGUUUGAGUUUGAAACUAUUGUUUUAAAAAACAAUAAUUAUUGAAUAACACUAAUAUUUCUUGAAUAAUUAGUUUGACCAUUGUUUGACCACUGUUUGACCACAGUUUGACCAGAUUUGACCAAAAUUCAAAAUAACUGAAAUAAUUAUUUAGUAACACUAAUAUUCUAGAUUAAUUAGUUUGACCAUUGUUUGACCACAGUUUGAAUUGUUUUUGAUUUUUUCCACUCUAGAUCUUAAAAGCCCCGUAUCUUUUUUCUGUUAGGUUUUUGAGGAUUUUGAAAAUGUUUAACGUGGUUCCCCCUGUUACAUUUGGAUGUAACUUUUUGAGUAGAUGAUUUUUUUAUAUAAAAAACUUUUUCAUCCGAGUUAGUAUGCAAAAGUUAUGUCCAUUUAACUAAAUACUAGAGAGAUUUUGCAAAUAAAGUCGAAAUUCACAUUUGCAGAUUUUCCCAACAACUAGACCACGUAUCACAUGGAAACUUGCUUUUUUUUUUGACAUUUUCAUCAUUUUCUUUUAUUUUUUUAAAACUGAAAAGGCGAUCUAGGGGGUGGAGUUUGAAAAUGGGACCUUUAGUACCGGUUCGUGCCAUGAACCGGUACUAAUGCCUCAAACCCCAUUAGUACCGGUUGGUGGCUCGAACCGGGACUAAAGAUCUAACCUUUAGUACCGGUUGGUGCCACGAACCGGUACUAAUGGGCAUCGCACACUUUAGUCCCGGUUCGUGGCACCAAUCGGGACUAAAAGGUCCAGACGAACCGGGACAAAUGGCCCACGUGGCCCCUGGGCGCACGAACCGGGAUUAGUGCCCCCAUUAGUCCCGGUUCUAGACUGAAUCGGGACUAAUGGGCUAAACCGGCCUGGACCAAAGCCCUCUUUUCUACUAGUGUUGCUUCAAAGAGGAACAUCAGUACCGUACCUCCUCCAAGCCUCGAGCAAGCAACACAAUAUUGUACAGGAGGCCCCAUGCCAGCGGUAGGGGCCGAUCGCCGUUCAAUUCCUGCAGAGGGCCUCUCAUCCUUCUAGUACUGAAUAUGCUAGCAGUCGACUAAAAUAGAUGAUUGAGCUGAUAUUGUUAUCAUUGCCAUCUGUAAUCGAUAUUGAAUACCUCCUCUUGCAUGCUAGAUCUAAACAUAAAAUUUAGCUCAACUGUACACAUCUGUUUUGACUCGACAGUAAGGAACCAUAAUAUUGCAACCCUGAGGAACAAAGCAAUGGAUGAGUACUUGACAACAAUUUAGCUCAAGUGUACAGCUAAAAAUUUAAUUAUGAAGGACAAAAUUGGUUGCGACAAAAUCAGUCACUUGACAACAAUUAUCACAUUUGUCUAUGAAUAUUUGAACCUAUGGUCUUUGUUGCGCCCUGGUCGGAUGGAUUAAAAGACGCAACCAUCUAGUACAUAGGGAGAUUGUGCAUACUUCUUACCUCUAAUAAUCUAAUCAAGGCAGUAGAGGAGGAUUAUGUGCCCUGUGUAAGAGGAACACGCAUCAGUCGGAGUAGGAUCCAGGAGGCCAUUAUUGAACCAAUUUUCACAUAUCACCAGCUAAUGAAAAAUAAUUUACAAAUAGUAACUCUCAUCGAAUGUAAAUAAUAUCAUGCAUGGUACUUAAGCCAGCCGUACCUGAAACUUGAUGAAUCUAAUAUUUGUUCAAGGAAGUGUCUCACGGCCUUUAACUAAAACUAACAAUUUACAGUUGACAGUGAUCUAGUUUCAUGAAACUAUAAUUAUUAGAAGUCACCAGAUGUCUGCCUCUCUUCGAUUUCUGCAAGUAGCACCUAGGUGAGCUCACCAAAUCACCCCAUGUUGCUUUAAGUAGGUAGAAAUUUGGCAGAUACACAAAUAUUAGUACGAUAUCCAUUAAUUCUAAUAAUUGAUAAAGAAGGACACUCCUCUUAUGUGUGUGUGUGUGUCUGUGUGUUUGGUGCUGUGUAUUUCGAUGUGAGUUCAGUAAUUCCAACUCCCUACAAUUAAGAUAUGAAUAGUCAGUGGAAACUUACCAUUGGGAACCAUGGCUUGGGGAGCAUGUUCAGACCUGCAAGUUGCUGCUCUCAAUCUAUUGCCCAUGUAUAUGGAUGAUUAUUAAUCUGCUCAUAUGUUUACACCUCCAGACGUUGCCACCGCAGGGAUUAUUAACAUGAACACAACCAUCAUCGCCAUUAAGUUAGCAAAAUAGAUCAACAUACUUGUCGCCAUGGCGUGUAGGAAAAGUUUCACGUGUGAUGUUCUCUAUUGAUAUCACGUAAUCCUUGUAACUAACAGUCAAACGACAUGCUAGGCAAUCACAAAGGGAAACGUUUCAGGCCGGGGAACCGGCCGAACCUUCGGCCGGUCGCGAGCCACGCUGCACUAGUAGAAAAGAGGGCUUUGGUCCACCCCGGGUUAGCCCAUUAGUCCCGGUUCAGUCUAGAACCGGGACUAAUGGGGGCAUUAGUCCCGGUUCGUGCGCCCAGGGGCCACGUGGACCAUUUGUCCCGGUUCGUCUGGACCUUUUAGUCCCCGGUUGGUGCCACGAACCGGGACUAAAGGGUGCGAUGCCCAUUAGUCCCGGUUCGUGGCACCAACCGGGACUAAAAGGUUAGACCUUUACUCCCGGUUCAUGCCACCAACCAGUACUAAUGGGGUUUGAGGCAUUAGUACCGGUUCAUGGCACGAACCGGUACUAAAGGUCCCAUUUUCAAACUCCACCCCCCUCCCCCCUGGAUCGCCUUUUCAGUUUAAAAAAAUAAAAGAAAAUGAUGAAAAUGUCAAAAAAUAAAAGAAAAUAAGUUUCCCAUGUGAUAUGUGGUCUAAUUGUUCGGAAAAUUUACAAAUAUGAAUUUCGACUUUAUUUGCAAAAUCUCUCUAGAAUUUAGUAAAAAUGGGCAUAACUUUUGCAUACUGACUCGGAUGAAAAAGUUUUUUAUAUGAAAAAUCAUCUACUCGAAAAGUUACAUCCAAAUUUAACGGGGGAACCCCGUUAAACAUUUUCAAAAUAUUCAAAAACCUAACAGAAAAAAGUUACGGGGCUUUUAAGAUCUAGAGUGGAAAAAAUCGAAAACAAUUCAAACUGUGGUCAAACAAUGGUCAAACAAUGGUCAAACUAAUUAUUCUAGAAUAUUAGUGUUACUAAAUAAUUAUUUUAGUUAUUUUGAAUUUUGGUCAAAUCUGGUCAAACUGUGGUCAAACUGUGGUCAAACAAUGGUCAAACUAAUUAUUCAAGAAAUAUUAGUGUUACUAAAUAAUUAUUGUUUUUUAAAACAGUAGUUUUAAACUCAAAUAGUGAAAUGUGUCACUUCAUGCUCACGCAAAAUUCCUGAGGGUUUUAAAAAAGUUAGAUGAUCAGGAAUGAUGUGGGGUGAUUAGAGAUUAGAGGAUAAAUUGAGCAGUGAUGAGGGGUGGUGAUUAGAGAUUAGAGGUUAAAAAAAUUCAGAAAUUUGAAAAUAAAAAAAUUCAAAAAAAAAUUCAAAAAAAAAUUCAAAAAAAAUCAUAAAAUUUCCUUACCAACCGGGACUAAAGGUGGAGCUCCACGUGGCCGCGACCUUUAGUCCCGGUUCCAGUUUGAACCGGGACUAAAGGGGGGAGGCAUUAGUAACGACCCUUUAGUCCCGGUUCAAGAACCGGGACUAAAGGCCCUUACGAACCGGGACUAAUGCCCCCUUUUCUACUAGUGCUGGCGCCCCGCGCCCGCCCAAUCCGCGCGUCGCGCGAGACUCCUGUUAUUGUUGGGCCCCACGUGGACCACCCCUCCUCCCUUUUUUAUCUUUCCCCUAACUGCUGCCUUCAUCUCCUACCUCCAGACACAUCCUUUCCCGUGGCCAUUUUUCUUCUUCCUUUUCCCUGCGCUGCUGCCUACCGGCGGCCGCUGCCGGCCGUGUGCUUCGCUGAGCCAGGGGGACUACCCGACUGCUGCUAGUCCUCCUCCUCUGCACAUCUUAUCCCCCAAAACAUCUCUCCUUCUCUCUCAAAUAAGCCAUGGUUCAAGACGAGACAAGGUCUGGGAAGGAGGCUGCAACCGGUACCCAGGGAGCCUGCGACCGGCCAUGAGACGGCGAGCAUGGUGACCUCAGGACGGCGAGGAUAGGGCAACGCUCCUCCAAGAAAACAAUCGAUGUCGUUAUUUUUUCUACAUGCUUCAACCUGCGUCGGAAUUUGCUACAAACGGCAUCGCAUACUGCUGCCAUCGGUGUCACAUUUUUCUGCAAUACAGAAUCGACCUCGCGUUUUUGCUAGAAUCGAUGUCACUUUUUGCUACAACCGUUUUCAUUUUUUUCUACAUAUGUUCAGGCUGAGUUGUGACCCGACGACGGCGGCGAUGACUUUUUUGCUGCAACCGUAAUAGAACUUUGGUACAUCCAGCAACAAUUUUUGCUACAUCCAUUUUUUUUUGCCGGCGACGAUACAAUGGCGAGAUACAACCGCCGGCGAUGAUGACAAGUUUUUCCGCCGGAUAAGCUGCAACGGGCAUCGUCAAAAGCUGGAACCGACCAUCAGCAGAGGUGCAUCUACUGUGGGUGGUGUCCCGGCAACCAUAUCGGGCACCUCUCGCGGAGCUCGACGCCCAUGGCCAUGGCGACAGCCCUCGCGGAGCUCGACGCCCAUGGCCAUGGCAGCACCCCUCGUGGAGCUCGAUGCCGAUGGCCAUGGCAGUACCCCUCGCGGAGCUCGACGCCCAUGGCCACGGUAGCAUCCCUCGCGGAGCUCGACUCCCAUGGCCAUGGCGUGCCCUACCAGUCACGGCGGCAUCCCUCGAGCGGAGCUCGACGAACAUGGUCGUCGUGUCCAUCACCAGGCGGGGGAUCAUGCAUCUCGCGGGUCACAGGGGGGCGCGCGUUCCGCGCGAGGAAGGAGACGAGUUUGGGGGAGAAUCGAACGGUUACAAGCGCGCAAAUCUUACGGCUACCAAGCGACCGGACAAACUUUCGGCCAGUGCGCCAGUGCCUAUUGUUGCCCAAUCACAAAAGACAAUCUGGAGGAAGGCAGCCGCUUGCACUGCUGGGGAGAGGGUCUAGAAAAUAUAGAACUUUCCCCCAAAAUAAGAAUCUCCUCAAAAAACAGAGCAGGAGUAGAUGAUGAACCGCCGCCGACAUGUACCUGCCUUUACCUUCUCGCAUGUGCGCCCUCGAAUAUCAAUGGCGCACCGGCUUGUGCGCCCUCCUUCAAACUACCAUGGAUACACAUCCACAUAUGCAUAGGCCAUCUAGGAUUCACAAACCUGAAAUAAAAGGAGAUAUCAAAACUCGAGUGGAAGGGCAAUGAGUAGAGAUUGAAUUGGUUCAUUUUCUUCUAGAUGGACUGCAUCAGGGAUCGUACCUUGCAGUAUAUAGGAGAACAUGGAGAGGCGGCAGAGGAGGAGGAGUGGCGCUGGCAGAAGAGAUGCGGCCAUGCGGGGAAACCUGUUUUUUCUUUGGGUUUCCAUACGAAGACCUAUUUUUUUGUAAGGAGACGUACCUGUGGGAUAAUUUGCUAGGACUCUCAGGGAUUUUAUCUAACGGCUGCAGAUAUUUCAUACUGAUAUCUGAUGGUUAAUUUUAUUAGUUUUAUAUAGGUUUAGCGUGACCCUUUUUAUUUGGGUUCCAUACAAAGAACUAUUUUUCUUGUAAGGAGACGUACGUGUGGGAUAAUUUGCUAGGACUCUCUUAGUGAUUUCAUCCAACGGCUGUAGAUAUUUUAUACUGAGAUCAGAUGGUUAUUUUUGUUAGUUUUGUAGGAUUAACGUGAUUCCUCGUUUGGUGCCUCAAUUAGUAAAUAUAAGAUAUAAGAUAAGAUUGUGAGGGACUAAUUUUUUUUUGAAAGGAAAAGUUGAAACAGACACUCACUUCCAUGAACAACCGGUGGCUCCAUGCAUGCAUGCAUGAUACAUCGCACGCAGUACGCAAGCGGGCUGUUGCCAAGCUAACUAAUGGCGCCCGGCCGACAACACAGUACAGCUAGUAGAGCACUCGCUGCCAAACGCCUACGUGAGAGACCCUCGUGAGCCCAGCUAUACAACCUCCGCUUCUCCACCCAUCCUCGUUCACUUCGCAUCCGCAGCCGAAUUCCCCGGUCUCCACCGCUCAGUCCCCCGGACCGCCGGACCUCUCCUCGCCUUGCCAUGGCAGCCGCAGCACUGAGGGCGCAGCUGAACGCCCAUAUCGCCGGCAUGUACACCAAUGUGAGGCCCUUCCCCUCCCCUCUAGUCGUGUGGUAUUGGAUUUUGGCUUGGCUGGACGACUAACUUGGCCUUUGCCUUUGCUUUGGCGUGGUCGAUGUCGAUCCAGGGUGUGGUGGACGAGGAUACAUUCGAGGAGCUGCGGGACGAGGGCACCGCCACCGAGGUCUCCCGUCUCUUCAUCUACGACGCCUCCGAGAUCAUCGACGACAUCGACCUCCUGAUGUCCGCCCCCACGCCCUCUGUCAUCUCUCCCUCUGCUCUCUGUCUCGAACUGACUCAUCUUAAUGAUCUGCUCUGGAAAUCGCAGGGAGGAACCCGAAGUGGACUUUGACGAGGUGGAAGCCCUGACGCAGCAGCUCAUGCGGUGCACUACCAGGUGAUGACCAUCAUAAACCCUUUCUCUCUCUUCCACCUGUUUAUUUUUAACUCUAUGUUUGUUUGCCCGCUGCGUCAAUGUCGUGCGAUUCAGAUCUGUUUAUUGUAGUGGGCAACAGAUUCUUAUUUGUCGGUUGCACUACCCCAUAGGCGUAAUUAGAAGAAUCGAGUUUAGUUGCGUUUAGUGUAACGGAGUUACCGGUAUCCCGAUUAAUAUCAAUAUUAUGAUGAGGAUAAAUUGUUGCCCUUUUUGGAAUAUUCCUGGUAUUAAUGAUCUGCUAUUCUGUGUAUUACUAAUGGUGUUUUUUCUGGUAUUACUGAUCUGCUAUUCUAUGUAUCUCUAAUGGUGUUUUUUCUAGUUUGUCCACGGCAUAUUUGGAUGUGUCGGCAUGGGGUGUGUACCUCACGACACGGCCACACAAUUGAGGUUUGUUUCGUUUUACAGGCGUCGUAUAGCCAUAGGUAGAAGAGCUGAGUUUAGUCAUAUAUCGUGUAACGAAAUUGUUGGUAUUCUUCUCAAUGUUAAUCAAAUCGUAUAGCUUGGCGAGGGGAAUUUUUGUCGUUUUGCAAAUGUUUGUUCUACUAUCGUGUCUGUUCUUCCGGCAAUACCAUUAUUCUAGGUUGAGAAUGAAAAAAAAUGUCGUUUUAUAAGCAUGGCUGGUAUUAAUGAUCUGCAAUUCUACAUAAUGCCAAUGGCCAUUUUUUCUGUUUCACCAUUGGAACGGUGUUGUUUCUGUUCAGAUUUGUCAGGCGCAGAGUGUGUACGUCAUGGACGCCAUUUGGGUGUCGUAUAUCCAAAAUUAGAAGACCUGAUUGUAGUAGUGUCUCGUGUAGCAGAAUUGUCGGUAUUCAUGACAAUUUCAUGGUUCGGCAAGAAAAACUUUGUCGUUUUCUAAAUAUUUCUGGUACUACUGAUCUACUAUUGCACAUAGCGACAAUGAUGUUUUUUUUUCUGCUUCAUCAAACAAUUUAUGGAGUCGACAAUCAUGAUAGGAAAUGGCUCCUUGAGAAUAUUAUUGAGUUGACGUCUCAGUUUAUAAUAAGUUUGAUAAGUUCCUAAUUUCCUGCUCUGCAUUUUUUUGCAUGUUUCAGUGUUGGUGCACAGCAAGUGAACCUCGCCUGCAUGCACUUCGGCAAUUUCUAUGCCAUACAAUACAAACAAGGGUCAGAACUUAAUAGCUUAUUUAAUAUUGCUACACAAUAAUUAUUCGCAACAUUGUUUUUCAAUGUCUCUAUGUAAACCUGACAGCUCACGUUGUCUUUCUGUCAUUAUUUUCAGCUCAUACCAAUCUAACGUUGUUAAGAAGUAACCUGAUUUGCUUUUUCACUUCAUCUGCAAUCACGUUGUUGAUAUUACCCGGUUCACUAUCUGAAUAUGCUACCAUUUGAUGGUUCUCUUGUAAUUUAUUGGCUCUAUACUUUUGUUUAUAGCACAACUAAAUUCUUAUAUGGCUAGAGAUUUUUCUUUUUUGAAAUAUAGGGUUACAAUUUUUGAACCAUUUUCAUCUCAGUUCUGUUAACCUCUUCAGAAUUUGACAAUGUGGUAUUUUUGCAUUAUUUCAGGUGUCUCGUGUCACUGGCUCUUGUUAGGAAUGAGUUCUAUAUUGUGCGACAUGAGUUGGAGAUCAUGAUGCAGGUAGCACCUUAUGUGCCUAAUGUUGGAUUUUGAUACCAACUUUCCACUAGUUUCACAACCCAUAGAUUGGUCAUAUUAAGAUAGAGAAAAGGGAACAAUCUUUAAUCCUUAAUCUAAUUCUUUUGACAUUUAGAUUUGGAGCACUUAGUUCGAGGUACCGAAAAGUCUCAUUUAGCCGUUAAAUGAUUAUGUGGUAAUUUUGUCAUCAUGUUUGGUAGAUGCACAGGGUAGCUAAAAAAAGUGGGAGAAAUUCUCUGUUUCCCAGCUUAAAUUAAGCUCACCAAAUGCCCAAAUAAGAAACUAGCUAACUUGUAACAUGGCUGAUUAGUGAAACCAUGUGACUUGAGCACCAUUAUGUGCCAUAGACUUAUCUUAAUCAUUUUUCGGAAGGUACUUCUCUUAAUCGUUAACCUAUUAUUCAUCUUUUGUUGCAGCUCGAAGAGCAGAUCGCGACAUGUGGUCCUAACUCCUAAGUAGCGGCAAGUGAAGGGGGAAGAGCGUGGCCCCAUGCAAUCCCUUGCAUUAUGUGGUCCAUGUGCCUCCGAAGAUGUAGCGGUUUUCAAAGGGCGUCUGGCACUAUCGGGUGCGCGUAAAACUUAGAUGAAUAUUCUCGCGUCGGAACUUUGGGCUCGUAACCCUGUGAAAGAAAACUGUUGCCGUGUGUUGAUGUCAGUGUGAAGUCCAUAUUCUAGAGUAUCGUGGAUGUGUUGCCCCCCGCCUACAGGCUGUUUAUAAAACAUAUACUUGGUUGGUUGGUCCUCUAGUGACUUUGUUUUGCUGUUUCUUCUGUUUGUUUUUCUCUAUAAGCAAGUCUUGUUGUUGGUUGUUGUACCUAGAGUGUAGCCAAUCACCAUAUUUGGGCAUAUUAAACAUGUCGUUUCGGU